AGCCAAAUAGAAAAUUAUGAUAUAUAAAUCACAGAAAUUUUAUUUGAAGUAAGAAGAAGCUCCUGACUCGAGUUCUAGCAACCUCUCCUCGUCUACGUUUAGCAGAGGGAGAAUAUCGUACAGGACUAAAGGUAACACAACUGGAGGAGGUUAUGCAUACAAGAAAGCUAAGUGAUUAAUCAAUAGGUCUUUAAAACGGAACUGGUUUACCCUUAGGGUAAUCGACAUAAACCCUCCCCUUGUAGCGUUGAGCUGCCUCGUUGCUGUUGAUAACUUCUGUUGCAGGAACAUCGUAAUAUGUGGGAUGAGCAUAGGGAACCUGCAUAACUGGUGGCCGCCUCUUGGCCCGGACGAAGUGCUCAUCAAUGGUUGCAAAACCCUCCUGCCCAAUCUUAACAAGACGAUCUGCCUGACGUGCCAUGUUAACUACAAUUAAUCAACACACAAAGACAAGUAGCUGUUUAUAGGUUUUGUUGGUUUUCUUGCUUUGGCUAAUAUGUAGGAGGCCAAGCCACCUUUAUAUAGAAAGGAAAGGUUUGGUUGACAACAGCUGUGAAAUGAAUAAUGUUAGACAGUACUCCUUUUUGUAAUAAAAGCACCCAACAUUUGUGUACGAUAAUACUAACCAUUGCAGAGAGAAAAAUCAAUAGAUUUUCUUCAUCUUAUCACUACUAACGAUAAAACCACCAUAAAAUGAAAAAAAAAGUCAUCAAAAGUUUAUCAAUAUCAAAUUUACACACACAAAAAAAAAAAAAACUAUUAUAUUUGGAUGUUUUCAAUACUUAAUAAAUUUUAUAUAUAAGAAAAUUUUACUGGUUUUUUUUUGUCGUCCGAUGACCAUCGAGGACAAAACCAUCACCAAGAGUUUAUUAUUAUCGACUUUGGAUUAGAAUUGAAUGUUCUAAAUACUUAGUAAAUUCAAAAAUAAGGAACGCAAACAUUGCUUAUGAACAACUGUUGUCAGCCAAUCAUUAGAGCCACUUUUAUGAAUUUGUGCUGGGCAUGUGAUCAUGUGAUUAAAGAAAACAAAAGCUUCCCUUCUUUUGGACUAAUGCUGUUUCUACCGGUCAGGAAUCAAGUCGGGUCCAAAAGCAGGAGUAGCAAAAACACUAAACCUUCUCAAAAGCCAAUUAUGAAAGAAUAUUCCUUCUGUUCUCUAAUCAGAAUAAUCUCAGUUUAAUUAUGUGACGAUAUUAUAGUUUCUAAUUAAUGGCAAUAAGCACAAUCGGGAUGAGGAUUUCAACUGCACUUGACAUUAUUUUUUGCUUCUGGCCGUUCUUAAUCCCAGAGCCCUUCUUAACAGUUAUAUUAGGGGUACGCUAGUAUUAUCUGACCUUGAUCUCGGCAUUGGAUAACCUCAAGCAAUGUUUGUUCAAGAACAGCAAGCAACUGUUGUCUCGGAACCUCAUAUGUAAACAAAAGGGAAACUUAAACCAAAUGAAAAUCCUUAACAGAAUUACCGAAUCCCAGUCCAAUUACAAGUGAAAAAAAUUAAAAGGCAAUUUGUAGGAAAAACUCAAUGAUCUCUGAGCCAAGCCCCCGCACGGUAUUCCAAGCUUAUUUUACAGAAUAUUAACUCACCCUAGUUUUUUUUUUUCUUCCAAAAAACUAUAAAAGAAUAGAAUUAUGGUCUUAAUGAGCACAAAUGGCAAACAAAUGGCCUUCAGUACAUUUGAAUAACGAUUCAGUACUUAGUGGCACAAAGGUUCUCUCUAGUGCCAAGUUCAAUUAUUGUAAAAUUGAUUCCUUCCAACUUGUUUCCUAGAAUCUGAUUCCUUAUAACUAAACUUUUCCUUUCCAAUUUAUUUUCAUAAUCUUUUUUUUUUUGCUUUAACUGAUCUUGAUUCUCUCUGAAACUAGAUAUCUUUAUUUCUUACUCUAGUUAACUUCAUGACAUAAUCAAUGUGACGCAACCUGACCACCUCAUCCUAACAAAAAAUCUAUUUACAAACCAUCUAGGUGGUGGUCCAGUGGUAAGAGUUUGGGACCAAGAGGUUUGCUCCCUCUGUGGUCUUAGGUUCGAGCCCUGUGAUUGUUCAUAUGAUGGCCACUAGAGACUUACAUGGUCGUUAACUUCAGGGCCUGUGGGAUUAGUCAAGGUGCGCGCAAGCUGGCCCGGACACCCACGUUAAACUAAAAAAAUAUAUAUAUAUAUUUACAUCUCAAAUCCGAGUAACCAAGUUGCUUGCAUUAAACAUUUUGGUUUAAUAGAGAAUGGAAUUUUGGUCAAAAAGUUGCCUCAGAUUCUAUUCUUUGACAUAGACAAAUUGACCAUAUAAUAAUCAUAAAUAUAACUGUGUAUGAAAAAUAAUAAUAAUAAUAAUAAUAACGAAAACAAUAACAAUAAUAAUAAUUUGAUAAUGGAAUUUUGGUCAAAAAGUUGCCUCAGAUUCUCUCCGAAACUAGGUAUCUUUAUUUCACAUCUCAAAUCCGCGUAAACAUGUUGCUUGCAUUAAACCCCAAUAUUGAAGGAAUAAUAGAGAAUGGAAUUUUGGUCAAAAAGUUGCCUCAGAUUCUAUUCUUUGACAUAGACAAAUUGACCAUAUAAUAAUCAUAAAUAUAAUUGUGUAUGAAAAUUAAUAAUAAUAAUAAUAAUUUUAGGAAGUUUUUUUCAACCAACAAAACUUCAAAAAAAAAAGAAUCUGGUGCAACCUAAGAAAGAUAUGGGAGAAGCAGUCUAUAUACUGAAAAUAAAAAUCUACAAGGAUAGAUCUAGAAAGUUGCUUUAACUGUCUCAAUCUACAUAUAUAGAUAAGAUGUUGAAACAAUUUAGUAGCUUUAUCUUUUUGUGGGUUGUUGUUGCUAUCUUGCUUAAGGUUUUAGCUAGAACUAGGUGUUGUUGUUGAUAAUUGUAGGGUUGUUAUGUGGUGGUUUGUUUUUAGGUGUUGAAGGUUGAUUUCUAAGCAGCCUAUGGUUGGUUCUAGCCAAUGGUAAAGACCGGUCUAGUUCUCCACAAUAUCAUUCAUUCUUUUCCAUUUUUUUAGCAAAUCAAAAUAGGACUAAGAAGGGGAUGAUGUUUCAAGAUUGAGAUUUUAAGUUAACCGAGUUGAAGGUAAUAUUUUGGUUCUUGUUAAAUGGGAUUGUAGGAUUGAGAUCUCAAGUUGACCGAGCUAAAGACAAAGACUAAGGUUCUAGUUAAAGAGGGGUCUCUAAAUUGAGAUUUUAGGUUAACCGAGUUGAAGACAACAUUUUGGUUAUGGUUAAAGGGAAUCGCUUGAUUAAAGGGAGUCACUAGAUUGAGAUUUCAGGUUAACCAAACUAAAAGAAACAUUUUAGUUCUAGUUAAAUAGGAUUGUCGGAUUGGGAUCUCAGGUUGAUCAAGCUAAAGACAAAGACCAAGGUUCUAGUUAAAGGGGUUCUCUAUAUUGAGAUUUUAGGUUAACCAAGCUUAAAACAACAUUUUGGUUCUGGUUAAAAGAAAUCAUCAUAUUGGGAUUUCAGGUUGGCCGAGCUGAAGACAAAGACCAAGGUUCUAGUUAAAGGGGGUCUCUAAAUUGAUAUUUCAGGUUAAACAAGCUGAAGGUGACAUUUUGGUUCUACUUAAAGGGAAUGGCUAGAUUAGGAUCUCAAGUUGACUGAGCUAAAGACAAAGAUCAAGGUUAUGAUUAAAGGGGAUCUGUAGAUUGAGAUUUCAGGUUAACCAAGCUGAAGGUGACAUUUUAGUUUUGGUUAAAGGAAAUCACUAGAUUGGGAUCUCAGGUUGACCGAGCUAAGGAAAAAAACUAAGGUUUUGGUUAAAGGGGGUCUCUAGAUUGAGAUUUCACAUUAACUAAGCUAAAGGCGACAUUUUGGUUCUUAUUAAAGAGAAUCAUCGUAUUGGGAUUUCAGGUUGACCAACUUAACGACAAAGACCAAUGUUUUGGUUAAAGUGAAUCGCUAUAUUGGGAUUUCAGGUUACCGAGCUACUUUUCAUAUUUUAGUUCUAGUUAAAGAGGAUCGCCAAAUUGGGAUCUCAGGUUAACCGAACUUUUGGCAAUGAUUUUGGUUUUGGAUUAAGGAAAUCACUAGAUUGAGAUUUCAAGAUAACCAAGUUGUACACAGUUUGAUCGUAGUUUCCGUUGAUGGGGAUUGCUACGAAAACAAAGUUUCAGGUCAACCGAACUAAAAGCUUUGAGAAGAACAGUUCGUUAGUCAAGCACAUAACAAGUCUUUGUUCCAUAAGUAUUGUAAAGAAGGAGCAUCUAUUGCUACCUCAUAUUUUUACUCAAUUUUAAAAGAUUUAAAAAAAAAACCCAAAAAAAUAUGUUUUUAAUGUAUUUGCGUCAUUUUCAAUGUCUUUUUCAAAGAAUUCAAAAUACAAAAAUCUAUGUUCAACACAUUUAGUUGUUAAUGUGCUUAUUAAGUCAACAUUGAUAUUGCUCUUUUUCAAAAAAAUCAAAAUACAAAAAAAAAAUUAAAUUGAACAAAGGGACCAAAUGUGAAAAGAAAGAAGUUGAGGGACUAAAUUAUUUUUGGGUUAACUUGGUCACUAAGUUUGCUUGGAGACCAAGCAAUUGAAAAAAACAAACUUGUUUUGCCUAUAAAUAGGUGGUUGCACUACACAAAAAAAAAAGUGAGUUUUGGGGUAGAGAGCAUUAGCAAAAAAAAAAAGGAGUGAAUUAGUUAAAGAGGCUAACAAAAAAUCACUAGAAACAAACCUUCUAUCUCUAGAAAAAAAAAGCAAAAACAAAAACAUGACCUCCACCCAUUCCAUCUUCCAUACACUUAUCUUCUUCUUCCUCACGGUCCAAAAAAAAAGCCUAGCCCCAUUAUACUGAAACCUAGCAGCCAACAAAGAUUACCUUCUUCCUUAAGCCCGCUGCCUUUUGUUCUUUCCUUUAGACCAGCACCAACCCAAACCUAUCUCACUCCCCCAGCCUUUCUAUCAAUUAACUCUUGAUCGAUCCUUUUUAAUGGAAGGGGUGUAUGUGUAAUAAACUUACUGGCAUUGCUUGGCGAAAACAAAGACAUCGUUUACAUUGUGGAGUCUAGCUUUGGAGUUAAUUUCGACCAGACCAUAGUGGGGAUCUACUCUGAUUCCUCUGUCGGUGGUGUCAUACCAAUAAUAUUUGAAUAAAAACACUCUAUUAUGCUCGCUAUGAUAUUGCAAUUCAACGACCUCUUCUAAUUUACCAUAAUAGUCAACUUUAAACUCAUUACAAGUCGAUCCCCUAACACAAACACCACUGUUAUAUGUCUUUCUUUCAUGCCCGUAUUCUUCGGUAUGAAACACAUAUCCAAUGACAAAAUACCCAUUGUAGCACUUUACUUUUCUUUCAGGACCCAGGCUUAGUAAAGAUAUUGAAACACUAGCAGUCCUUCCCAUUUGAUAAACCUUGUACAUCAAGUACAACAAUGAACAAUAAACGAGAAUUCUGUAACGAAAUUAAGUACCAUGAUAGAUAAUGAGUUUUUGAUAGUACUUACAUGUGUUUUGAACCAUGUGGCAAAUUGUUCAUCUUAUAAUCUAAAGAUUUGGGAUUUGGUCAGGUGUGAGUUAUUAGACAAUAAAUAUUGUCGAUGUUGCCUACAAGGUUUUUAAAAUUGUAUGAGUUUGUGAUAUUACAAUAGAUAAAUAGUCCAUUUAUAACAAAGUUUAAGUAGUAUAUAUACUUACUGAAUAAAAGGUCUCAAUUCAUCACAAUUAAAUAACAUAUAAUUGUGUGCUUGUUGGAACUCUAUUUUAGACAAAUAUCUUCCCCUUACAACAUUAUUAGGUGUGGGUCAUCCAAGAUUGGAGAAUAUUAACAAGUUCCCACUUGAAGGCACUUCACCACCAUCAUUAUGUCGUGGAACGUGGUUGAUUCUCGUUCUUAAAUGAGGCUCAAAAUAGUACGAGAUAAAUGUUGAGAUCUCCUCAAUAAUAUAGGCCUCACAUAUCGAAGCCUCAACAUGCGCCUUGUUCUUAACCUUUUUCUUAAGAUUAAACAAGUACCUGCUUUGAAUUAAACAAAUAUUUUCAAUUAAGAAAAACAAUGAAAAUACAUUAAUCAUUACAUUGCAUCUGUAAUAUCUAACCUCUCGAAUAGAUACAUCCAUCUACACUGGACUUGGCCUUCAACUUUUGCCUCGUACGGUAAAUGCAUGGGUAGAUGCUCCAUCCAGUAAAAAAAUGAUGGAGGGAAUAUUCUCAAGUUUGCAUAUUAUCUCGACGAUAUUCAUUUCAAGCCUCUCAAUGUGAUGUGUGUGCAACUUGCUGGCGCAUAUAUCUCUAAAGAAAUGAUUGAUCUGCGUGAGUGAAUCCCAUAUCCCCUUUGGCAAUAAAUCACGAUAAGCUAAUGGAAUGAGUGUUUGCAUGAACACAUGGCAGUCAUAUGGCUCUUCAUUCCAUACAAUCUACAUUCCUGCAAAUUAACCAACCUUGAUAUGUUCGAGGCAUGUCCAUUGGGAAAACACAGACUCUUAAGUCAUUAGCAGACUAAUAGUUGUGUAUUCUUCUCUAAGGCGAAGCUUGAUUUCGGCUUUGCAACUCGUGACCCAUUAAAAACCAACUCCAUAUUUUUACAGUGAUAAAAAAAACGGUAUAUCCAUUCAUUCUAGCCUUGAUGUUGUCUUUUGUCUUCCCCUUCACGUCCAUGACUGUGUUGAAAAUGUUUUUAAACACAUUUUUUUCUAUGUGCUUGACGUCAAGGUUAUGGCGGAGGAGAUUGGUCUUCCAAUAAGAAAGCUCCUAGAAAAUACUUUGUUUUACCCAGUUGUGGGUCAAACCAAAACCAAGAAACUUCUGCUUACCGGAUUGGAAACCAAACACAAUGUUACUGUACUCUGACACCACGUCAUGCAAUUCUUCACUAGAAAGACGCGAGGGUGCAACAUCAUUUUCAACGCUGCCAACAAAGAAAUCCUUUUAGUUCUUUCUAUAAUUGUGAUCCGUUGGCAAGAAACACCGAUGGUAGUGAAAAAAAGACGCUUUACUUCUGCUUGUUAGCGUGAAUGCCUUAUUGUUUUCCAUGCAGUAUGGACAUGCUAGUUUUCCAUACGUGCUCCAAUCAGAAACCAUUUCAUAAGCUGAAAAAUCAUUGAUAGUACACGUCAAAACUGCCCUUAUAAGAAAAUUAUGUUUUCUCAAUACAUCAUAAGUCAAAGCCCUAGAAGACCACAACUACGUCAACUCAUCAAUCAACUGUCGAAGACAAACAUCUAUAUUCCAGCCCAGACUAUUAGAACUGGGUAUGACCAUAGAUAAAAACAUGAACUUCAGCCUCAUACACAUCCCUGGUGGUAAGUUGUAAACCAUUAGUAUAAUCGGCCAACAAGAAUAAGGAGCAGUAAAUGACCUAAAUGGGUUGAAUCCAUCUGUACAUAACCCAAGAUGCACGUCCCUUGAUUCUGCUGAAAAAUGAGAAUGCACAAUGUUAAAGUGUUUCCAUGCUUCACCGUCAGAAGGAUGCACAAUCACUUCAUCAAGUGAUUAAUGCUAUAUCAUGUGCUCAAUAGUCUUUGGUGACAUGAAUAACCUCUACAGUCUAGGUGUGAUUGGGAAGCAUCUAAGUUUUUUAUAUGUCAUAAGAGUCUUUCCCAUGCCAGUUAUGGGUUUGUAACGGGAAUGCUCUCAUGUCAUGCACUCGGUCAGCUCAGCAUUUUCAAGGUAGUACAUCAUGCAAAAGUUUGGAUACAUGUCAAUUUUCUAGUAUCCUAAACCGAGGGGUUUCAUCAUGUACUUAGUAGCAUAGAAGUUCUCUUUCAGCCUGUUCCCUUCAAGUGGAAUGCUUCUCGCCCAUUCGAUAAUUUUUUCAUAACCGGUCUCACUCAACCCAUAAUCCGACUUGAUAGUAAACACAUGUGCAACGACCGAUUAUUUACUGUGAUUUGUGCAACUAUCCCAUAAUGGUUCAUCAGAAUCUUUCAACAAAUCAAAAAACUUGGUCGCGUCUGCAUUAGGUUCUUCUUCUAUAAUUGGACAUUGACUAGCAUUACAUUGAUUCAUUCUCAUUGCAUCCAUAACCAUAUUCCUGUAAGGAUUACUAUUGUCAUUUACAACUCCAUGCACAUUACUAGCACUAGAAGUUGACCCAACCAUCUUUUCUACCAUGCUCUUGUUACGAACAAAUAAUUCUUUGUGUGCAUACCAACACAGGUAAUCCUCCAUGAACCCUUUGUGUAGAAGAUAUAUCGUUACAACAUCUGGAUGCAAAAACUUUUUAUUUUUACACCUCCUGUAUGGACACUUAAUACCGCCUCCACUAAAAUUUCUCGGAAUAUAUUUUGCGAAAUUAAUAAAACUCUGAACCCUAUUAUAAUAAUCCAUCCUCCGCAAUUCUUGGGGUGAAUCUCGAUACAUCCAUGAAUGAUCAUCCAUGACUUCUAUCAAACCUCUAUAAAAUAAUGAUGACAACAUGUAUUACANNNNNNNNNNNNNNNNNNNNNNNNNNNNNNNNNNNNNNNNNNNNNNNNNNNNNNNNNNNNNNNNNNNNNNNNNNNNNNNNNNNNNNNNNNNNNNNNNNNNNNNNNNNNNNNNNNNNNNNNNNNNNNNNNNNNNNNNNNNNNNNNNNNNNNNNNNNNNNNNNNNNNNNNNNNNNNNNNNNNNNNNNNNNNNNNNNNNNNNNNNNNNNNNNNNNNNNNNNNNNNNNNNNNNNNNNNNNNNNNNNNNNNNNNNNNNNNNNNNNNNNNNNNNNNNNNNNNNNNNNNNNNNNNNNNNNNNNNNNNNNNNNNNNNNNNNNNNNNNNNNNNNNNNNNNNNNNNNNNNNNNNNNNNNNNNNNNNNNNNNNNNNNNNNNNNNNNNNNNNNNNNNNNNNNNNNNNNNNNNNNNNNNNNNNNNNNNNNNNNNNNNNNNNNNNNNNNNNNNNNNNNNNAAUGAAGUUGCAAUUGCUAAAAAUUUAAAAAUCCCUAUAAAUAAAUCAACUAAAAAUAAGUCUCAUAUGAAAAAAAAAAUCUCACAACAAAAUUUAUACAAUUAUUAAGAACAAAAACAAUUAAAAAUAGAAUAAAAAACAAAUAUAGUGAAAACAAUCAUGAAAAAAGAAGAAAAAAGAAAAAUAUUACCUUAAUGUAGUUGCAAGUGAAGCUAAGGAGAGAAAAAAACAUUCGUAAAGCAUAUUAAUUAAAAAAAACUAAGAGGAUAAAAGAAGAAAGAAGAAGAAGAAGACAUACCCGAGCAUGGAGGAAAAGAGAAGAAGAUGAGGAGAGAAAAGAAGAAAAAGAAAUAGAUAUUGAUAUUUUUUACAUAUAGUGAACAAGAAGAAGAAGAAGUAGUAGUAGAAGAAGAAGAAGAAGAAGAAGAAGUAGAAGAAAAAUUAUAAGAAAUGAGCCUGUCUCUUGUGAAAUAAGGGGAUCCAGACUUUUUAUUAGGACGCGUUAGCGACGGAUUUACCGACGGAUAAUUGAAUAUUAAUAUUUUUUAAUUAUUCUGUCGGUAAUUUCAUCGGUAAUAUUUAAUUUAAAUUUUCAAUUUUGUAAAAUUUUUCGGAAACCGCCAACAAUUAGCGACGAUUUUUCAAUCCGUCGGUGAUUCCGUCUGUAAUAUUUAAAUGAAAAUUUUAAAUUAAUUGAAUUUUUAAAAAAAACCGCCAAAUAACACCGACGACUUUUCAAUCCGUCGGUGAUUUUGUCUGUAAAGAACAACAAUUAACAGUGCAAUUGGAAAGUUGAACAGUUCUGGAGCUCUCUGGAAAAUACCGACGGAAAUUCCCGUCGGUGAUUCCCUUUGUAAUUGACAUGAUGAACAAUGUUCACAGUUUAUCAACGGAUUUACCAACGGAAACAUUCCGUCGGUAAUUCCGUUAGUAAAAAUGACACGUCAUCAUUUUUUUUGCUUUGUUUUAAUUUUUUUUUCCCACGGUUAUUCCCUCGGUAUAUACCGAGGGAAUAUUUCCGUCGGUAAAAUCCCUCGGAAAUUUACCGAAUAUUUCCGUUUGUAUUUAUCGAUUUUCUGGUAGUGUUAAUUAACUACGUUAAGUAAAUAAAUUUGCAAAAAUAUUGGUUUAGCUCAAGAUUAUCCAACUUACUUUCAAACUUCUCUUAAAUAUUCAUUAUCAAUUAUCUACGUCCAUACAAAUUUAUAUACAUUAAUUUACGGAAAUUACAACUCGGCAAUAAAAUUGACAAAUUAAACGGACCCAUCAAACAAGUCAUUAUUUAUUUCAUCACAACACACCUAAGUUGAUAAUUCGACAUAAAUUUCAACAAUUUACAAACAAAUACAAUUUUACAAAAUCUAAAACAAACCAUACCAAGUACAAAAUUAUAAAUCCAUACUACAAGUUUGUUUGAGAAAAAUAAUAAAACAAGUAAACACUAAAAAAAACAUUCAAUAUAUUAACUAUUACCGAUGGAAUUACCGACAAAAUAUUUUUGUUUGUAAAUCCAUCAGCCAUUCUGUCGGUGAAGUAAACACGUCACUGUAUGAACAUCCCGGUUUGAAUCACUCUGUAAUUCCGUCAGUAACAUCAUUCACAAAAACUUCCACGUCAUUGCACUGCUUUGUUUUUUAAAAUUCUUUAUAUUCUAUGUGGGAUUCCCUUGAUAUAUACCGACGGAAUGUUUCUGUCGGUAUAUACCGACGGUUUUAGCAAGGGAAGUAAUUCGAUCGGUAAUUAUCACCGCAAAAUACCGACAAAAACAGUUUGUCGGCAAUUCCGUUUGUUGAAUUUCAUGUAGUGAUUCCUUAGAUUCCUCAGUACUUUCCAUGCAUGAUAGAUCAUUUUCUUUCGGGGAUACCCUAAAGAGGACUUAAAGAUUUCAGUUGUAUAUGUGUGAUAACAGAGCAGAAAAAGAAAACUCUCUCGGAUAGGACCCCAUUUGUGGCAGUUUCAUGUCAUCUAAAGUUCACCGAAAGGCGAUGCUUGCAAUCGUUAUGUUNNNNNNNNNNNNNNNNNNNNNNNNNNNNNNNNNNNNNNNNNNNNNNNNNNNNNNNNNNNNNNNNNNNNNNNNNNNNNNNNNNNNNNNNNNNNNNNNNNNNUUAAAGCACAUCUCAUGUUUUUGAUGGGUCCCAUUUAUAUGAAGGGAUUGGGAAAGAUCAAGAAAAGGUAUAACUCGGAGCAUUUCCCAUUUUUCUCUUUUUUCUGUAAAAGAUAUGUGUAAAGCAAUGCUUCAGAGGGAGGCUUACUAAUAUCAUUUUCAUGGGAGAUAAGAUAUUUUUACUAGAUACACUUGCUCAUAUGGCUCGGAUUGGGAAUCAUGUUUUUCAAAGAUAUGUGUAAAGCAAGCUUAGUUAAAGAGAUGUGAAGGAAAUUUUGGUUGUAGAACUCAGAAAUGAUCCAAUCAUGGUCAUGAUCGCUGAUAUUCUUAGAUAUCGUGUAAAUUUCUACUCUUUUUUUUUCUAAGCUAUUGUUUUACCUUGAACUCCGUUUAUUAUUUCUUUAUCCGAGACGCUUCCCAUGGCUCAUCAUUUUAUCCUUGUGCUCGGGACAAUUCUAAAAUGAGGUGAUAAUUCUAAACUCGAAAUUAUUCAAUGAAAUCACACCUUGAAGAGCUUCAAAGCAUUUGAACAGCAAAUUAAUUAUUUGUUUGCCCUAAACGGACUACUAACAGAUAUGUUCAUGUACUAGUGAAAGAUAUUUAGGCCACGAGAAAGCAUGAUCACGCAAGACCAGAAUAAUAGCCUAAAAUAAUGAUAACAGGAGAUAUUCUAACCGUUAAAUCAGGUUUAAAUUUUUAUAGAAGAUUCUACAAACCGUUUCCCAUUAAAAACCACUCAGUAGUUAUCAGAGCAUUGUAUCUCCAUAAAGUAGGCUAAUUAGUUAUUAUUUAGGAUAAUUUUGUUAUUUUUCCUUAAUUUUCGCAGAUUUAUUGUUUAUUUUAAAUUUUAUGUUAUUUUCCGUUAUGUUUUGGGAUUCUGAUUUUGUUUCGAAUCUUGGUCAAUUUUUCUAGUCUAUAAAAGAUUGUAAACCUCUUUAGAAGGUAAACUUAAUCAAAUUAAUAUUUUAGAAAUAAGUUUUAGGAUUCUUUGUGUUUUAGCAUUAUUUCAGUUUAUCUUGUCUUUCUAUGCUUGCAGCUAUAUUGCUGUGCUUCCGCUUGCAUUAAACUUUCAAAACCACUAAGUCAGUUAUCAAAGCAUUGGAUCUCCUAUAAAAGGGAUUGUAAACCUCCUUAGUAGGUAGACUUGAUCAGAUUAAUAUUUUAAAAAUAAAAAAAGAUUUAAGGAUUUUUGUUGUUUUAACCUUAUUUCAGUCCAUAUUUUGUCUUUCCAUGCUUGCAGCUAUAUUGUUGUGCUUCCGACUGCAUUAAUCUUUCAAUAUUUGAUGCUAAGUAAUAGGUGAAUAAGGUGAUAAUCAGGGGAGUAGAGAGAUAUUUAUGACCCGCCAAAUAGAAAAUUAUGAUAUAUAAAUCACAGAAAUUUUAUUUGAUGAAGUAAGAAGAAGCUCCUGACUCGAGUUCUAGCAACCUCUCCUCGUCUACGUUUAGCAGAGGGAGAAUAUCGUACAGCACUAAAGGUAACACAACUGGAGGAGGUUAUGCAUACAAGAAAGCUAAGUGAUUAAUCGCUAGGUCUUUAAAACGGAACUGGUUUCCCCUUAGGAUAAUCGACAUAAACCCUCCCCUUGUAGCGUCGAGCUGCCUCGUUGCUGUCGAUAACUUCUGUUGCAGGAACAUAGUAAUAUGUGGGAUGAGCAUAGGGAACCUUCAUAACUGGUGGCCGCCGGCUCCUGGCCCGGGCGAAGUGCUCAUCAAUGGCUGCAAAACCCUCCUGCCCAAUCUUAACAAGACGAUCUGCCAUGUUAACUACAAUUAAUCAACACACAAAGACAAGUAGCUGUUUAUAGGUUUUGUUGGUUUUCUUGUUUUGGCUAAUAUGUAGGAGGCCAAGCCAACCUUUAUAUAGAAAGGAAAGGUUUGGUUGACAACAGCUGUGAAAUGAAUAUGUUAGACAGUACUCCAUUUUGUAAAUAAAAGCACCCAACAUUUGCAGAGAGAAAAAUCAAUAGCUUUUCUUCAUCUUAUCACUACUGACGAUAAAAGCAUCACAAAAUGAAAAAAAGAUUAUCAUCAAUAGUUUAUUAAUAUCAUAUUUAAACACAAAAAAAGUAAAAACUGUUAGAUUUGGAUGUGUUCAAUAGUUAAACAUUAUUUUUUAUUUACUAAACAUUAUUUUUUAUUUAAUAUAAAAUAAAAGAAGUAAUAUAUAUGUAUUUGAAUUGAUAUCUCUAAUAAUUGCUCUCAAGUUAGUUCGAAAGUAUCUGUUAACACUAUGGACAGUUAUUGUUAGUACUUGGUGGCACAAAUGUUCCCUUUCGAGUGCAAAGUUCCUAAAAUAUAUAUAAAACAAAAAUCGCAUUCAAUUAUUAAACAAAUGAUUCAUUCCGACAAGUUUCGUAGAAUCGAUGACUCUUUGGUUUAAUGGUGAAUCUGAUUCUUUUUUUGGUAAUCUUUUUUUCUAUUCUUUUUUUUUUCCUUCUUUAACUGAUCUUUAUUCUUUCCAAAACCUAUAUCUUUAUUUCUUAUUCUAGUUAACACGAGAUGACUUGCCCGCGCGCUGCCGCGGGCUUAUAAAACAAAUGCACUUGAUAGUGUUAUAAUUGUGAACCAGCGCUAGAUAAGUAAUAGAAAUUAAAGGUAUGAUGAAGCAAAUAUUUCUAACACGAGAUGACUUGCCCGCGCGCUGCCGCGGGCUUAUAAAACAAAUGCACUUGAUAGUGUUAUAAUUGUGAACCAGCGCUAGAUAAGUAAUAGAAAUUAAAGGUAUGAUGAAGCAAAUAUUUCUAACACGAGAUGACUUGCCCGCGCGCUGCCGCGGGCUUAUAAAACAAAUGCACUUGAUAGUGUUAUAAUUGUGAACCAGCGCUAGAUAAGUAAUAGAAAUUAAAGGUUGUGUUGGUGAUCAAAAACUUAGAGACUGAACAAAAUGAUUUGUAGCAAUCUACAGUGUUUUGUGAGGAAAGAUACAGUGUUUUCGCCACAUGAUUUAACUUUUCAGUUAAUAAAAAGCAAAAAAAAAAACUUAAUAUUAAAAAAAAACCAACAAAGAUAAUUUUGGAAGGAAAAAAACCUAUGAGAAAAAAUGUUGCAGCAAUUGACAAUGUUUUAUGAGGAAAACUAUAGCGCUUUUCCCAAUAAAAUAAACAAAAAAACUAUUUAGAGAAAUAUUGUAGCAAUCCACAGUGUUUUGUGAGAAAAACUACAACGCUUUCCUCAUAUGAUUUAGCUUUAUUGUAAUUAUAAUUCUUAACCAACUCAAUAUUAAAAAAAAAUCGACAAAGAUAAUUUUGGAAAAAAUCAUAAAAAAAUCACAUGGGAAAACACUGCAACAAUUCACAAUAUUUUAAAGAAAAAAAAUAACAAAGCUAAAUUCUUAAUCGGCUCAAUAUUAAAAAAAAAUCAACAGAGAUAAUUUUAGAAAAAAAAAUAACAAAACAAACACCAAAAAAAAGGGAAAAAAUCAUGUUGGAAACACUGUAGCAAUUCACAGUGUUUUGUGAUGAAAGCUACAGUGCUUCCCCACAUGAUUUAGCCUUAUUUGUAAUGACUUGUAAUUGUAAUUCACAAACAACUCAAUAUUAAAAAAAAUUUGAAAAAGAUAAUUUGAAAAAAAUUAUAACAAAAAAAAAUUAUGUGGAGAGACACUGUAGCAAUCCAUAAUGUUUUAUGAGCAAAGCUACAAUAAUUUCCCCACAUGAUUAAGCUUUAUUACAAAGUUAAAUUUUAACCAACUCAAUAUUUAAAAAAAUAAAAUCGACGAAAAUGAUUUUGGAAAAAAAUAUUACAAAAAAAGAAAACACAAAAGAAACUGGAAAAAAACCAUGCAAGGAAAAACUGUAUCAAUCCAUAGUGUUUUUUGAGGAAAAACUUGUAUUUACUUGUAAUUACAAUUCUUAACCAGCUUAAUAUUUAAAAAAUAAAAUUGACAAAGAUAAUUUUAGAGAAAAACAUAACGAAAACAGGAAAAAAAUCAUGUGGGGAAAAACACUAUAGAAACCAACAGUAAUUUUCAAGGAAAGUUAAAGUGUUUUCCUCACAUAUUGUAACUGUAAUUUUUAACCAGCUCAAUAUUAAAAAAUAAAAUAAAAAAAGAUAAUUUUGGAGAAAAAAAAAAACAAUGCGGAGAAACAUUGUAGCAAUAAACAAUGUUUUAAAGAAAAAAAUUACAAAACUAAAUUCUCAAUCAGCUCCAUAUUAAAAAAAAUCAAAAAAUAUAAUUUUGAAAAAUAAAGAAAUAAAAUAGAAAAACUAUGUGGAAAAAUAUCGCAGCAAUCCACAGUAUUUUCAAGAAAAAAAUUACAAAGCAAAAAUUUUAACCAGGUCAAUAUUUAAAAAGUAAAAUCAACAAAAAUAAUUUUGGAAAAAACAAAAGAAAAAUUAGGAAAUUUCAAAAAAAAAUUUGAAAAAAAAAGAACAAAAAAAAAAAAAAGGAAAAGUUAGCACAAAAAAAAAGGAGAAAAAUCACUGUGAAUUACUGUUGUAAUCCAUAUAUAGUGAAAUGUGUGGGGGGGAAUAGUAAUUCCCCCACACCAUUUAGAGUAUGUUUUAAUGAGAUAAUUAGUACAAACAAGUUAUGGCUAUGGUUAUCCUUAGAAGGGGCAAUCCAUUGAGAUCUUAUGGACAUAUGGUUAUCCUUAGAAGCAUUCUGGACAUUGUACCUCUCACUCCCAAUAUUAUAGUACAAACAGUUAGUUAUGGCUUUCCGUUUUGUUAAUAACAAUAGGAAAAUAGAUUCUUUAUUUACUUAAGGAUGUUGUAAUAAAAUACAAUGUCUUUAAUUGUUUUUAAAGAUAUUUUCUCAACACGAGGUUAUAUUCCAGAAUUCAACAAGUUUUUUUUCUAAAACAAGGGUUCCAGAAACAGCUAGACCAAGAUCGAAAGGAAAUACCAGCAAGCUUUACAAACACAGAAAAAUACUAUGGUUUUUUCAGCACAUAUUGAUUGUAAGAGUGCAUGGUAUAUAUAGGUUGUUAACAUGAAACAACUAGGCAAAAAAUAAAUUAAAAAAUUAAAGAAAUAAGUUGUGUAAAAGUGCAUGGUAUAUAUAGGUUGUGUAAUAUAAAGGAGACUCUAUGUUUACAAGAAAUAAGUUGUAUUUUUUUAAAUAUAUGAUAAAAAACUUAUAAAAUAAUCUUCAUUAUUUACAACACUAGAUUCUAAAGUAAGUGGCAAUCCAUUGAGAUCUUAUGGAUGUGAACAUAUGGUUAUCCUUAAAAGCAUUCUGGACAUUGUAUCUCUCAAUCCCAAUAUUAUAGUACAAACAGUAAGUUAUGGCUUUCCGUUUUGUUAAUAACAAUAGGAACAUAGAUUCUGAGACCCCUUCAUGUGUUCAUAUGCUCACAUUUUUUAACAUUUUUUUGAUACUGGGACAAGAUAUAUCGUUUUAUUUGUGUCUAAUUCCUCAGGACUUACCUUGAGAGACCAUUUUCUUGGAUGGGUACUCUGAACAGAUUUCAGUUCUAUGUCAGAAAAAGAACACUCUCUCGGAUAGGACCCAUUUUGUGGCAGUUUCAUGCCAUCCAAAGUUCACUAAAAGCCGAUGCUUACAAGUAUUCUCAAAUAGUAUUAAGUAUUAAAUUCUUAUGUAAGGUAGAAUGAAAUUUGAAAAGAUUUUCAAAUAAUUAGAUAUGCUAGAUUAAUCAGUGAAGGCACUUUAUUCUAGCUUAAGGAUGUGCUAGAUUCUGUAGUAAGGAUCAAUCCAUUGAGAUCUUAUGGAUAUGGACAUAUGGUUAUCCUUAGAAGCAUUCAGGACAUUGUACCACUAAAUCCCAAUAUUAUAGUAUAAACAGUAAGUUAUGGCUUUCCGUUUUGCUAAUACUAAUAGGAAAAUAGAUUCUGAUACCACUUCAUGGGUUCAUAUACUCACAUUUUUUUGAUACUGGGACAAGAUUUAAGAGAUCAUGGUAUGUUGCAUUUGAUAUUUAAAUAUAAAUCUAUUAAUUUUUUAGAUUGAUAAUAAGUUAAAUUACUUAAUUUAUUUAAUCUUGUUUUGAAUAGGAUUAUGAUUUAUAUUUGUGCUAAUAUAUUCGAAACCUAAUAAUUCACAUGGAUGAUUAAUCAAGCAUGAAUUGUGUCGCCCAUGUGCGCGUGAUGUUGCAGCAUCAGGAUUAAGGAGUCGCCACCUAGUUAUGUGGUUCAGAGUCAUUAGAAGACCCAAGUAGACUGAUCUUAUCUGAAAUUUCAGGGUAAAGGACUAGUAUUGGCUAGAAAAAGGUGUUAGCAUCCUUACUUGAGGUAAGUUAUAUUGUGUUGUCAUGAGGCGGUUUAAACGUGUUGAUGGGUUCCUAACCGGUAGCUCAUUUAUGGCUCAGAAAAAAAAUUACGCCCACAAAUAAAUCUGACAUUUCAAAUUUUUUAUGGGCUCGUAUGCUUAGGUAAAUUCUUAUAAAAAAAUUCAUGUAGGUGCUCUGACAGGAGUCACCUAUCCUGAAAGGCGAAAAUGUUUUCCACAACUCAUAUAUUGUGAUGAAAAAAUACUCACAAUUAAAAUUGAUGAAUAUCCAAAAUAAUUCUGAAAAUUUUCUAGUUAACUUCUGGUACUUAAAUACUAGCCUAUUGGUAGGUCUAACAUUUAUACCAGAAUGUUGACCUUUAAUUUUUAGAAAUUAAAAUUUUUAGGGUUAUUGAAAUAUUGGCCAAAUCCUUAAGGAAUUUUGAAAACUUAUUGUAAAUUACAAAAAUUAAAAAAAAAACAAUGCUAAAAACAUUUUCCCCUCCUUUUUAUAAAUAAAUUGCAAUGUUAUGUAAGGAUUGAGACGUAUGCAACAAACCAAAAUUAUUUUCUGUUUUUUUUUUAUUAUUAACAGAACUCUAAAACACGUGGGUUUUCUACUAUACAUUAAUACAUUGUGGACUGAGAGAUAAUUCAUUGUGGACUUACUGUACAUUCAUGCACUGUGGACCAAGAGACAAUUAACUGUGGACUUGCACAAUUGUUUCGCUAUGUAUUAAAACUUACAUAGUUGCUUUGCUAUGUCUUAACACGAAUGAGGAUUUUCUACUGUACAUGGAUUGUGGCUCAAGAUACAAUGAAAUGUGGACGACACUGUAGCACAUUGGGGGGUGUUCCUUACCUGUGUUUUUAGUCAAGAAUUGCAGCUGGGGUGGCUCAUUUGACUUUUGUCAUUAAGAUGGGAGUGAUGCAGCGGCAGAGGUGACAUUUAAUUAGAUCAGACUGUCGACACCUUGCACUUGGGUAGCCAAGCCAGGGUGUUAGGGCCAGCCACGCGCCCCUAGCCGCGACCCCAAGGCAGCAAACACUUGGCGCUAUGGCUGGCCGAGGCCUCAGCAUGCAAACACCUGGCGCAGGGUGUGACCAGCCUUGAGCGCUAUGGGCAGACCCGCGUGCUUGGAUGCAGCCCCAGGGCGCUUGGCGCUUGAUUAUUUGUUAUGAUAAUAUUUAUAACACAAAUUAUAAUAUUUUUAUAUUAAUACUUAGAAUAAUAAUUAAAAUAAUAUAUUUAUAACACAAAUAAUAAUUUUUUUGAAAUGAAUACUUUGAAUUAUAAGAAAAAUAAUUAUAUUUAUAAUACAAAUAAUUAUAUUUUUUAUAUCAAUACUUUGAAUUAUAUUUUUAAAUCUUUAAAAAAUGAUGGUUUUUCUUCAAUAGCAAUAAUAGUAUUUUUAAAAUUUAUUAAUGAUAAUAAUAAUAAUAAUAAAUUUCCCAAAUUUAUUAAUUAUUAUAUGAAUAAUAUUAAUUAUAAUAAAAAUAAUAAUAUGUAUAAUACAAAUAAUAAUAUUUUAAAUUAUAAUAAAAAUAAUAAUAUUUUUAAUAUUAAUACUUUUGUAUUAUAAUUAAUGUAAUUAAAAUUAAAAUAUUCUUAGUUGUAUUAUAAAUAAUAAUAAUAAUAAUAAUAAUAAUAAUAUUAACAUUAAAAUUAUUAUUAUUUGUAUUAUAAGUAUUUUUAUUUUUAUUAUAAUUAAUAUUAUUCAUAUAAUAAUGAAUAAAUGAAAAAUAUUAUUAUUUGUAUUAUAAUUAAUGUUAUUGAAAUUCAAGAUAUUCUUAUUUGUAUUAUAAAUAUUGUUAUGUUUAUUGUAAUUAAUGUUAUUGACAUUAAACAUAUUAUUAUUUGUAUUAUAAAUAUUAUUUUUUUUAUUAUAAUUCUCUUGGGUCCUGCUACCGCACCCAAGAACCCAAGAGAAUUGGGUCAUGCAUCAGGACCCAAUUCUUUUAGGUCCCGCGGCAGGACUUAAGGGUAAUGGGUCCUGCGUCACGACCCAAGAGAAUUGGGUUUUAGCUUUCUAAAUAUAAUUAUUUUUAUUAUAAAUAUUAUUAUUUUAUAAUUAGAAUUAUAAUAAAAACGCAGCCAUGGAGCCAGACCAAAAAAAAUACAACAUCAAAAAUAUUAAUUUGAAGUAAAGAAAACAAUUAAAAAUUUUCAAAAUGUUUUCAAAGCAUUUUUGAAACGCAAAAACAAAUAUGCUUUAAUAAGAAAAUUCAAGAAGAGAAAUAUCAAAAAUAUAUAUAAAAAAAGUAUUCAUAUAAAAAAUAAGAGAAAAUAAAAAAAAAUUAUUAUUUUCUUUUUACACGAAUGAAUAUUUUGAUUUGAGUAUAUAAAAAAUUGAUUUUCAAACAUAAAAAAUAUAUUAUUAUUUUUAAAUAAUUUGAUAAAAUAUGUGUUAAAUAUUAUUAUUAAUAUUGUAUCAACUUUGGUCAAGCAAGUUUCAUAUUAUUAUUAAUGUGAUAAAUAUUAUUAUUUGUAUUCUAACUAUUAUUAUUAUUAUUAUUUUAAUUAAAUGUAUUAAUAUUAAGAAUAGACAAAAAUUGAAAAAAAACAAAUAUAAUAACAAUUAUUAUUAUUAUUAUUAUUCUUUAAAAAACAUUUUUUGAAAAAAAUCUUAUUGCACGCCCAAAGCGCCUGGGUGGACGCACACCCCCUAGGGCUGCGAAUACCUAGCGCUUGGGCUGACAGGCCUGGGCGAUGGGUUGGCCAUGUGCAACUGCGCACGCCCCAGGCUGCUGCCACCUGGAGCUAGGGCUGGCCGAGGACCUAGCAUGUAGACACCUGGCGUUGGGUGUGCCACGCCUGGGGUGCUAAGGGCAGACCCGCGCGCCUGGCUGCAGCCCCAGGGCGAGCGGGUCUGCAGCCCCGCAACCCUGGGGUCUGCAGACACGCGAGGUAGGGUCUGCACCCCGCGCUCCUAGCCUCCUGACCCGCGCACUGGGUGCAGACCCAACCGCCGAUGUCUGUUCUAACCGCCCUUGGGUUUAGAGGCUCGCACGGCUGGAUCAGCAGACCCUGCAGGGGAAAAAAAAUACAAUAACAAUUAUCAUUAUUAUUAUUGUCUCAUUGUUAAUUAUCAUAAAAAAAUUUAAUAAUGUAGAUAUUAUUAUUUGUAUUCUAAAUAUUAUUAUCUUUAUUAUAAUUAAAAGUAUUAAUGUUAAGGAUAGAAGAAAAUUGAAAAAAAAAUAUAACAACAAUUAUCGUUAUUAUUAUUGUUAAUAAUUUUUUUUUAAAAAAAUAUAUUAUUUUAUCAACUUUGGUCAAACAAGUUUCAUAUUAUUAUUAAUGUGAUAAAUAUUAUUAUUUGUAGUCUAAAUAUUAUUAUUUUUAUUCUAAAUAUUUUUUAUUUUAAUUUCAUUGAAUGUUAAAAAAAAUAUUAUUAUUUGUAUUAAUAUUAAAAAUAGAAGGAAAUUGCAACAAAAAAAAUUACAAUAACAAAUCUCAUUAUUAUUAUUAUUAUUGUUGUUGGUAAAAAAUAAUUUAUGAAAAACAUAUUAGUGUAGGCCCCAAGUGCCUGGCUGGACGCACAACCCUUAAGGAUGGGGAAGCUUGGUGCUUAGGCUAUCAGGCCUGGAAGGGGGGCAGGCCACGUGCGCCUGCUCGUGCUCUAAGUUGCUGCCACCUAACACUAGGGCUGGCCAAGGCCCUAGCAUUCAGACACCUGGCACGGGGCCUGCCAUGCCUUAGGUGUUAGGGUAGACCCGCACGCCUGACUGCAUCCCCAGUGCGAGCAAGUGUCCAGCCUUGCGACCCUGGGGUCUGCAGACCCACAAGGCAGGGUCUGCAACCCCACGCUCCUGGCCUAUGGACCCGUGCGCUGAGUGUAGACCCAUCCACCUAGGUUUGUUCUAACCGCCAUUGGGAUUAAAGGCCCCACAAAACCAGCCAUACAAAAUCUCAAUAUUUUUUUAAAAAAUAUAUAUUAAAAAAAUAUAAAAAAAAUUAAAAUUUGCAAAUUUCUUGGGUCAUCGCAGACAAACACAAUGCCAACAUUUAAAAAAAAUACAAAAACAUAAAAAAAAAAUUAAUUUGAAGUAAAGAAAAAAACUUCAAAAUUGUAAACAAAAUUUCAAAGAAUUUUUAAAACGCAAAAUUAAACAUGAUCUAAAUAAUUUGAAUUGAAGAGAAAAAUAUCAAACAAAAAUUAAUUUGAAGUAAAGAAAAAAAUGAAUUUUUUUUUAAUUUCUUGAGACUCGUCUCUCAACCAGACACAAUCUUAUUAUAUGUUUUUUAAAAAAAUAUUUAAAAAAUAAUACAAAAACAUGGAGAAAAUAAUAUUUUGAAGAAAAGAAAAAAAUUAAAAAUUUUAAAAUUUCUUGGGUCUGGCGUCACCGCCACACAUAAUCUCAACAUAUAUUUUUUAAAAAAAGUAAUACAAAAACAUAACAGAAAUAUUAAUUUCAAGCAAAGAAAAAAAACUUAAAAAUUAUCAAAAAUGUUUCAAGGAAUUUUCGAAAUGCAAAAUCAAACAUGAUUUAAUUAGGAAAUUCAACCUAACCUGAAAUGGAAGAAAAUUAUUAUCACUCAACUUUCAUACAAUAUAAAAAAAAUCUCAUCAAUUUUUUUUGAAAAAUAAAUUUAAAUCAGAGAAGACAACAAUAAAGAAAUUUAAUUGGGUAUUGUUGUUGGGUCUGAAAGUCAGUCAUCCUUAUUGAUCAAUGGUCUUGCAUUAAUAUUCAAUGGUGGUGUUAUAUUGUAGUGAAAAAGAUAUAUAUAUAUUUACGAUGUGCAGAGACAUAGAGAGGUAUGGGGAUUGAAUUCUCACAUACGUGAUAACAUGGAUUUCCAAUCCAUCUACCAAAGAAAAUCAAUUUUUUUUUUUUUCAAUCUUCCUAUGUCGAUGUCCCUAGGAUGGAUUACUUAUACUAUAGCUAUUUUGGUCAUGCAUGGUGCAGGACUCAACACCCUCCAAAGGUGUUGGGUUUGGCUGCGCAACCAUACCCAAGGAUAUUGAGUAUGGUUGCAAAGCCAGACCCAACAGCCAUACACCCUGGGGGUCAUACCCUGCUAUGUUUUUGGUCAAAAUUUACCGCUAGGGGCUUUGCCUUGUCUUCCCAUAGCUGCUAGGAGACCCAACAGAGUGGUUGACUGUGGGCUAUUGGGUACUGCUGACACCUGGACCCAAUGACGUUGGGUCCUCCUCAACCCUUUAGAGUUAGGACCCAAGAGCUGGGGGUGUUGCCUUCUCUACCAAAAGACCCAACAACGUUAAUAUUUUGAAUUUGUAAUUUUUGAAAUAACUUUUCACAAGCCAGACCAGAGAAAUUUGAAAAUUUUUAAUUUACUUUAAAUUAAUUGUUUUUUGAUAUUUUUAAAAUAUUUUUUUUCAAAAUAUAUAUUGAGAUUGUGUCUUGAAAAUUUUUAAUUUUUUUCUUUACUUAAAUUUUUUUUCCAUGUUUUUCUAUUAUUUUUUAAAUAAUUGUUUUUAAAUUUGUUUUUAGACUGUGAAGCAAAAGCCAAGAAAUUUGAAAAUUUUUAUUUUUUUUUAAUUCAAAUUGAUUUUUUAUAUAUAUUUUUAUAUUGUUUUUUAAAUAUUAAGUUUUUAAAAAAUUAUACUGAGAUUGUGUCUUGAAAUGUUUUUAUUUUUUUCCUUUACUUUAAAUUACUUUUUUCUAUGUUUUUCUAUUAUUUUUUAAAUAUUUUCUUUUAAAAAAUAUGUUGAGAUUGUGUCUUCAAAAUUUAAAGUCAAGAAAAAAAUUAAAACUUUUUAAGAUACAAUCUAAAUAUAUAUUUUGAAAACAAUCUUUUAAAAAUAAUACAAAAAUGUCAAAAAAUAUUAAUGUAAAGUAAAUCAAAAUAUAAAAAAUUUUCAGAUGUCCAUGGUGCUGAUGGAAAAUUAAUCUUUUUCCAGAAGUGUAAGGCUAAAUAGAUAUUAUGAGACCAAUAUAUUUUUCUUAUUGUCAGAUUUUCUUUUUUCUUCUAUAGUUUCUAGUGCUUGGUAUGUAAAUAUUAUCAUAAUAGGUUUGCGUGAAUUCAUAAAAUAGAUGGGAAACCUAACCACGCACGCAAACUAGAGGCAUGCAAACCAUGAAAUAUCUUGAGUAUUUGUGUAUUACAUGGCUUACAAACAUGUAUUAAUUUCCUCUUUGGAUUUGUAUCUUCUUCUUCGUUAUUUUAAUUAUAAUUAAAUCAAUUAUUAUUAUUAUUAACAUGGAUCUAGCAUCCCCUUCCAGACCCAAAAAACUAAGACUUGACAAGAGCACAUGACCCAUAGUUUUAAAAAUACUUCCAAAAAAAGUUAAAAUUUUUUAAUUAUGUUCUCUAAUAUAUAUUGUCAUAUUAAAGUUGAUGGAGCUCUCAAGAAAUUUUUUAUUUACAUCAUACACUUUAUAAAUUUUUAGUAUUAUAUAAGAGAUUUUAUUUUGGGUAAUAAAAGAUAUUUCACUACCAGAAAUUCGCUAAAUACCAACGGAUUUACCGACGGAAUAUUUCUGUCGGUAAUUUGAGGUCGAAAUUACCGACGGACACUUUUCCGUCCGUAAUUCAGUCAGUAACUACCGACGGAAUAUUUUACGUCCGUAAUUCAGUCGGCAACUACCGACUGAAUUACGGAUGGAAAAGUUUCUGAAUUAAAAAAAAGGCGGGUCGCUGACGUGGAGGUUUUGGCGGUUAUUUGUUUUCCGACGGAUUCAAAACGACAGUCCGUAUAGUGACAUGAUCGGUUCGCCGUUUAAAUUGCCGACGGACUCACCGAGGGAUUUGAAAUGGCAGAUCCGUACGGUGACGUGUCUAUGUUUUCGUCAGAAUCACCGACGGUUUCACCGACGGAAUUUCCAUCGGUGAAACCAUCGGAAAAAGUUAAUAUAUGACAGCUCUGGCGACCCACUCCUCCCCUAUUUCUCCUUCUUCUUCCUAAUCCCAACUCUCCCCAUCUCCUUCUUGAAGUUUUGUGGUCACAGCAUCCGUGUUCUGAUUUACCGACGGAUUUUAUCAAUUUUUGUAAGUAAUUCUAUCUUUUUAAAUUUUAACAUUUAAUUAAAUGUCAAUUUUAUUGUUUUUUUAGUAUAUGUAUUUUGGUAGCAGAUGUACAUGUUUUAUUGUUAUUUCUCAAACAAACUUGUAGUAUAUGAAUGUAUAAUUCUAUACCUGUUAUGGUUUGUUUUAGAUUUUGUAAGAUUGUAUUUGUUUGUAAAUUGUUAAAACUUUAUGGAACUACCGAAGUACAUGUGCUAUUUUGAAAUAAUUAAUAGCUUGCUUAAUGGGUCCGUUUAAAGUUUUAUCAAUGGUAUUGCAGAGUGGUAAUUUCUGUAAAUUUAUAUAUUUUAAUUCGUAUGGACGUUGAUAAAUAAUAAUGAAUAUUUAAUAUUUAUGAAAAGUUGUGAUUGGUUUGUUGGAUAAUCUCGAGGUAAAGUAAUAUUUUUGCAAGUUUAUUUACCUAACUUAGUUAAUUAAUACAUGAUGUCAUCAUAAUUUUAUAGAGGUUCGAUAUAAGUCAUGGAUGAUCGUUCAUGGAUGUAUCGAGAUUCACCCCAAGGAUUGUGGAGGAUGGAUUAUUGUAACGGGGUUCAGGGUUUUAUUAAUUUCGCAACAUCUAUUCCCAGAAAUUUUACUAGAGGCGGUAUUAGGUGUCCAUGCAGGAAGUGUGAAAAUAAAAAGUAUCUGCAUCGAGAUGUUGUAAUGAUGCAUCUUCUACACAAAGGGUUUAUGGAGAAUUACCAGUGUUGGUAUGCACAUGGAGAAGUAUUUGUUAGCGAGAGUGAGAGGAGAAUGGAAGAAACGAUGGUUGGGUCUACUUCUAGUGCUAGCAACGUGCAUGAAGCGGCAAAUGACAACACUAAUCCUUACAGAAAUAUGGUUAUGGAUGCAAUGAGAAUGAAUCAAGGUAAUGGCAGUCAAUGUCCAAUCGUAAAAGAAGAACCUAAUACAGAUGCAGCUAGGUUUUUUGAUUUGUUGAAAGAUUCUGACGAACCAUUAUGGGAUGGCUGCACGAACCAUAGUAAAUUAUCGGCCGUAGCACAGGUGUUCACCAUCAAGUCAGAUCACGGGUUGAGUGAGGCCAGGUAUGACAAGAUUAUUGAAUGGGCAAGAAGCAUUUUACCUGAAGGGAACAGGCUGAAAGAGAACUUCUAUGCUGCGAAGUCCAUGAUGAAACCCCUCGGUUUAGGAUACCAAAAAAUUGACAUGUGCCCUAACUUCUGCAUGUUAUACUACCUUGAAAAUGCUGAGAUGACCGAGUGCAUGACAUGCGGGCAUUCCCGUUACAAACCUAGAACUGGCAGGGGAAAGACUCUAGUGGCAUAUAAAAAACUUAGAUACUUCCCGAUCACACCUAGACUGCAGAGGUUAUUCAUGUCACCAAGGACUGCUGAGCACAUGACAUGGCACCAAGCACACCAUGCGGUUGAUGGAGUGAUGGUUCAUCCUUCUGACGGCGAAGCAUGGAAACGCUUUAACAGUGUUCAUCCUCACUUUUCAGCUGAAUCAAGGAAUGUGCGUCUUGGGUUGUGUACAGACGGAUUCAACCCAUUUGGGUCAUUUGCUGCUCCUUAUUCUUGUUGGCCGGUCAUACUCACAGUUUAUAACUUGCCACCGGGAAUGUGUAUGAGGCCGGAGUUCAUGUUUUUAUCUACUGUCAUACCCGGUCCAAGAAGCCCGGGGCGGAAUAUAGAUGUUUGUCUUCGACCGUUGAUUGAUGAGUUGGCGCAGUUGUGGUCCUUCGGAGCUCUGACUUAUGAUAUAUCAAGGAAACAAAAUUUCCUUAUGAGGGCGGCAUUGAUGUGGACUAUCAAUGAUUUUCCAGCUUAUGAAAUGCUUUCUGGUUGGAGCACGCAUGGGAAACUCGCAUGUCCAUACUACAUGGAAAACAACAAGGCAUUCACGCUAGCAAACGGAGGUAAAGCUUCUUUUUUUGACUGUCACCGUCGCUUCUUGCCACUUCAUCACAGGUACAGAAAGAACAGAAAAGAUUUCUUGAUUGGCAGAGUUGAAAAAGAUGUUGCAUCCCCGCGUCUUUCUGGUGAAGAAUUGCAUGAUGUUGUCUUAGAGUACGGUGACAUUGUGUUUGGCCUUCAAUCAGGUAAGCAAAAGUUUCCUGGUUUUGGUUUGACCCAUAAUUGGGUAAAGCGAAGUAUCUUUUUUGAGCUUCCUUAUUGGAAGACCAAUCUGCUCCGCCAUAACCUUGAUGUCAUGCACAUCAAAAAGAACAUGUUUGAGAACAUUUUCAACACCGUCAUGGAUGUGAAGGGGAAGACAUAGGACAACAUCAAGGCUAGAUUGGAUAUAGCUUUAUACUGUAACCGUAAAAAUAUGGAGUUGGUUUAUGAUGAGUCACGGGUCGCAAAACCAAGAGCAAGCUUCGUGUUAGAGAAAAACGCACAACUGCUAGUCUACAAAUGGCUUAAGAGUCUGCGUUUUCCGGAUGGACAUGCAUCGAACAUAUCAAGGUUGGUUAAUAUAGAGGACUGUAGAUUGUAUGGAAUGAAGAGUAAUGACUGCCACGUGUUUAUGCAAACACUCAUCCCAUUAGCUUUUUGUGAUUUGUUGCCGAAGGGAAUAUGGGAUGCACUCACGGAGAUCAGUCAUUUCUUCAGAGAUAUAUGCUCCAGCAAGUUGAAUGUUGAUAACAUUGAGAGGCUUCAAACGAAUAUCAUCGAGACACUAUGCAAACUUGAGAUGAUAUCCCCUCCAUCAUUUUUUGACUCAAUGGAGCAUCUCCCUAUAUAUCUACCGUUCGAGGCAAAAGUUGGAGGACCGGUCCAAUAUAGAUGGAUAUACCCAUUCGAACGGUUAGAUAUUACAGUUGCAAUGUAAUUCAUAUAUAAAAGUAUUUUAUAUGUUUUUCUUAAUUGAAAAUACUUGAUUAAUAUUUCAAUGCAGGUACUUGUUUAAUCUCAAGAAAAAGGUUAAGAACAAGGCGCAUGUUGAGGCUUCGAUAUGUGAGGCCUAUAUUGUUGAGGAGAUCUCAACAUUUAUCUCGUACUAUUUUGAACCUCAUCUGAGAACGAGAAUCAAUUAAGUUCCACGGCAUGAUGAUGGCGGUGAAGUGCCUUCCAGUGGGAACUUGUCAAUAUUCUCCAAUACUGGACGACCCACACCUAAAAAUGCCGUAAGAGGAAGAUAUUUGUCGGAAAUAGAGUUCAAACAAGCACACAACUAUGUUCUAUUUAACUGUGAUGAGCUGAGACCUUUUAUUCAGUAAGUUUAUACUAAUUAAACUUUGUUAGUAAUAUACUGUUAAUUAUAUAUUGUAAUAUCAUACACUCAUUAUCACUUGCAGGCAACAUCGUCAAUAUUUGCUAUCCAAUAACUCACAGCUGACCGAAUCCCAGAUCUUUCAAUUACAAGAUGAGCAGUUUGCCACGUGGUUAAGAACACAUGUAAGCACUAUCACAAACUCAUUCUAACUUGCAAAAUUACUGUACGUAUGCAUGUCAUUACGAGAUUCUCGUUCAUUUACUAUUUAUUGAUGUACAUUACAUACAAGGUUUAUCAAAUGGGAAGGAGUGCACCUAAGUCAUUGUCUUCACUAAGCCUGGGGCCUGAAAGAAAAUGUAAGUGCUACAACGAGUAUUUUGUCAAUGGAUAUGUUUUCCAUACUGAAGAAUACGGGCAAGGAAGAAAGACAUACAACAACGGUGUUUGUGUUAAGGGAUCCACUAGUAGUGAGUUAUAAGUUGACUACUAUGGUAGAUUAGAAGAGGUCGUCGAACUGCAAUAUCAUAACGAGCAGAAUAUAGUGUUUUUAUUCAAAUGCUAUUGGUAUGACACGACUGACAGAGGAAUCAGAGUUGAUCCGCACUAUGGUCUAGUCGAAAUCAACUCAAAAGCUAGACUCCGCAACAUAAACGAUGUCUUUGUUUUCGCAAAGCAAUGUCAACAAGUUUAUUACACAUACACCCCUUCAUUUAGAAAGGAUCGAUCAAGAGUGGAUUGGUUGUCCGUUUUAAAAACGAAACCCCGGGGUCGUGUCGAGGUUGUUCAGGAUGAGAACGAAGACACAAGUGUGCGAGAUGAAGUCUUUCAAGUUAGUAAGGUGAUUGAACCAUAUCGAGUUGCUCCUUCGAUUGAAUUGGAAGAAAAUUCAAAUUUUCGUGUUUUCGAUGAUAGUCUUGUUGAUGUUGACGCAGAGGAGUUAAAUUUUGUUUUGAGCUCUAGCGGAUAACCAAACAUCGAUGAAGAAGAUUAUAUUCAUAUUGCAGAUUGCGAUGAAGGUGAUGACAAUUCAAUUGAUGACGAAGAAGAAGAAAAUUCUUACUAACUAUCAAAAUGAAGCCCUAUGUAAAACCCUUUUUUUCAUGUAAUUUAGAUUAUGAAUGAUAUAUAUAUUUUGAAACACAAAAUAUUUAUUACUUGAAAUAAUUAGUUGAAAUGCCACAAUUAUGAGAUAAUUACUUGAAAUAAUUAUUGAUCAUGGAUGAUAUAUUUUGUGACAUGAAAUAAUUACUUGAAAUGCCACCCGAUCACCGACGGCAUUAAGUCCGUCGGCAUUUCACAGAGAGUUCGAAAAUAAUUACUUGAAAUGCCACCCGAUCACCGACGGCCUUAAGUCCGUCGGCAUUUCACAGAGAGUUCGAAAAUAAUUACUUGAAAUGCCACCCUAUCACCGACGGCUACACCGACGGCCUUAAGUCCGUCGGCAUUUCACAGAAAGUUCGAAAAUAAUUACUUGAAAUGCCACCCUAUCACCGACGGCCACACCAACGCAUUUAAAUCCGUCGGUAAGUUGUCGGCGGGUCAAUUUUACCGACGAAAUUACCGACGGACCGCGCGAAUUUCAAAGGGUUGUGCAUUAAAUGCGCCUCUGACUGCGUCAUAUUGCCGACGGAAUUACCGACGGACCACGAAAAAUAUGGAGGGUCAUUAAAAAUUUUGGUGCGAAAUUCAAAAUUUACCGACGGAUUUUUAACAAAUCACCGACGGAAUAAAUUAAAAUAAUAAUUAAUUUUAUAUCCGUCGGUGAAGCCGUCGCUAAAACUGCCAUAUAAGUUCAAGUGACCGCCCGUUCAGUUCAUUUUUUCUUCUCCUUCGUUUCUCACCUUAAGAAUUUGAUUUUUUUUCCUCUCCAUUCUUCAAAGCUUUCACCUCCAAUCUCUAGCAAGUUUUCUUCAUCAUCUUCAUCAGUUUAAAAGGUUAGUGUUUCCUCUAUUUCAUUUUACUUUAAUAGUUCUUUUUUGCUAUUUUUUUGGUUAUUUUUUUUGUUUUGGUGUAUUUUUUGUAAUGUAGAUAAAGUCUAUAGUUUUUUUUGCAUAAUUCAUUGCUAAAGUUUAUAGUUUUUUUUUUUGAAUUUAUUGAAUAUUUUUUAUUGUUGUAUUGGCAUAAUUACUAUUAGUUAAUUUGUUGAAUAUUUAUUGUUAAUGUUGAAUUUACCAUAGAAUUAGUAAUUGAAUAUGUUGGAAUAAUUAUUAAUUUUACUUUAUUAUUGCAUGAUUUGUGUUUAAUUUUUUCCAUUUAUUUUGAUUGUUAUUCUAGAGUUUUUUUUUUAAUUUAUUGUUUUGUUGUAUUGGCAUAAUUAUUGAAUAAUUACUUGAAUUGUAAUUGUUAAUGUUGAAUUUACCGUAGAAUUAAUAAUUGAAUAUGUUGGAAUAAUUAUUAGUUUUACUCUAUUAUUGCAUGCUUUGUGUUUAAUUUUUUCCAUUUAUUUUGAUUGUUAUUCUACAGUUUUUUUUUUAUUUAUUGUUUUGUUGUAUUGACAUAAUUAUUGAAUAAUUACUUGAAUUGUAAUUCUUGAUGUUGAAUUUACCUUAGGAUUAGUAAUUGAAUAUGUUGGAAUAAUUAGUAUAGAUUGGGUAAAUUGGUUGUGGCUAUUGUUAAUAUGUGCAGGUUUGUGGAUUUGGGUAGUAUCCGGUAUAGGGGAGGUGCUGUCGAAUUUUUUUUUUACAUUUGAAUUUAAUUAUAUAAUUAUUUGUAUCAAAUUGUAUAGAUGCGUAGAACGAAAACCAGAGCUGGUCGCUCAAGUGCGGUCGCAGCUAGUUCGUCUAGCAGCGAGGAUGAUAUUUCCUUAGGUGCCUCUCAAGAAGAGGCACCUACACCACCUGCGUCGUCAACCGAUGUUGCCUCUUCCAGCGGUACUUCACAACGCAGAGGCGGCGUGCCUUCGCAGCGGAAUCAAUUUACCUGCAAGUACGAGGCACAGUGGAAGGACGACCUUUCAAUGUAAGUUAGUUAAGGUUUUAGUUUUUUUUUUAAAAAAUUACAACAUAAUUUAUGAAGUAAUCACUAUUGAAUUUAUUUCAUUUAUUUUGAGGUUCACAAACAUUGAAGCCGCCUGAGUAAUAUCAUCGGCGUUUAAAUCGUCGAUGGAGAUUCCAUUGUUUCAAUGGAGUCAGAUAUCCAAGCAUCCUGAAUGGAUGCCUCAAAUCAAUGCAUGGUUUAACAGGUUUGAGGUUGGUAUUAAUUUAUAAUUUUCAGCUUAUUAAUAUAAUUGUAUUAUUUUUAUUUAAACUUGUUUAUUUAUACACAACACAAAUUCUGCUAGGACAUUGAGCAUAACACUGUUGUGAGGAGGGUGUGGGAAAAUCACGCGGCAACUAGGUAAGAUCGAAAACAAUACAUGUUUUUUUUUAGACAAAAAUUUAUGUUUCGAAAUGUAAUUUUUGGUUGCGUGAUUUUUGGUAUGAAGCACAGAAAAAGGCAAAAAAAACCACGAGGGAUAGGGAUUUCCAAGGCUGGAUCGAUGUUGCGGUUUGGAGUGAUUUCAAACCAAUAUACAUCCCGGAAGAUAUAUGGCCGCACUAUCUUGAGCACGUGACAUCUGAGCGGUUCACACGACGCUCACAGUCCGGUUCUGGCAACCGGAAUCGGCCAAUUCAUGGCGGGGUGACAACGCACACUGGCGGCUCCGUUCCGUUUGCUGCACAUGCGAAACGGAUGGUAAGAUUAAUUUAAAUGAAAUAUAUCGUUAAAUUCAGUUGUUGUUAAUAUAUCUUUUUUCAUUAUAGGCUGCGUCUCUUGGACGUGAGCCGAGCCCGAUGCAGCUGUUUGUGGAGACGCACGUGCGGAGUCAAGACCGCCAGAAGGGGGCGCAAUAGUUCGUUGAUAACCGUGCUCAGCAUUUCGUGGUAUGUUUGUUCAACCAUUUUAUUUUGUAAGUUAUUAUGUAAGUUAUUAUGUUUAUUGUAUUGAAUAUGAUGAUUACUUUUUAUUUUUAUUUUCAGGAGACCUAUAAUAAUCGGUUGAGGGAGAGAUACGGGGACGAUACUUUGACCCAUCCGGAAUUCGAUCCGGAUUUGUGGAUGGAGGUUGGCUCGUCAGGUGGACCCGAUAAAAAUCGGGUUUACAGGCUCUCCAACACUACGGGCGACAACUUGCGGUCGACCCGUAGUGUUUCAACUGUUGGGAGCUCCCAAUCAAUAUCGAGCUCCCAAUCUAAGGAGUUCGUGGCUUUGCAGCAACUCACCGAGAAAUACGAUAACCUAAAAGCAGAGUACGCACAACUCAAAGCGGAACAAAGAGCAGAGUCUGAGCAACUCAAAGCGUCUCAAGCACAACAAAAAGCGGAGUAUGAAGCGGCUCAUGAACAACAAAAAGUGGCUGAUGAACAGCUCCACGAAAUGAUUAUGAAAUUGUCAAAUAGCGGAACAUGUGCGCCUAAUCUUUUUUGGCCGUAUAACCACCAGCCUCCGCCAGGAUCUCCUCCUCCUCCUCCAGCUCCAUCAUCUUUAUAUUAAUUUGUAAUCAACAUUAUUUACCUUUAAAACUUCAUUUAAUAUUUUUCUUGAAACAUAUUCAGUUUGUAAUUAAUAUUAUUUAACUUUGUUUUUUUUUUAUGUUUAAUAUAAAUUUUAUUUGCAUAAUUGGUUUGUAUUACAAUUAAUUUAUAUAGUUUUAUAUUAUAUAUCCUAAAUAAUUUUUUAAAAACAAAUUAAGAAAAAAACUAUUACCAAGGAUUUUACCGACGGAUGAAUUCGGUCGGUAUUUUAAACACUCACCGACAGACUUACCGACGGAAUUAAUCCGUCGGCAUGUAAUAGUAGCUUCCACAAUUACCGACGAAUUUACAGACGGACAUAUGCUGUCGGUAUUUCAUACACUCACCGACAGAUUUACCGACGGUUAUUGUUCGUCAGUCAAUCACAAUAUACCGACGGAAUAAAAAUCCGUCGGUAUAUUUCAAGCGGGAAUCUUUUUUUUUUGGCGCGCAAAUUCCGUCUGUAAAACCAUCGGCAAAUGGUUUUUUUGUUUUUCCGACCGAUAUAGCGAUGGAAUGGGGAAUCACCGACGAAGGUAAAGCCGACGGACGUAAUCCGUCGGUGAUGACGUCGGUAAAAAAAUCACCGACGAACUUCUAAUCACACACCGACAGAAUUUUUCCGUCGGUAAAACUGUGAAAUCUUGUAGUGUUUUAAUUUUCUAACAUAAGUAUAUGAGAUUCAAAGUUAUAUCAAUGUUUUAUUGUUUUUAGAUUUUUUAUGGAGUUGUUUUGAAUUAUAUAUAUUAUAAAAUACAUAAAUAAAUUAUGUGUUAGGUCCUGACAUGUGCAGGACCCAAUUGGGUGUUGGAUCCUGCACUUUGAGUCCUACAAGAUGCAGGACCCAACCUAAUUAGGUGUAGCGCAGGACCCACAAUAACUUUAGGUCUUGCAAGGUGGAGGACCCCAAUUAGCUUCGGGUCCUGCAUAGUGCAGGACCCCAUUUCAUGUUGGGUCCUGCCGGGUGCAGGACCCAUGUGGAUGUUGGGUCUUGACGGUGUAGGACCCAAUUGCGUGUUGGGUCCUGCCACCAGGACUCAACAGUUGUUGACCCACCACCCAAUUGAACCCUUCUGCCACCAGGACCGAACAUCUUUGGACCCUUUUAUAACCAGGACAAAACAUCAUCUCUUUUAUUUUGUUUAGGAGCUCUUUUAAAUUUUUAUUAUUAUUUAACCCGCAGCGGAGCGCGGGUCACAUAGCUAGUUUAUUUCUAUAAGCCAAUGUUUGGCAAAACCAUCUUUUCUUUCCCUAGAAAUUACCAAAAUGGACUUAAGUGUGUGUUUGCCAAACAUUUCCUUGGGCAAAAAAAAAAAUCCUUCACAAAAGGUUGUUCAAACGAACAAAGCCUUACGUACUUAAUCUAAAACAAAACCAAACGAGUCGACCCAAAGACACUAGUUUAACCAUGAACUGAACCAAAAAACAAGGUUUGACCUGAAAAAAAACUCAAACUAAUGUUUAAACUGAAACAAAGUCAAAGUUGAAAAUUAACACAAAACAUAAAAAAAAUUGCAGAAAAAUAGAUCAAACACUCAAAUCGUGAAGAACACAAAGAGCAUUCAUCAACAAACAAACAAACACAAAUCUCAAUCCAGUCAAGUUUUCAUGCAAUCAAGGGCAAUGUUUUAUUUGAAAUCAUGCAAGGAUCCAUAAUCUAGCAUCCAUUACUUCAAUUAUCAAAGAAUUAAUGUGAUUUUGUGAAAAUGAGUUUCGGUUGAAAACCAAAAUUUUAAGAUUAAAAACCCAGAAACUUGUUAUUAAUACAAAUAAACCCUAUAUUAUCUACUAGUCAAGUCGCCUGAAUGGUUUAGUGUAAACAAUGGGACCAAAGUUGAUCUAAAUCAUAGUGCUAAGGCAAUUUUCUUUCCAAGAACAUGAAGAAACCAAACCCAGCAACCUAAAAGUUCCCAGCCUACUAUUAAACCCAAAACUAGCCUCUUAGGCUUCUAAAACAUGUUUCUUUUGGUCCUUACAAACCAUAUUAUCAAUAUUAAGCAUCGUUGAAUUCAAAGAACUAACAAAUAAAAUAAAGCCAUCAAUAACAUGCAUGAAGUUCCAAAGUUCAAAACUACUAAAGAUAAUCAACAAGCAUAUUCAUGCUAUUUGGAUUCAAAACUUGAUAUUUUUAACAUCUAUAUGCCAAAACAUACUUGUAUGAACCAUGAACUUGCACUAAAAUCAUCAAAUUAAUCAACAUGCUUCCAAAUUAUUUAACCCACAAACAAAAACAACUUAUUGUUUUAUUACAAAACAGAUUCAAACACAAAUCAAAAUAUCUCAAAUACAUCAUCAUCAUGCUAUUAGGCUAAAAUCACAUAAUCAAACAAGUGUGACAACCAAGAAUCAUGUCUUUAAUGCAAGCCUCAAUAACAAAUUAUUAACCAAAACUAAAACAAAUUAUCAUAAUGAAAUCUAAUAAAACAAACUCUGCCGAAAAAACAUCAAAUUAUUCCAGCACCAAAAUCAAACCAAAAAAUGCAAGAUAAGCUCAAACAACAUAAAAAGAGGUUUAAACAAUAAGAAAGCAUGAAAAGAAAGGCCACAUGGACUCCACACUUGAAUUUCUACAUGUUAUAACUUCUCUAAGCUUGCUAGCUAUGAACUAUUUUCCUUCUCUUUUAUUUACUUCUUUCCCUUUCACUAUACUUUUUCCAAAGCUUGUUAGACCCUCUAUGUUAGGCUCUUGAACCUUCACACUAGGAUCUUUUCACAGUCAUGUUUUUCCUCUCUCUAUUUUUAUUUUUAUUUUUCAGGGGGUAUUUAUAAGGUUUUACUAGGAUCUUUGAUGGAUUCAAAUAUAGAUCGAUCAAAGCUUAGCUUUUUGAUCAAAAUGAGAGAGUUCUGGACAAAUGUUAACAAUCAGAACCUUUGUCUUUCAAUGGUUUUGGGACAGUGGUUUUGUAACAAAAUUACCUAGGAGGUUUUUUUUUCCUUGAGACAAAGGCAUGCAUCCCUCACCUUCUGAUUAUGGAUGAAAGAUUUAUGACCCUUAAUAAGAACCCUCUAAAAAAUUUUAAGUGUGAACACACGAAAAAGUUGAGAGGCUUUGUACAAUAGGUAUCUUAGUCAAGACUGACUGAGUUGACCAAUUUUGAGGCCACGCCAGAGUAACUCCAACGUAAAUGUCAUUGGAGACCACCUAAACUUUAUAGAGGAGAAUCACACCUUUCGAUUUGGUCCAUUCUUGUACAGUUUGGAUGUUUGUAUUUCCAUAUUCAUUUGUUGAAGGCGACAACUCGAUUAUCCGAGAAUCUGAAAAUGUAGUAAUGACUAAUUGGGAACAAGAUGUUGUUGAGUUCAAUAAAGAAAAUGGGAUAUAAAUGCUUGAUGGUCGUAGUUGAUCUUUGUAGAGGGGGUGUUUCUCAAUUAAAUGGUGGUGGUUACAGCCCUAGAAGUGGUCGGAAACGCUACAUUCAUUCGUUUGAAGGUGCCUACUUGAUCAACCAAAAUUGCCAACAAAACACUAAACAAUGGCCGAACGAUGUGUCGUCUAGGUUAAACCCUAGAAAUUAGGGUUUUUAAUUUGGGAUUUGAAAUUUUUCACUUUAGUCCCAAUUCUUCAAAUUUGUUUUAAUUGCACCUAUAAUUGUCUCUCAAACUCUUAAUUUCAUGUAAUUUCACCCUUGUCCAGCUCAAUCAUUAGCCUCAAAGUUCAGCGUCAUUUUAAUCUUGGUCCUUAGUUUCUAAUUUGUGCACUUGGACCCAUAAUUGACUAUUAAACUUUCAAUUUUCUUCAAUUUGGCCCCUAAUUUGGUCAAAUUUAGUCUCUACAGUCAUGCGCCUUUUUUUCAGUUUGGUCCUUGGCUUUAGAUUUCUUCAAUCAAGUCCCUAAUUGCCUACUAGACUUUAAUAUUCUUACAAUUAAGCCCUUGAUUCAUCCAAUUAAACCUCCUAAAAAACCAAUUAAGUCCUUGGACUUUAAUUUAUUUCAAUUAACACCCAAAUUGACUCUAAAAACUGAUUUUUCCCAGUAAUCAAGUCCUCAAUAAAAUUAAUUAAGCCUUCCAAAAUUCUCAUUAAGUCCUUACCUAUCCAAAUUUGUAUUUCUUUACCCUAAUAGAAAUAUUUUCACCAAUGGGAACCUUUGUCAAUUAGAAUUGGGUUGUUAAUUAUAGCAAUUUUGUACAUUUUGGUCCUCCAACUUUUCCACUUGUAAUUUGGUCCUUCACCAUCAACUUGAGUAAUCUUUUAGGUUUUUUUUUCAUGUAUAUCCUCUUGUAUUUUGAAUUUUCUCUUUCUAUUUUUUCUUUUUUCUUUUCUUGAUUUUUCGUGGAGUCAAAAGUAGGUAAUAACAAAUUGAUUGCAAAUAAGUUUUAAAAAUUGAAAACUAUAAUAUAAUUAGCACAUGAGAUUAAAAUUCUAGAUUUAGAAAAAUCAAGUAAGGACUUGAUUUACGAGAACGCAACCUAAGUGUUGAUCAAAUUCUAGGAGGAAGAACUAUCUUCAUACAAUUUUCACACAAAUCGAUCCUAAAUAAGUUUAUGUUGUUUAAUGAGAUCCAUGAGACUUGAAAAAACUAUUUUCACUAUGUCAUGUAUUUCAAGAAACCCAACAACGUAAUCAUAGAGAAAUAAGAGGUGCAGCAAAUCACUUUAAGGCACUCAUACUUUCUCAUCUUUUGGAGUAGCUGACUCUAAAACACUUGGCAUACACACACACACAAACAGUGGGAAAAGAAGAAGAAAACAAUUAAGUUAAAAAGGACUUAAUUAUGCUUUAUAAUUAACUUAACCAAGCAAAGCAAGGCCCAGUACAUUAUCACUAAAGAGCUCAAUAGAGUAAUUUUUUCUUUCGAUAAUCCAUAAUCACCACCCCACCAUAAUGUUUAGCUGCCUCCUUGUUGUUGAUAACAUCCAUUUUCAUCAUGGGAACUUGGAUUCCACCAUAAUCAUAUCGUUGCUGAUGGUGCUCUUGAGGAGUUGAAGACCUCCUAGGGCACCCGUACCACUCGUCUAUUAGUGCAAACCCUUCCAACCCAAUCUUGUAAAGGCGAUCUGCUUGGCGAGCCAUUUGCAAAAUGACACUAAAAAAUAAGAAGAAGAAACAGUUUAAGUAGGUUCUGAGUUUGAUCAGCUUGACUUGUACAUAUGGUUUGAAGCCAAGCUAGUCCGUAUAUAUAGAAAUCAUAGAAACCCUCUCUAUCUAAGCUUAUAGGUUCACUGUGGUCAAAAUCAAAAUCUUCAAAGAAAGAUAUAAUUUUCACAACUUUUGAUCAUUGAUUCUGUUGCUUUUUCUUUUUUAUUAUUCUCAAUAUGUUGUUAAUUCCAUCACAUCUCAGAGAAACUAUCCAAAGGCUUUACCAAGUAUCACGACUUUUCCAAAAUUCAAUCAAGAAAUAUCAAAUCAUUCUGGAUAUGCAUGCAUGAUUCACCAUAAUAAUUAUAGCAUUCUUUGAAAAUAUAGGGAAGAAGGCUUUGUUCCUUGCAAGAAGGGUGGAUUUAUGGUUAAGUUCUUUGAAAAUAAUUACAGCAUUCACAUUUUAUGCAGUUUCUUUCUCUAAUGAGAAAAAUCUAUACUUUUCCCUUCAUCCCAAACAUUUGUUACAGAGUUAGCUAUGAGUCGAUUGACGAAUUAAACAUAUUCUUUCCUUGUGCAUGAAGUGUGAAGACUGAGAAUGACCUUUUUGACUAAACCCACAAGAUACUCCAAAUUGGAUCCUCAAGGACCGCUUUCCAAAUCGAGCAGGACCAGGGAAAAAAAAGUUCUUAUUAAUACCAAUUUUUCAUGGUAUGAAAAAUCUGCCCCAAUGUUGUGUUGGUAUCUUUAAGGUUCUAAAUGCUUGAAAUAUUCUUGUCAAUUAAUGCGGUAGGCAAAGGUCUGGAUUUAAGGUCCUGGCGGUGGCAAGGCAGGUAAGAUAUUGUCUGAUGCUUUUUUACUUGAAUAUUAUAGCCGGUUCAUGCGAAAGAAUAUUUCAUUUCAAAAUUAGAUUAAGUAUAUGACAUAGAAUUCGGAUUAAUCAAGAGUUCAUGAAUAAAGUGAUAAGAAAUAUAUAUAAUUGAGAGAUAAGAAAGGAAUAUUUAUUGGUAACUCCUUCUCUCUUGAACGGCUUUCAUGCUUAGACAAAUCCACUUGUAUACAUCACCACUUUUCUAUAUUGAAGUUUUUUAAUUACUACUAUUGUUUCAGACAAAUUGCUAUAAUGUUGUGAAAUUUUAAGGGAAAUGCUUAUUAUUGUGUAUUUUUUCUGGACCGUUGGACACUUUUAAUUUGGUUUGAUGUGUAUUAUUGAUUUUGAGGUGAUUUGAGUAUUUGUGGUGAAUUAUGAGUUUAUUAUUAGAUUGUGAUUGUUUUUUGGAUAUUAAAUAUUGAUGUAUGAAUUAUGCUUGGGUUUGUGUUAAUUCCUUCGAAUUAAUACGCAGUUUAAACAAAGUUUGUGAAAUUAAUAAGAUUCGUGUGGAUUUUUGGUGUUGCUCGUUUCAAGUUGAUGAACGAUAUUUUGUUUUGAAUUAAUAUCGUGGUUAAAAUAGCCUUGAUAAAAAUAAUUUAUAUGUGUUUUACUAAAUACGGUCUUCGUCCAUUUUCAAAAUCUUUGGAAGAUCAUCAUGCAAUUAAUUUUGAGUUCCCAAUAUUUUCCAACCAUCACGUAUUUAGUAUUUGAAAUCGUGACUUACACACGAGAUGCUUCUUCGAUGUUAAAGGAAUCGUUUUACCUUUUACAAAAACAACAAAAAAAAAUCUCUUCUUUCAAAAAUACAAUUUUAUUUUAAAAAACAUACAACCAAGUCUCCCAAAAAUAAAAAAAAAUCAUAUCUUGCUUAAAAAAUAAAAUACAUGGUUUGUCUUAGUACCAAACUAUAACAUCCUCAAAUUAUAAUGUCAUGAAAUCUCAAAUGUUUCUUUACGAAUGUUAAGUAUUGAAUAAUAUGUCUAAGAUUAUGGAUUUUUAUUUUUUUUUUGAAAAGUUCGGCAGAGUUUCCUCUAUUUUUGUUGGUACCAAGUUAUCGACAACAUUUCUAUUAUAUGUCAUUACAACUUCCAUCUUGAUCCAAUCAUCCUGGAUCACAUCUCAUUCAUUAAUCAAUCUCUCAAAACUUAUACUUAUCAAUAUUGUUGCUACCCAAUUUUUGACCCAUGUUUUGAUAAAUUUUCAGAAAAAUCCAAAAAUAGCGAAAAACAUUGAAAAUCCAAAAAAAUACGUUUUUAAUACAUUUGCAUCGUUUUUUAGCAUUUUUAGCAUCGUCUCAAAAGAAUUUAAAUUUUCAAAGAUAUUUGGAACGCGUUCAACUUUUCACGCGUCAUUUUUAAAAUCAUUGAUUUCCCGCAUUGAGUCGAUGUUGAUAUUUGCUCGCUUUCAAAAAUACAAAAAAAAUAAGAAAAAUCAAAAUUUACAAAAAAAGAGGAAAAGAGAAGGAAAGGAAAAGUUGAGGGACUAGUUUGAAAACCUAGCAAAACUUUUCCUAUAAAUACCAAGCUACACUGGUUUUUAAAGGGGGGGCAAUUUUGACAACAUAAAAAAAAAUACAAAAAAAACCUAACCCUGGUUUUUCAACCGACCCAGCAGCUGCUCCCACUCCAGCUUUCCCAGACCGUCUUGUUCUCUUUUUCUUCCAGCGGCGGCGGCAGCAGCCAGCCACCUCGUCGCCUCCUUCAAUCAGCGUCGCCGACCGGACAAACGCUCCCUCUCUCCACCGCAGCUCCAACAACUACAGACGACAACCGUGCCAGAUCUGUCACCGGAGCAAACCAUAACUAAAAAAAGGAAUUAAGAACAGAUCCGAAAACAGUUAAAGAAAAACUAAAAUCGACUGUGUUGUUGCGAUUUUUGUUUGUUAUUGCAGGUGAUUGUGUUCCUCACAACCAGCAAGGAAGGGAAGGGGAGAAGAAGCUGAGCCAGAUCAUCCACUUCUCGUUUUCUUCCUGCGGCGGCGCGUGAGUCCACGCGCCGCCAGUAACGGUGGCGCGUGAGUCCACGCGCCGCCAGUAACGGUGGCGCGUGGGAAGACGCGCCGCCACUGUUCCUGCGGUGCAGAAGGGCUUCCCUGUAAUUUCUGGAUUUUUAGGGACUGUUUUUGUAAUUUUUAGGAUUAUGUUAUUGUAAUAUUAUUGUAAUUUUUGUUUAGUUUGUUUAGAAAUUGUAUUUUGUAUUGUGGAUGUAAAAACAAAAGGAACAAAAGAAAGGAAAAGAAAAGAAAAGAAACAAAAAUAUAGUAAGAGUGAAUGUGUGUGUGUUUGUAUUUUUUUUUUUAUAUAUAUAUAUUUUUUAUGAUAAAAUUGCAAAGAUUAAAGAAGAAUUUAAUAUUUUGAUUGGAUCACGGUUAAGAAUUAUUAACUUAUACGUAAGUUGUAUUUCUAAUAUCCGAUGAAAAAACAAUUAUUAAAACUUCUUUAAACACAUUAAAUUCGCGAAGCAGCUUACCUCAGGUAGGGUGCGUUAGGGGUGCUAAUACCUUCCCUAACCACAACCAGUCCCUUACCCGCGAAUCUCUGAUAAGACCAGUACAUCCGGUUUCCUAGUAGCCUUCAAUAAAUUACUAGGUGGCGACUCCAACGAACCAAUUCAAAUCAAACAUAACAACAGAUAAAAUCGCCAGCCGAUGCCGCGCGGAUUUUUUAUGACGUGCGACAAAAUGGCGACUCCACUGGGGAAGGUACUGUUUCUGACAAUAUUGGACUAAGCUUUGUGUAUUUGAUGUGUUUAAGUUUUUGCAUUUUUGUCUUGUUUUAUCUUUGUUUUAUCCAUGUAUUUUUAGAAUUGUUUCAUGCAUCACCUGUAUUUAUUUUUUAAAGCACACACAAGCUUCUAAGUUAGGUGGUGAAUUAGCGAUCUGCCCUAUGACUAUUGGUCAGGGUUCAGAUGCGUGAAAAACCGAACUCAUAUCUGAGUGCCUGCUUGGUAAUGGUGGGUAGACGUACCUUAACUAUUCCUUGCAACGCCCCCAUACUGUCUUUACGAAGAACGUCACUGGGCAGAUAUGAGACCCUUUUGAGACCAGGUAGAAAACCUACCCAUGAUCACAUAAUGAAUAGAACCUAUCCUUAGGUUGUAUGUGCUAUUUUUAUUUGCAUCAGGGCAAACCCUUCUUGAAGCAUCUUGAACUCAAGACUUGUGGGUGACACAAUGACCGUCACUCAGAAAAUUUUCAUUGUAGAGUUUGGGCAAGAAUCAAGAUUCUUGUUUCAUCAUGCAAGAGUUACGACCAUAUUGUCACCCCUCGAAGGGCGAGUUCUUCAUAUAGUUUGCAUGUUCAUACAUUUAUCAUGCAUGUACCGGGAGGAAAAAUAGGUUCCCCCAUCUGAGCUUUGCUACACCUGAUUGAACAAAGAUGAUGGGAAAUGAAGAAAGGGGUCAAAGAGAAGCUCAUCAUCAAAGGUGAAGUAGCUAGACCCAGAUCUCCCUGAACAAGUGUAGAGCAUCAGAGGGAAAGGGAAUGUCUACACAGUCUUCUGUGGGAACACUGCUUGUCCAUGUCCCAUUGAAGUUACACCUCCUCUUUUCAGUCAUGAAUAAUUGCAGUAAUGCCUUCAGUCAUCAGCUAAUGACAACCUUUGUUCUUGUUCAGUUGCACUGAUAAUUAUUCAUCGCCUCCGUAUCUGCUAAUGGAACCAAAUAACUACUAGCCUUCUGUGCAUGGUGUGUUAGCCUUCUUUGACGUUACCCCAACUGUUAGCUCAAUUCCAGUUCAGCGGCACAAGAUGUAAAAAAAAAAAAAAAAAAAAAACCCCGAAAAAAAAAACCAUGAUUCGACCCUGAACUUCUACGUUGCAGAGCUCUCUCUACAAAAAUCCGUUUAUGGCUCUGCAAGUGGGGAAUGCAAGAGGAGAUGUAGAAGUUUCAAAUGAUAUGAAAAUUUACCCCACCAGUUUCAGCAUCGAAACACUGUAGUAGGCAGUAAAGCCAGACUUGAGCUAGAAAACAGGAGCAAAUAUAGAACUUCACCGUGGCAGAGCUCUCUCUGCAGAAAUCUGUUUGUAGCUCUGCAAGUGGAGAAUCCAAGAAGGGAUGCAGUAGUUUCUGAUCAUCUAUAAUUUUCUCUCAUCAGUGUUAGCUUGAAAAUGCAAAAGUAGGGAAAAGAGACAAACCUCGGCUGAAAAAUAGAAAGAAGAUUGAAACUUCAACAGAGCAGAGCUCCCUCUACAGGUGUCUGUUUGAUGCACCGUCAGUGAUGAAUCAAAUAGGAGACAAAGGAGUUUUAGAUUCAUCAGGUUCUCCCCUAGUUGAGACAACGCGUGAUUUCACACAUCAGUAGUGGCAGUGCUGCAUGUUUCUGUGCGCUGCCAAGAUUACCUAGUUAUUGGAAGGCUCUCCAACAACCCUCAAACAACCAUAACAACAUGAGAAGAUUGACAUGAUGUUGUGAAGAUUGUCAAAAGAAUUGAACAAGCUAUGAAGAGAGGAAAGAUUGAAGGAUUUGUCAUGGAUUCCAGAAUUGUGAAGAGAGUUGAAUCAGAAGAUGACUCUCGAUUGAGAAACCUCAAUUAUUUUGCCUAGUCAAGUCUCGCUCAAAGCACCAACUACUCCAAUGUCUUUGCCAAAGAUAGACAUUCCUUUGCCAUGUGGGUUUAUUUACUAGCAUCUGCCAGAUUCCAGACUUAAUGCCUGACUCCGACAAAACCCAUGCAACCACCGUUUUCUAGGUGGUAUAAUCCAGACAAGAGAUGUGAUGUCAUGGUGGGGUCCUCAGCCAUUUCAAUUGAACAAUUGCAAGAAUCGAGUCCGGAAGUUGGUGAGCAAAAGACGAGAGGAAUCUGUGAAGGAGCUUGUCAUCGAUCAUUUUGUCGUCAGAACAUCCUCAGAAUGACGAGUGAUCGAAAUUGCUUGGCAAAACAGAGAUAUUGCCAAAGAGGCUGAUCUAAGAAGGGGUUAAACUGUCAAUCAUUUUUGUUAUGGAUUUUGCCAUCUUGCAUUUUGUUUUGGGGUCACAUCUCAUCCUUGAACGAAACAUGUCUUUCCUUUGUCUUCCUGUUGUUUUGAAAUCAAGAGAUGCUUCUUUCAAAGGGUAUUUUUACAAAAUAUUUUGAUCAAGCUCCAACAUGCGAUUAAGAUUAAUCAAUCCUGAAGAUUAAAAGUAUUUUGAUUGCAGAAAUAACUCGAUGCUUGAAAAUGACAUGAGGUGACGAAACAAUUUUGAACUCAUACCUCCUGAAACUGAACCACACAUCAUAUAACUAAGUUUUAGCAGUAUGCAUAAUGACAUGUAGUGGAUUCAGUAGUUAUGGACUCGUGAAUCAUGACUCUUACAAGUCCAAAUCAUUACAUUGGAUGAGGUCAAAGUUUAUCGGUUCUAACCGACCUUGCUUGAAAUGAGAAAAGGCCAUCUUUGUUAUCCUUUCACAUUUCUUGAAAUAUUAUCCCUUGUGGUCCCCAUUUGAGCCUGGUAAAAUAUUUUCUUUCAAGAAACCUUGACUAGGAUCACACCCCACACUGGGGGCAAUGAGAGAUAUGUUAUUAGGAAGGAUGAAGACACUGAUAGAAUCAAUGAAAAAAGAAAGGCUUAGAAUAAAAGCCCAAUGAUUGAGAAAGGGAGAACAAGAAAAGCCAUAGAUUGAGGGCCAUCCAAGAAAACUUUGAGGAAGGUUAUGUAAAAGCAAAAAAAGUGGAAAUGAAGGAGAAUGCCUAUCAAUUCUAAGAGGGGCAAAAGAGGUUUCAAUGGAAGAAAGACACAACAAAUGUCAAAAGUCAACACCAAAAAAUCAAGUUUCAUGUCUUUUGGUGUGUCUAGGAUAAAGCCUUUAGUGUCUUCAAAAUUUUUUAGAUUCAUUAUUCAUCAGAGAAAGUUGGAUUUGCAUUAUGACCUAUGUUAAGAGAAUUCUGAUAUUUGAGAUUAACAAGGUUAUAUCACUUUCUCUACUAUGACAACAAGAGAAAGAGAGUUGAUGAAUAGUUGAUGUUGAUCCUAGGUCUUUGAAACCCUCAAACACCUUUUGAGCCUGAAUUUUCCUUUCUUUCAUAAGCCAUGAACCAUAGCCUGCAUUACGUGCUUUUAAAAGCCCUUUUUAAUCAAGUAAGCAAUCUGAACCGAUAAAUGACGAUCUCAAAACUUGAAGAGUUUUCCAUAAGAGUCAUAGCUUCAUGGAUUAAGCUACUGGUUAUUAUGCAUGCUGAUAAAAUUGGUGUAAAAAAAAAAAACAAUCUUUCUUGAUGAAUCCUCAAGUUUUGACUUGAGUCUUUUGUUUUUUGAAAUUCACAGAAGGUCACCUCAUUGUAGACCGUGAAAAGAUAUACCCAAGAUCAAAGAUUAAAACUAACAUAAAGAACCAUGAAAAAAGUCAUUUUAAACUUACAACGGGUCCAUUUCUGUUUUCAAAAUACAAGACAAUCAAAGGAUUACAUUGAAUGAUGUGUGUUGGGUCUUUGACCAAAAAGCAUGAUAUUUAAAAGAUCUUUUCCAAAAUAGAUAUCUCUCUAAUUUCAUUUCAACAAUUAGACUUGAAUUGACAUGAUCUUUGAAAUAUGAGAGUUGAUUCCAAAACAAGAAAGAUUGUUAAACAACAAGAACAUCGACCGAAUUUGCAAAAUCCUUGACAAGAAUGACAUCAACAUUUCUCGACACUCCUUGAAAAGUUGACCACCUAGAGGCAACACAGUGGAUCAAGGGUAGGAAAACAAAUAGUAUUCAGAUCAGCUGGGGGCAAUGAAAGAUGAUUAAAUGAUGAAUCAGUGUACUGAAGACAAUGGUGUUCAAAGAAAGAUAAUCAAUGAACGAGCACAUUCAGAUCAUAUUGGGGGCAAUGUUGUUCAAAGAUAGUCCAUGAUCUAGUGAACCCCGUCAACAAUCGGGAAAGCAAAGAUACACUUGAAGGAAAUCUUUUGAAACAUGGCUAUCGACCGAUGUGGGCGUACAGUUGCAUUCGAACGAAUAUGAAAAGAUGCACACCACCAAGAUUGAUUGCGGAACAAUGUUGUACUUGAAGGAUAAUGUCAUAUUAUCAUCUCCAACAUGGCUAUGACUUUUGAACGAUGUUAUCGCAUAGUUGUAUUUGAAUGAAUAUUGGAAGGAUGCACUCAUGAAGACUGACUGUGGGACCAUCUUGUUUUGAAGCUCGAAGGCGCACUUCAUCGCAUGAAUAUGGGUGAUAACAUGAACAUCAUUGAUGAUGUCAAGACAUUUCUUUCCACUAUCUGAUUUGACAAACUGAGAGAAAUCCAUGAGAAAGAACAUUGAGCAUACAACGAUGAGUCUUUCACUGCAAGCUAUGAGAUGCAUGUCUGGACGACUAGAUGAUUUCCAUGAAGACUGGUGAUAACAUAUACUUGAAGAGUAUUGUUUCAGCUUGAGGCAAGUUCAUGACUGAUUAACAAUCUUGAUGGGUUGGCAUGAUGCACACAACCAAUCAGAGGAUAAUUCUCAGAAGAAUCCAGGAGAGAAAAUCCUUCAUGAUGAAUCAAGCAACACCACACUUGGGGGCAGAGUCAAGCUUGAUAAACAACAAGAGCAGUAAUCAUCGUAGACAGCCCGAGAUGGGCACUACACUUACAUUUGAGUGGAAGGCUAGCAUACGAAUGAGCCAGUACAUGGGAAGGACAAAUAAAGCUUUGGAAUGCAAACAAAGGCACCCUGUGAUGAUGGAACAUCGAAGAGGGGGGACCUAUAUUUCGAAUCAGGUAAGGAUGCAUGCAUGUCAGCUAACGUUAAAACAUUGUACAUAUUUUUUAUUUUGUUGCAGGAAAAAUCCUCAAUGUAGUUUAGCAAGAUUGGGGACCAAAAAAAAGAGAGAGAGAAAACAAAAAAGGAGAAUCAUUGAGCUGAUAAUGACAGAGAAUCAUGUUGUGACCUUGGAACGGGAAGAAGAUGAGAUAAGCCUUUUUGUUAGGAAAAUCUCAAAGAAAUGAAAAGAUCAACCUUGCAAUCAGGAAGCAUCGAGUUUUCAAACCCUGCGAUCUAGAAUUAUCAAGAAGCACCAAGUUUUCCGGCCCUUCUUCUAUCAUCCCUUCAGGACUCCGCCAGGUAAGUCCCAUUUUUCACACUUGUCACAUCACAUCUUUUAUUUGGGUAGGUCACCCAUAACAAUGAGACCAAUUCAUAUUUUUUAUAUCCUCCGCCUGGGUAGGUCACCCAUAACAAUGAGACCACUUCACAUUUUUUCUAUCCUCCACCUGGGUAGGUCACCCAUUACAAUGAGACCACUUCAUAUUUUUUCUAUCGUCCACUUGGGUAGGUCACCCAUAACAAUGAGACCACUUCACAUUUUUUCUAUCCUCCACCUGGGUAGGUCACCCAUAACAAUGAGACCACUUCACAUUUUUUCUAUCCUCCACCUGGGUAGGUCACCCAUAACAAUGAGACCACUUCAUAUUUUUUCUAUCCUCCACCUGGGUAGGUCACCCAUUACAAUGAGACCACUUCAUAUUUUUUCUAUCUUCCACCUGGGUAGGUCACCCAUUAUAAUGAGACCGCACUUCACAUUCUUUCCAUUUGGGUAGGUCACCCAUCAUAAUGAGACCGUUUUCCACAUUAUUUUUCUUGGGUAGGUCACCCAUACAAUGAGACCAUCAUUUUUCUUGGGUUCGUCACCCAUACAAUGAGACCAUCAUUUUUCUUGGGUUCGUCACCCAUACAAUGAGACCAUCAUUUUUCUUGGGUUCGUCACCCAUACAAUGAGACCAUCAUUUUUCUUGGGUUAGUCACCCAUACAAUGAGACCAUCAUUUUUCUUGGGUUCGUCACCCAUACAAUGAGACCAUCAUUUUUCUUGGGUUCGUCACCCAUACAAUGAGACCAUUUGUUCCACAUUCUUUGUUUUGGUUUAAUGAGGUCGCCAGAUGGGAUCUCAUGUAGCUUUGGUUAAAGGGAAUCGCCAGAUGGGAUUUCAGGUUGACCGAGUUACGUAACAUCUUUUAGUUUUGGUUUAAUGAGGUCGCCAGAUGGAUCUCAUGUAGCUUUGGUUAAAGGGAAUCGCCAGAUGGGAUUUCAGGUUGACCGAGCUACCACACAUUUUUUAGUUCCAGUUGAAUGAGGUUGCCAGAUGGAAUCUCAUGUAGCUUUGGUUAAAGGGAACCGCCAGAUGGGAUUUCAGGUUGACCGAGCUACACACAUUUUUUAAGUUCCAGUUGAAUGAGGUCGCCAGAUGGGAUCUCAUGUAGCUUUGGUUAAAGGGAAUCGCCAGAUGGGAUUUCAGGUUGACCGAGCUACCAUAUUUUUUAGUUCCAGUUGAAUGAGGUCGCCAGAUGGGAUCUCAUGUAGCUUUGGUUAAAGGGAAUCGCCAGAUGGGAUUUCAGGUUGACCGAGCUACACAUAUUGUUUUUAGUUUUGGUUUAAUGAGGUCGCCAGAUGGGAUCUCAUGUUGGUUCUGGUUAAAGGGGAUCGCCGGACGGGAUCUCAGGUUAGCCCAACCACACAGGAUUUGGUUCUGGUUAAAGGGGAUCGUCGGACGCGAUCUCAGGUUAGCCCAACCACGCAGAUUUUGGUUUUGGUUCAAGGAGAUCGCCCGAUGGGAUCUCACAGAAAAAAAAAAGGAAAAAAAAAAGAAAGAAACAUUUAGAGUUUUUCUUUACAAAGCUUACUAUGCGAAACAUUGAGGAGUUUUGCUUCGUAAGCAUUGUAAAUAGGGGCAUCUGUUGCUACCCAAUUUUUGACCCAUGUUUUGAUAAAUUUUCAGAAAAAUCCAAAAAUAGCGAAAAACAUUGAAAAUCCAAAAAAAUACGUUUUUAAUACAUUUGCAUCGUUUUUUAGCAUUUUUAGCAUCGUCUCAAAAGAAUUUAAAUUUUCAAAGAUAUUUGGAACACUUUCAACUUUUCACGCGUCAUUUUUAAAAUCAUUGAUUUCCCGCAUUGCGUCGAUGUUGAUAUUUGCUCGCUUUCAAAAAUACAAAAAAAAUAAGAAAAAUCAAAAUUUACAAAAAAAGAGGAAAAGAGAAGGAAAGGAAAAGUUGAGGGACUAGUUUGAAAACCUAGCAAAACUUUUCCUAUAAAUACCAAGCUACACUGGUUUUUAAAGGGGGGGCAAUUUUGACAACAUAAAAAAAAUACAAAAAAAACCUAACCCUAAAAAACUUAAUCUUCUUCUUCCUGCAGCCGCCCCCCGGUUGAAAAUUUUCUCCCCUCUCUCAGCCGCACAUAACCCCCCGGUGGUCUCCAUUUUUCCCUCAAACCGGCGCCAUCCUUUCUUCCUUCUACCACACCGCCGGUCCCUCUCUGUCUCCCUUCCUCACACACUGCCAAGCUGGCCAUUACAACUCAAACAACCCACAUCAACCUCCCACAGAGCAGCCGUCCCAACUCAGCUUCUUUUCCCUCUCAGUUGCAGGAGCAAGAGACGAACGGAGUGGAGACCCAGCUCCCUCCUCACUUCGCCUCAGCAGCAGCGUCUCCUCAUCACAGCGCCGCCGUCUCUAGCUCCUUCUCCACGCACGGCUACUGUUGUAACCCAUUUUUGGGUCCCCACAAAAUAUAUAUAAAAAUACAUAGCCAAAGGAGGUUAGAAAAAUAACAGGAGGCAGAAGCACUCAGAAAGUGGUUGGAAAAUUGGGCAAUGAGGGUAAAAAUACAAAGAUUGGAUUUUUGACAGUAUAGUCUUGAAGGAGGAGAGCCCUGUUGAGAAGGAAAAUUUGAAAUUUGAGGAGAAAAGCCCAAAUUUAGAUGUUUAUGGGCUUAAUUUGAUUUUUAAAUGAAUUUAUAGGGGAUUUGAUUGCAAGAAAAAUUGAUUUUUAAGUCAAUUUGGGUUUUAAUUAGAAGAAAUUUAAGUUCUGGGGCCAAAAUAUAAUUUUUAGGAAUUUAUUAGGUCAAAUCAGGGGCCUAAUUGCAUAAAUAUUGAAGUUUAAGGGCCAAUUGGGGACUUAAUUAAGAAAAUUCGAAACCAGGGACCAAAUUGGAAGAGACGCGUAAAUGGAGGGGCUGUAAUUAAUUGAUUCAGGGGCCUAAUUGAAGAAAUUAGAAGUUUUUUUGAUCAAUUAAGGGCUCAAUUGCAUAAAUCAGAGGCCAAGGACUAAAGUGAAAAACGCGGCCAACAAGAGGGGCGGAGACCGAAAUUGGCAGGGAUGCAAUUGAAGAACAAAAAAGAUGAUUGAGGGCUGAUUUGAAAUUUGGCGCGUUUUGGCGCCACAUUUAAAUGAAACGGAGCUUUUUCUCCAAAACGACGCCGUUUCAUACAUUCAAGAAAAAAAAAAAAAAAAGAGAAAGAGCAGAACGGUGUCGUUUUGAACGACACUGUUCAUCUUCUUCCCCCCGAUCACGCAGCGGGGAGGAAGGAAAAGUGAAGCUUUUUUUUGAAUUUUUGCCGGCCACUCUCUCGCCUGGAGCCCACCGACCGGACACAAUGGCCGACCACCCACCGCGCACCACCCACCGAACCUUGGCAGUCGCACCAAUGGCCGACCAGCCGUUUGCUCCCCAUGAGAGCAGUACAAAGCCACGCCUUUGGCUCUAUAAAUAGGACCCCAAGAGCGCUGGUGGACGGAGAGGAAGGAGAGGACAGAGGGGGAAGAGAAAAAAAGAGAAAAACAGAGGAGAGACGGGGAGAAAAAACGAAAAAAACAGAGGAGAGAGAGAGGAAGAGGUAGAACGAAGGAGAGAGAAGGAAAAGAGGGGAACGAAAAAACAGAGAAGAGGAACGGGAAGAGAGGAAGAAUCAACCCGAAAACAAAAGAAAAAAAAAGCAAACCGAAAAAAACAAAGAGAAAAGGAGCAACGGAGAGAACGAACCAAACCGUCGGAAACAGUCGCAGCGCCACCAGCCUCCGCCACAGCGCCGCCAGAAACGCAGCAAGCCACCGCCUCCUCCGCGCCAGGUAACCCCUUCUUCCCCCCCUGUUCUGGCGUUUACGUUUUUUUUUCCUUCUCUGCAUGCAGAACGAAUAGCGUUCUGCAUGCAGAGGUGGGGGGGAAAUUAAUUCCCCCCCCGCCCGUUUUGAUCUGGGCCGGCCGGAUCCGGCCCAGUCCUGCCUUAUGGGCCGGAUCUGGCCCAGCCCUGUCUUCUGGGCCGGGUCUGGCCCAGAAGAGAAUAUUUAUUUUUUUGGGCCGAGAUCGGCCCAAUCCAUUUUGGGCCGAAAUCGGCCCAACAAUUUUGGGCUGAGUCCGGCCCAGUCGGUUGGGCCGGACCAGCCCAGCCCAUUUAGUAUUAUAUAUAUAUAUAUAUAUAUAUAUAUAUAUAUUAUAUUUUGUAUUAUUUAUAUAUAUAUAUAUAUAUAUAUAUAUGAAAAAAAAUUAUAAAAAUUUUACAAAAAUUAUAAAAAAAAUAUAUGUGAUUUUGCUGUAAUUUUAUUACUGUAUUUUGAUUAAUAUCGGUUGGUAUUUUUAUACUGUAAAGAUACAAAUCCGGUAUUAACAUACCCGGUUUUCAUCAAAACAUCAAAGAUUUCAAAAAUAAAAAAUAUCUUUUGCUUUCAAAAAUUUCUAAAAUAUCUUUAAAAAUAUUGUUGAUUUUUCUGCAUUUGCUUUAUCAAAGUGGAUUAAUAUUUGGUUGUAUUUUUAUACAGUAAGGAUACAAACCCAGUAUUAAAAUACCCGACUUGCGUCAAAACGUAUAAAAUACAUAUUUAAAAAAUGUUUUGUUUUAAAAUACGGCCUAGUCUCUCCAAUAUAUAUAUAUAAAUAUUAUAACAUCAUCUUUUUCAUAUAACAAAGAAAAUUUCAAAACAAUAUAUGUAUUAACAUGCAUUUUGGCUUCAAUAACCAGUUUAUUCAAGCCAUGAGAACUAGGCCAAUAUUUUAAAAAUUCUAAAAAUAUUUUUGUCCUCUUUUAGUAUUUGGGAUUACGAAUUUAUACGUAAAACGUAUUCUUGAUAUUAAAAAUAUGUUUUUUUAGACAUUAGAACGGUUAAGCUUUACCCGAUAAGAUAAGGACCUCCUUAUUGAGGAGGACUUUUCUUGAACCAUAGACGGACUAACAAUUAGGAAACACAACGAAACCCUGAAUUUUAUCAGACAAAUAAACCAUGCAGCUUACCUUAGGUAGGGCGUAUUUGGGGUGCUAAUACCUUCCCUUUACGCAACCAGUCCCCGUACCCAAUCUCUGAGACCAGUUAGGGUUCCUAGUGACCAAAAUACUAGGUGGCGACUCCCAUUCCAUUAUCCACCAAUAAAAGACUAGAUUUUCUUAUCCCUCGUAUUGGCCACAUAAAUAAAGAUAUAUACCAUAUACACUUCCUAUCCUUUUUUUAAAAAAAGUGGAAUACUCGCCGCGACGCCGCGCACCCGCGACAGCUACACCCAACCGAGACCCAGCUCCUCCAUAUCAACGGAUCCUCUUCUCCUUCGGUCUCCUCGUCGCCUCCUUCUUCGGCUGAGCAGUGCCGGCUCCAGCCUCCCCCUUAGCAGUGGCCGCGGCAGCAGCAACCCACCGCCGGGUCUCCCUCAACCGACCCAGCAGCUGCUCCCACUCCAGCUUUCCCAGACCGUCUUGUUCUCUUUUUCUUCCAGCGGCGGCGGCAGCAGCCAGCCACCUCGUCGCCUCCUUCAAUCAGCGUCGCCGACCGGACAAACGCUCCCUCUCUCCACCGCAGCUCCAACAACUACAGACGACAACCGUGCCAGAUCUGUCACCGGAGCAAACCAUAACUAAAAAAAGGAAUUAAGAACAUAUCCGAAAACAGUUAAAGAAAAACUAAAAUCGACUGUGUUGUUGCGAUUUUUGUUUGUUAUUGCAGGUGAUUGUGUUCCUCACAACCAGCAAGGAAGGGAAGGGGAGAAGAAGCUGAGCCAGAUCAUCCACUUCUCGUUUUCUUCCUGCGGCGGCGCGUGAGUCCACGCGCCGCCAGUAACGGUGGCGCGUGGGAAGACGCGCCGCCACUGUUCCUGCGGUGCAGAAGGGCUUCCCUGUAAUUUCUGGAUUUUUAGGGACUGUUUUUGUAAUUUUUAGGAUUAUGUUAUUGUAAUAUUAUUGUAAUUUUUGUUUAGUUUGUUUAGAAAUUGUAUUUUGUAUUGUGGAUGUAAAAACAAAAGGAACAAAAGAAAGGAAAAGAAAAGAAAAGAAACAAAAAUAUAGUAAGAGUGAAUGUGUGUGUGUUUGUAUUUUUUUUUUUUAUAUAUAUAUAUUUUUUAUGAUAAAAUUGCAAAGAUUAAAGAAGAAUUUAAUAUUUUGAUUGGAUCACGGUUAAGAAUUAUUAACUUAUACGUAAGUUGUAUUUCUAAUAUCCGAUGAAAAAACAAUUAUUAAAACUUCUUUAAACACAUUAAAUUCGCGAAGCAGCUUACCUCAGGUAGGGUGCGUUAGGGGUGCUAAUACCUUCCCUAACCACAACCAGUCCCUUACCCGCGAAUCUCUGAUAAGACCAGUACAUCCGGUUUCCUAGUAGCCUUAAAUAAAUUACUAGGUGGCGACUCCAAUGAACCAAUUCAAAUCAAACAUAACAACAGAUAAAAUCGCCAGCCGAUGCCGCGCGGAUUUUUUAUGACGUGCGACAAAUAUAUUCAAGUCUCAUAAUAUCAAUUAAUAAGUCAACAUAAAAGAAUUACUAAAACAAAUUGAAAGAUAAACAAUUUCAUCACUAAAGAGUAAUAAAUGCUAACUAACUACAUAUAUGCAUUUAGACUAAAUGAAUACAAUAUUAAGAUUAAGAGUCACAUUGUCUUAAAACAUCCAAUGUAUUCUAUUACUUUAUAUUAUAAACUAAUCUUAUCAUUCUGAAAAUGAUUUAGCCAUACUAACAUCUAUACAUAUAUAUAAUACAUUCAUUACAUACUACACAUCUUCUAUUUGAUUUUUACAAUACGAAGGUAAUACAAUCAUUACAUACUACACAUCUUCUAUCUGAUUUUGACAACACAAGGGUUUUCAAAGAAAAUAAAGACAUAAAUAUUACAUUCCAAAAUGAUAAUUCAUAAACAGAAAAACCACAUUAAUUAAUUUACCCAAUAUCUUAGUCAUAUAUUAAUUAUUUUACCCUUAACCUCUGAAAUUUUAUACUUCUAACUUCAUUCAAUUAAUUUACAUAAUUUUUUCAAAACUUAAAUAUUCAGCUAACUCAUCUCGAUUGCCAAUAAUUCUAACACUUUCAUAUAAUUACCCACAAAUUUCGUUAUCCUUCCUCAGUUACUAAUAAAUCCGAUAAUUCCAUCUUAACGGCUCUCUCUUGAACGGCUUUCAUGCUUUGACAAAUCCACUUGUAUGCAAUUGCUCAAUGUAUUUCAACCUUGUCUAAGAAGUUAUACUAAAACACGUAAGUUAUCAUUCUUUUAAUGAAAGUUUUUUCAAACUUGUAUACAUCACCACUUUUCCGUAUUGAACUUUUUUUAUUACAAAUAAUAGAGAUUGUAUGGGAACUUGAAGAAUGGGAUAUGGUAUCAAUCUAAUCAAUGAUCAUUUAUUCAUUAAAUCGAAAUUGAAAACCAAGUUCUGCUCAUCACAUGCUACCAGUUGUUGACGUCAUUUUCUGCCACGCAUUGUCGCAGCUGAGCAACUCGUCACAACUAUCCCAAUAGCUUCUCCAUGUAACCAAAAACCCCACCGUGAACACCAGGUCUCUUCAGAAUGUUUAGAAACGGUAGAGAGAGCUGAAAGAGAGAAGAAUAAAAGAGAAGAGGACUGACCUUUGAUCGAGCAGAUCUCUACCUUUAGACAUCCGUUUGUCUCACCGUCAGUCUAAGAGCAAAGAGAAGACUUGUUUCAGAUCCGACAGCACACGCUCUUCCACCGGUAGUGGCGCGUGAAUCCACGUGCCGGAAGUGGUGGUGUCAUGUGGUACACACGCUGCCACUUAUUCUAGUAAUCUUCUAGUGUCUAUUGCAAUAUACCUUGACAUGUUAAACACAAAGAAAUGUCGAUUCAUAACCUUAAAAUAUUUUUUUGGACAAAUUGCUAUAAUGUUGUGAAAUUUUGGGAAAAAAUGCUUAUUUUGUGUUUUUUUUUCGGAUUGUUGGACACUUUUAAUUUGGAUUGAUGUGUGUUAUUGUUUUGAAAUAAUUUGAAUAUUUGUAGUGAAUUAUAAGUUUAUUUUUAGAUUGUUAUUGUUUUUUGGACAUUAAAUAUAUAUUGAUGCAUGAAUUAUGUUUGGGUUUAUGUUGAUUUGUUUGGAUUAAUAUGCAAUUUGAACAAAGUUUGUGAAAUUAAUAAGAUUCAUGUAGAUUUUUGUUGUUGCUCGACUUCAAGUUAAUGAAUGAUAUUUUGUUUUGAAUUAAUAUUAUGGUAAAAAUAGCCAUGAUAAAAAUAAUUUAUUUGUGUUUAAUUAAACAAUGUCUUCGUCCAUUUUCCAAAUCCUUGGAAGAUCAUCUUGUAAUUAAUUUUGAGUUCGCCAUAUUUUCCUACCAUUUUAAUAUUUGGAAUUGUGACCUACAUGCGAGGCGUUUUGAGUGUUUCAAACGAAUCGUUUUACCUUUUACAAAAACAAAAAAAAAAUCUCUUCUUUCAAAAAUACAAUCUUAUUUUAAAUAGCAUAUAGCCAAAUAAAUAAUCAUAUCUAGCUUAAAAAAUAGAAUACAUGGUGUGUUUUAGUAUUUUUAUACAGAAUUCAAAAAAAAAUAUUUGCAUUCAUUUUGGAUUUAAUAACUGGUAUAUUGAAUCCAUGAAAACUAUGUCAAUAUUUCAAUAAUCCAUAAAAAAUUUUAAUUCAUGAGAAUUGAUGGUCAAUAUUCUGGUAUAAAUGUUGGACCUACAAAUAGGCUGGUAUUUAAAUAUCAAGAGUUGACCAGAAAAUUCUUAUAAAUAUUUUAAAUAUUCACCAAUUUUAAUUGGAAGUAUUUUUCAUCACAAUACACGAGUUGUGAAAAAACCCUUCUACCUUCGAAGAUAGGUGAACCUUGUUAGGACACCUAUAUGGAUAUUUUUCAUAAGAAUUCAUUUGGGCAUAUGAGCCCAUAAUAAAUUAAAAAAAAACUGAUUUAUUUACAUGAAUAAAUCUUCAUCUUAAGCCCUAGACAUACCACUAUUUAGGAACCUAUCAAAGCCUUUAAACCACAUUCAAACCACACAAUGCAGCUUACCUCAGGUUUCGAUUCCUGCAAUCUAUUUAAGCACAAGGCAAUAGCAAAGCAAAUAUGCUAUUUAUUGUAAACCCCGGGAAAAAAUAAUAAAUAAAUAAAAGUGAAGAAAUUCAUGUAUAUGAUUAAAUAAAAACAGAAAUUCAGAAAUUUUUUAAUAUAAAUUUCCGGGCGAAAUAAUUCAAGACAUUAUAAUAAACCCGGUACUGUUGAGGGUUAGAUUUAAUUGAAGAGAAUAAUGCACUUAAAGGCAAAAGGGGGUCUAAAUAUAAAUAAGGGAAAAUAUAGAGUAUAAAUACUCUCUCCUCAACAAAAAAAUCUGUAAGAACCAUAAGGAGAGAAAAUAGGAGUUUUAUACCCAUUCUCGAGAAAUCAAGAGAGAAACACUAAAAUUUUAAGAACCCAUCCAAGAUUAAGAGCUUAAAGAUGGGAUAAACACUUGAGAGCAAGGAAUUACCAAGAAAUUGAACAAGAAGAAAAGACAGGAGGGGAAUUGAACAAGAAGAAAAGAAAAGAGGGAGUUCAGAAUCUUCAACUGGUUGAAGAUCAAAAUCUUAAUUUGUACCGGGUAAGGUAUUCUAAACAUGAUCUUAAAAAAAAAUUUAUUUUUAAAUUCGAUAAAGAAUUGAUGCCUUGAUAUUGAAUCAUAGGUUAGGGUUCUUAGACAUAAAUUGGGGAAAAAGUACUUAUUAUUGAUAUUAAGUUAAUUCAUGUGUGUGGUAUGUAACUUAUUAAAGUAUUGUGUGAAGGGAAGGGGGAGACGAGUCUAGACAGACUGGUCUCCUAACUUUCGAUGAGAUGUCGGGUAGGAGGAUGAGGGGAUUAGGAUCGGGUUCUUCAUAGAAAUUGUAGAUUUGAAUGUUAGCUAACCAAGGAAACUGGUCUUGCUCAAUUUGGAAAUGUAGAACUCCAGUUAUGGGUUACCAACUGAGACUGCGUCGUGACUGAUUUUGUAGGGCAGUAGGACUAAUUAGUAAAUGCACAAUUUUGACUAUCUUGGAGGCAAAACUGGGUUCUCCUCCCUCAGAGAACUAGUAGCCUCGUGUCUUAGCUUUCCAACGAGAUCAAUCUCAGUUAAAAUGGAGUUUUAGAACUUUAGAUAUAGUUAAAAAUCUGAUGAGUGUUCAGACAAUAACAGUUGGAAAUUGGAUAGUAACAGUUCAAAGUUACACAGUAAUAGUUGGAAAUUGGACAGUAACAGUUCAAAGUCAGACAAUAACGGUUGGAAAAGUCAGACAGUAACAGUUGGAAAAGUCAAAUAGUAACAGUUCAAAGUCAGACAGUAACGGUUGGAAAAGUCAAACAGUAACAGUUCAAAGUCAAACAGUAACAGUUCAAAGUCAGACAGUAACAGUUGAAAAUUGGACAGUAACAGUUCAAAAUUCGACAGUAACAGUUGGAAAUUGGACAGUAAACAGUUCAAAGUUAGACAGUAACAAUAGACUUUCAUGUGAAUACUAUAAAUAAGAAUAUAAAUGAAUUGAGUCAUACGAACACUUGUGUAUUGAGAUAUUAACUCUGAAAAUAUACAUGAUAUAUGUAUGUAUGUUAUUAUGAGGAAAUGAACAUGCAUAGAAAGUAACAUAUGAGUAAUGGAUGAAUAUAAAUUUUCUAUAAUAUCGGCUUGAAAGAAUCAUAACAAAAAAAAAAACUUCCUUGUGAUUCAGGAGGAGCAACCAGGAUCGGAUCUUCUGUUAGGGGAGGUCGCGAGACAGGCGAAGCAGGUGCGUGAUUUUCCCUCCUAUUUGCACUUAUACAAUUUAGAAUCCUUCUGGUGAAUGCAAUUAUAAUAAAUAUCGUGUUCAAUGUAAAUAAAGCCUAGUGUAUUUACAAGAUUAGCUUCGGCUAAUGGCAUCCAUGAUAGGAUUGCCGGGAAAUGAUUUACACGAUUAGCUUCGGCUAAUGGCAUCCGUGAUGGGAUUGCCGGGAUAUGAUUUACACGAUUAGCUUCGGCUAAUGGCAUCCGUGAUGGGAUUGCCGGGAUAUGAUUUACACGAUUAGCUUGCAAGGUCACCCAGUUUAUGCAAGUAAAUAAGAUUAUUCAAUUAAGAAUAUACAAAUGGGUGUUAAUUGGGUUUAAAAGAUUUACAAGCAAAAUAUAAGUUCUUUGUUAGAAUUCUCAUGGAUUCGAUAGAAAGUUAAUACUUCAUUCGUAUUCAUUACAUGAGCAUACAUAUAUUCUUUAUCAACAUAAUGGUAUGUUUAUUUAUGUAACAGGUCCAUCAAACAUCCAGGAAGAUCAUUAGUUUAGGACUCUACUUUGCGAAACUUAUGUAAAUAUUUAACUUAAAACAAAAGAGAAUUAACGUGUUUAUGUAGUAUACUUUUGUGCAAACCUUGAUGUAUUUAUAAAGGUUCAGCUUAGCAUGUAGUAUUUUAGUUAUCUUGUAAUUAACCCUUUUGAAAUAUUUAAGAACACUUCUUAUAUUGUAAAUACUUUCUUUGCAUGUUAGUAUUCCUUUUCCUUUAAAUUUUAUGAUAUAAUGUGUUGGACUAUGUUUAUAUUGAACUUACUCGUAGGAUAUAUAUAUAUAUUGUGUGGAUUGUAUGAGGUUUGAUAUAAGGUCCGGAAUUAAGGGACCUUGUGAUGAUGGGUCGUUUGAGUAAACUGAUAGUAGUCGAUAACUUGGGAUGUCCUAAAUGCAAACGAAACUCUGCCGAAUUUUUGGAAAAAAAAAAUUUACCCUCAAAUAAAGAGGAUAUGUUGGAAUCUUUUAACAUUGAUUGUGUCAGGACUAUUACAGUUGGUAUCAGAGGCCUGGUAUAGGUUCUGGGAAGAAAUCAAAAAAGGUUGUUGAUGUUCAUUAAUUUAUUGCAGGAUGGUACGUACCCGUCAAGAGAUUAGAACAGAUCUAUCCUCUGCAGGGAGGGGGAAUAGAAAUAUAGACUUUUCCGAGGGGCAAGAAGAGAGCCCUUUGGAAGAUACUGCUUCACAUGCACCGGUAGUAUCGACUCAAGCAAGGCAUGAAGAAUCGUUGGGGCCUCAAAUUAGAGAGGCACCAAGGCAAACUGGGGAUGUUCGGCCGACCACGUCAGCCCCGCGGGAAAGAGUAGAGGAGGCCCCUCAGACUACACCUGCAGGGCCAUCUGUUUCUUAUGUUGAUCCGAUGCUCUUGGCCCAGGUAGUCAAAACAGUAAUGGAAGGUAUGGCUAAUGCUGCCACUUCUAUGCCAGCACCCCCACCUGCACCCAUCAUACCAACCGUUUCAGAAGCAGCUACAGCUACUAAUGACGUGGUACAACUAGUUCGUUUGGUGAAAAGUAUGAGAGAAAUGGGUUGUGAACCCUACUUAGGUGAACAAAAUGCUAAAGUGGCGGGAAGGUGAAUUAGAAAGGUGGAGAAAACCAUGAUUCAAAUUAAGAUACCACAUGAUCUGCGGGUAGAUUGUGUUACUCAAUUACUAUCAGACAGUGCUAUGACUUGGUAGGAGACAGUUCAGUUGAGGAGGGCUACAGAAACCCUAUCCUGGGAUGACUUCAAGAUAGAGUUUGAGAAUCAAUAUUACUCCAAAUAUCAUCGGAAGAUGAAGGAACAAGAAUUCCUAGCUUUGAGACAGGAGGGAAUGUCAGUACUUGAGUAUGAGAGACGAUUUCAUGAUCUCUCACUAUUCGCACCACAUUAUGUCCCAUCAGAACAACACAUGAUAGAAAAGUUAAGGGAUGGCUUCAGACAAGAAUUGAAGCAGGGGUUGAUUGCUUUGCAAUUCAAGACAGUAAGGGAACUGAUUGAAGCAGCACAGGCCUUGGAGGCUUGUAUGGAAGAAGGCCAAUAGAGUCAUGGGGGUGCAGGAAAACGAAAGGAUAUGGAAUUUUUAGGCAGGCCACCACUUCCAAAGAAAGGUAGAGGCGAACAGUUCCUUCAAUUCAAAAAGAAAGGGGGGACGUCAACUAGCUUCCGACAGGAUAUCGGUGGGAGGUCGGGAAGUGGUCAGACCCGCUCCAGGGCUAUAGCUGCAAGGGGGCAUAAUGAUCAGAAGGAAAUUGGCUACCCUCGAUGUGCUAAGUGUGAACAAAGACACCCCAGGAGUUGUAUGGUUUCUCCAGGACGAUGCUAUAUAUGUCGAGGAGAAGGUCAUAAGUGGAAAACCUGUCAGUACUUAGGAAGAGGAUGUCAUCACUGUGGUGAGAAGGGUCACUUUAAAAGGGAAUGCCCCCAGUUAAACAGUGAACAGCCUCAGAGACAUAGGCAGCAAAGUCAGAGUCAUCAGCAGUCUAUCACAGUAAACAGACCGGGAAGGUCAACUCAGUCAGGAGCUAACUCAAAUAGGGGACGACCCAGAGUGCAAAAUGAAAGGGGUCAAGGAAGGGUUUUCCAUAUAACCCAGGAGGAUGUCAGAGCAGCAUCAGAUGUGGUGGCAGGUAUGCUGCAAAUGAAUGACUAUCAAAUGCAUGUUUUGUUUGAUUCUGGUGCCACUCACUCCUUUAUAGCAAAUAAAAAUGUAACCAAAUUGAGUAAGGAAACAAAAAGGGUAGAAAAAGGAUUUAUUAUUGGGACACCUUUGGGUGAAACUGUGGAAACAAAUGUUGUAUUGAAAGGGGUGGGAAUUAACAUUAAUGGGUGUGAACUAAAAGCAGAUUUAAUACCCCUAGAAUUAAGUGAUUUUGAAAUAAUUCUAGGUAUGAAUUGGUUGGGAAAAAAUAAGGCUCGUCUAGACUGCUUUACAAAAACAGUAACCUUCCAGGGGGCUAAGGGUGAAAUAAUGGUCUUUAAAGGGGAGAGAACUUCCAACUUUCCAAAUAUGAUCUCGGGCAUGGUUGCGAGAAAACUACUAAAGAAAGGUUGUACAACAUACCUUGCCUAUGUGAUAAAUUUAGAAAAGGGUAAAAUAGGACUGUCCGACAUUCCAAUUGUGAGGGAAUUUCCGGAUGUAUUUCUGGAAGAAUUGCCAGGACUACCCCCAGAAAGAGAAGUUGAAGUCACUCUAGAUAUAUUGCCUGGGGUGUCUCCUAUAGCCCAACCACCGUAUAGCAUGGCCCUAAAAGAAUUGGAUGAGUUGAAAAUUCAAUUGCAGGAGCUUUUAGACAAAGGGUUCAUACGACCAAGCAACUCACCUUGGGGGGCACCUGUAUUAUUUGUGAAGAAGAAGGAUGGAACGUUGAGGCUUUGCAUAGAUUACCGUCAACUGAAUAAAGUGACGGUAAAGAACAGAUAUCCACUUCCAUGAAUAGAUGAUUUGUUCGAUCAGUUGAAGGGUGCCAAAGUAUUCUCAAAGAUUGAUUUAAGAUCAGGAUACUACCAAAUGCGAAUCAAGGGGCAAGAUGUGCCGAAAACUGCCUUCAGAACUUGCUACGGACACUUUGAGUUCUUAGUGCUACCCUUUGGAUUAACUAAUGCUCCAACACUUUUUAUGGAUUUAAUGAACCGAGUAUUCCAACCAUACCUUGAUAAGUUUGUUGUCGUAUUCAUCGAUGACAUCUUGGUUUAUUCCAAAUCCUAUGAGGAGCAUGAACAACACCUGAGACAGACACUACAGACUCUGAGUGUAACAGCACGGCUUCUACAAGCCCAAAACAAUAGUAAUUUUUUUUUUUUGUACUUGACAUACAUCGUGUCGGUAAUCGGCGAACAUGUUCCCUUCACAUCAUCAAUAUAUAAUCCAUACAUCAACAACAAUCAACAUUUCAUUUAAAAGUGAAUCUUACAUAAACUUAUAAUAUUAUGUUUGCAUGAUUAGAAGUUCGCAUUUAAAAUAUACAUGCAUAGUCAUGAGUUUGUAUUCUAUCUUACAAAUAGUCAUCACGAAUUUAAUCUAAAAGGAUCUAAUAAUAGUUAUACAUUCAGUACAUUGAUUCAUAUAAAAUACAUCAUGAUUUAGAAUGCAACUACAUGAUUCCUUGCAAAAGUAGGUUCCCAUGUAUCGGGUUUCCUAGGCACCUUGUUGGUAUGGCGUCCCUACUGCAGUACAAAACAUUUACAAGAAUGCAAUUACUUAAUAAUAAUAAUAAUAAUAAUAAUAAUAACAACAAUAAGAAAAUGGUCUGGCAGUUUAACGAAGCAUUAACAUUAUCUCAUGUUUGAAGCGUGACAUUUGUAGUUCCUUCAUGUUCUUGGUAUACAUAACUUGCAGUAUAUAUAUAUAUACACCAAUUCUUGCAAUUAACUAUAAUCUUAAAUCCGGCCAUUCUUUUAAGACAUCAUUUGUCGAGGUUAACGAUUCACUCACCCCGGCCAUCCCCUUCGAAUUCCAUCAGCCAAUACUAAUCAACCGUUUGUCCUGGUCAUCCCUUUGGAUGCCAUUAGUCGAAGCUAAUCGUUCAUUUAUUCCGGUCAUCCAUUCGGAUGCUAUUAGCCGAAGCUAAUCAAUCGUUUGUCUCGGUCAUCCCUUCAGAUGCCAUUAACCAAAGCUAAUAAUUCAUUUGUCCUGGUCAUCCAUUCGGAUGCCAUUAGUCGAAGCUAAUCAAUCGUUUGUCCCGGUCAUCCCUUUGGAUGCCAUUAGCCGAAGCUAAUCAAUCAUUUGUCCCGGUCAUCCAUUCGGAUCCCAUUAGCCGAAGCUAAUCAUUCGUUUGUCCCGGUCAUCCCUUCGGAUGCCAUUAGCCGAAGCUAAUCAAUCAUUUGUCCCGGUCAUCCAUUCGGAUCCCAUUAGCCGAAGCUAAUCAUUCGUUUGUCCCGGUCAUCCCUUCGGAUGCCAUUAGCCGAAGCUAAUCAAUCGUUUGUCUCGGUCAUCCCUUCGGAUGCCAUUAGCCGAAGUUAAUCAUUUUUUUGUCCCGGUCAUCCAUUCAGAUGCCACUAACCGAAGCUAAUCAAUCGUUUGUCCCGGUCAUCCCUUCAGAUGCCAUUAGCCGAAGCUAAUCAUUCAUUUGUCCCGGUCAUUCAUUCGUAUGCCAUUAGCCGAAGCUAAUCAAUCAUUUGUCAACACUUAAGCAUUUGGCAAUCUGAUAUCUGAACUAACACAAUACGGCAACGUUCAUGAUAAGGUAUUUCAAUGUUCAAGGUCAUCUCUUCAGAUGCCUUUAGCUGAAGCUAAUCGUUCAUUUAUUAACAUUUAAGCAUUUGACAGUCUGGUAUCUGAAUUAACACAAUACAAUAAUAUUCAUGAUAAAGUAUUUUCAUUAUUCAACAUUAUUUAAAAGGAAGGUGAAAGUCACCUACCUGCAGUAGAAGCUCUACUUGUGCUCCCCUGUUGCUACUGUUGCACCACGCCAGUGGUCCCUCCUGCAGUCACAGACUCAUCUCAUAAAUUUUCCUCAUUCAAGGAUAUGUUUUAUAAUAAUCAUAUCAAUAGCUAAUAAAUCUUUCUUUCAAUCAUUUCUUUCUUUAUAUCUUACGUUUUUCUCAUUACACCCAUUAAUGUUGUCAUUCUUUAUCCAACCAUAGUUAUCAUUCCUUCAGGCCGAUAUUAUAGAGAAUUCAUAUUCAUCAAUUACUCAUAUGUUACUUUCUUAUGCAUGUUCAUUUCCUCAUAAUAACAUACAUACAUAUAUCAUGUAUAUUUUCAGAGUUAGUAUCUCAAUGUGCAAGUGUUUGUAUGACUCAAUUCCUUUAUAUAGUAUUCACGUGAAAGUCUACUGUUACUGUCUAACUUUGAACUGUUACUGUCCACUUUCCAACUGUUACUGUCUAACUUUGAGAUGUUACUGUUUGAUUUUGAGCUGUUACUGUUUGACUUUGAACUGUUACUGUCUGACUUUUCCAACCGUUACUGUCUGACUUUGAACUGUUACUGUUUGACUUUUUCAACCGUUACUGUUUGACUUUGAACUGUUACUGUUUGACUUUUCCAACUGUUACUGUUUGACUUUGAACUGUUACUGUUUGACUUUUCCAACCGUUACUGUUUGACUUUGAACUGUUACUGUUUGACUUUUCCAACCGUUACUGUUUCACUUUGAACUGUUACUGUCUAGACAUUUGAACUGUCAUUGUCUACACUUUGAACUGUUAUUAUCUAGACAUUUGAACUGUUACUGUCUACACUUUGAACUGUUACUGUCUAGACAUUUGAACUGUUAUUGUUUACACAUUGAACUGUUACUGUCCAACUGUUACUAUCUAGACAUUGAACUGUUACUGUCGGAACACUCAUCAGAUUUUUAACUAUAUCUAGACUUAUAGAACUCUGUUUCAAGCGAGAUUAGUCUCGUUGGAAAGCUAAUACACGAGGCUACAAGUUCUUUGAAGGAAGGAGAACCCAGUUCUGCCUUUGAGAUAGCCAAAAUUGCUCAUCAACAAACACUACCCUACAGGUUCUGUCAAGACCCAAUCUCGGUUGAUGACCCAUAGCUGGGGUUCUACAGCACCAUAUUGAGCAAGACCAAUUUAUUAGUUAGCUAACAUCCAAAACUACAAUUACUAUGAGAAACUUGAUCUUAAUUCUCUCAUCCUUCUACUCGAAUUCUCUCCAAAUGUUAGGAGACGAACCUUUCCAUUUACACACAACAUCCACAAUUUAACUCUUUUUCUAUCAUCUCAACCCCUGGUCAUAUCACAUAUCGUUUAAGACUGUAAAAAAAAGAAUAUCUUUAUAAGAGCCAAUUUAUCUUAUUUAUUUCAAUCUUCCCUCUUAACGUCAAAAUAAAACAUUCUUGUCGAUUUUACAAACUUUCCGAACAAUAUUCUUCUAAACACAAUCCUUGACACAGUUCCUAUAAACCAUAAAUAACAAACGAAUAAUAUUCCAAACAAUCUAUACUGUCAAGUUAUAAUGCAUUAUUAUGAGUAUAACAUAUCCAAAUAUUAACUUCAUCAAAUGGUGAAAUUUCCAGAAAUAUGGGUUUAACCGAACUGACCUCAAACUUGCAGACCUACUGUGCGAGAUAUACAACUUUUAUACCAAAUGUUUGUUUCAGAUCUCCACCAUUCAGAAUCUAGACAAAAUUAGGAAGAACAACAUAUCCAAGUUAUAGCCUAAUCCAACGGUAGCUGAAGGAGAAAACAGACAGCAAAGAAGACUGUCCAGAAGUGUAUUUUCCCAAAUAUUUUCCUCCCUCGAUAUCUCUCAAACGGGGACUGAUAUAUAAAAUCCCUACGGUGACAAUGUACACGACAUGGAUGAGAACAACAUACCCGAAUAUCGUGCUGAUCCAACGGUAGAAGGUGGAGUUAUAGCUGUCGGUUGAUUUACCAUCAAUAUAUCUUCUCUCCAGCCUCUCUCUAAACUCUCUCCUACUCUUGCCAGUCACUCCAAGAGAGAAAAUAGAAUGAUAUUUAUAGUUCUAACAUCUUGUUAAUUGCACAUUUAUCCCCACCUCUUUUUAUCAUUUAUACAUAAACUCCCAACCUUCUGUUAUUUGAAUAUUGACCUCUCUUGAUCUUACGUAUUCAUUUUGUCCUCACAAAUGUUUUUCUUUUCAAUGAUUUAGUACUAUAUUCACUUUUCAUGUCAUUAAUUUCACUAUUUUUAUCUUGAUUAGGUUUCUUUAAUUUAAUUUAACCCAUUUUACUAUUGGUUAAAUUUCUCAUCUUUUAAAUACCCAGAAAAAUUAUAACCGAGGGUUUACACUGAGGAGCCGCCAGUUGUAUGCCAAGUUGGAUAAAUGUGACUUCUGGUUAAAAGAAGUUACCUUUUUGGGGCAUGUAGUGUCUUCAAAAGGCAUUUUUGUGGACCUUUAGAAGGUGGAAGCAGUUUUGAGAUGGGAAAGGCCUACUACGGUAACUGAAAUACGUAGUUUUCUCGGAUUGGCAGGGUAUUAUAGAAGAUUUAUCGAAGGGUUUUCAACGAUAGCAACUCCAUUAACACGACUCACCAGGAAGAACAUAAGAUGGGAGUGGUCAAAGGAGUGCGAUGAGAGCUUUCAAGAAUUGAAGAGAAGGCUUACUACUGCCCCCGUACUAAUCCUUCCAUCCAGAAUAGAAGGCUUUGUAGUCUACAGUGAUGCCUCAAGAAAAGGACUGGGUUGUGUUCUAAUGCAGCAUGGAAAAGUAGUUGCCUAUGCAUCGAGACAACUGAAGACUCAUGAAGUCAACUAUCCAGUUCACGACUUAGAAUUGGCAGCAGUAGUUUUUGCUUUACGAGUAUAGAGGCACUACCUAUACGGAUCCCAGGUCCAAAUUUUCACGGAUCAUAAGAGCCUUAAAUAUCUAAUGUCGCAAAAGGAGUUGAAUAUGCGACAACGGAGAUGGGUAGAAUUAAUUAAAGACUACGACUGUAUUAUAGAUUAUCAUCCAGGAAAAGCGAAUGUCGUCACGGAUGCUCUCAGCCGUAAAGACAAAGUGAUUAGGAGUGGACCAACGACUUGGAAUGAGGAAACCAUGAUUGAGCUAAAGAGAUUGGGGGCAAUAUUAGGUGUGAGUCUGGAAGGAUCCUUAAUGGCUCAACUAAGGGUGAAGUCAGGAUAUCGAGAGCAAAUAUUAGAGGCAUAGCAACAUGAUGAUGAGGUGUUAAAAGUGAGAAUCAAACUGGAAUCGGGGGGUGAAACUCUUUUUCCAAUGGGUGAUGAUGGAAUAGUGAUGUUGGGGCGACGUAUGUAUGUGCCCAAAAAGACCGGAAUCACAUUGGUGAAAAACAAAAAUGAUGAGCUCAUUCCUACUCGCAUCUCGAGUGGAUGGAGAAUGUAUGUUGAUUACAGAAAGCUCAAUCUUUCUACACGCAAAGAUCAUUUCCCAUUACCAUUCAUGGAUCAAAUGCUUGAACGCCUAGCAGGUAAGUCUUUUUAUUGCUAUUAAUCCUGAGGAUCAAGAAAAGACUACAUUUACAUGUCCAUUUGGUACAUAUGCAUAUAGGAGAAUGCCUUUCGGUCUCUGUAAUGCUCCUGCAACUUUUCAAAGAUGCAUGAUGAGUAUUUUUUCUGACUAUGUUGAAAGAAUAAUCGAGGUUUUUAUGGAUGAUUUCAUGGUGUAUGGUGAUUCUUUUGAUAAAUGUCUAGAAAAUUUAUCUUUAAUCUUGAAAAGGUGCAUUGAAACUAACCUUGUCUUGAACUAUGAAAAGUGUUAUUUUAUGGUAGAACAAGGAAUAGUUCUUGGGCAUGUUGUGUCUUCACGUGGAUUAGAGGUUGAUAAAGCUAAGAUAGAUGUUAUUUCAUCAUUGCCUUACCCCUCAUGCGUGAGGGAAGUUCGUUCUUUUCUAGGCCAUGCAGGUUUCUAUCGACGCUUUAUCAAAGAUUUCUCGAAGAUUACAGCACCCUUGUGCAAACUAUUAGCCAAAGAAGUGGAUUUUGUGUUUGAUCAAGCAUGUAAAGAUGCCCAUGAUGAGCUUAAGAGACGUGUCACAUCUGCCCCUAUCAUCCAACCACCAAAUUGGGAUGAACCUUUUGAGAUAAUGUGUGAUGCGAGUGACUAUGCGGUAGGAGCUGUGCUUGGGCAAAGAAUUAGGAAGAAUUUGCAUGUUAUCGCCUAUGCUUCUCGCAUGUUGGAUGGAGCACAAUGCAAUUACCAUACAACUGAAAAGGAACUUUUUGCAGUGGUGUUUGCUCUUGAAAAAUUUAGGUCAUAUCUACUUGGUACAAAAGUCAUUGUUUUUACUGACCAUGCAGCUCUCAGGUAUCUUUUGAAGAAGAAGGAGUCCAAACCAAGACUGAUUAGGUGAAUCUUGCUUUUACAAGAAUUCGAUCUUGAGAUCAAAGACAAAAAAGGUGUCGAAAACCAUGUGGCUGAUCACUUGAGCCGACUAAGGACCGAGGAUAUACAGAUCGAAACAAUAAGAGAGACAUUCCCUGAUGAGCAGUUGUAUAUGUUGCAUUCCUCUACAAGACCAUGGUAUGCUGAUUUGGUAAACUAUUUAGUCACCAAAGAAUUCCCUCCAGGUUUGUCUAAACCCCAAAAAGAUAAGUUACGAGCUGAUGCUAAAUAUUAUUUUUGGGACGAUCCUUACCUUUUGAAAUUUUGUGCGGAUCAAGUAGUUAGGAGGUGUGUACCACAAGAUGAAUUUCAUUCCAUUCUCACUUUUUGUCAUUCUCAUUCUUGUGGUGGGCAUUUUGGAGCAAAAAGAACAGCCCACAAGGUACUUGAAAGUGGUUUCUAUUGGCCUUCUAUUUUUAAAGAUGCAUAUCACUUCUGCAAAUCAUGUGAAAAAUGCCAAAGAACAGGUAAUAUCACUCAUAAGAAUCAAAUGCCUUUAACGAAUAUUCUUGUAAGUGAAAUUUUUGAUGUUUGGGGUAUUGACUUUAUGGGUCCAUUUCCUUCUUCAUUUGGCAAUCUUUAUAUUCUUCUUGCUGUUGAUUAUGUGUCCAAAUAGAUUGAGGCGAAAGCCACACGAACUAACGAUGCUAAGGUUGUUUUAGAUUUUGUCAGGACUCACAUAUUUGACAGGUUUGGAAUCCCUAAAGCUAUCAUUAGUGAUCGUGGCACUCAUUUCUGUAAUCGUUCCAUGGAAGCAUUGCUACACAAAUAUCAUGUGACUCAUCGAACUUCCACAGCAUAUCAUCCUCAAACGAAUGGCCAAGCUGAAAUUUCAAAUCGAGAAAUCAAGUCCAUUUUGGAGAAAACAGUGCAACCUAACCGGCGAGAUUGGAGUCUAUGUCUUGGAGAUGCACUUUGGGCUUAUCGGACUGCUUAUAAAUCACCUAUAGAAAUGUCACCUUAUAGAAUGAUUUAUGGGAAAGCAUGUCAUCUACCGGUGGAGCUUGAACACAAAACGUUUUGGGCCAUUAAACAAUGUAACAUGGAUUAUGAUGCUGCUGGGAUUGCAAGAAAACUACAACUGCAAGAGUUGGAAGAAAUUCGAAAUGAUGCUUACCAGAAUGCAAGGAUUUACAAAGAAAAGACUAAGAAUCUUCAUGACCGAAUGCUUACAAGAAAGGAGUUUCAUGUUGGAGACAAAGUCCUUCUUUAUCAUUCGCGUUUGAAACUUUUUCCUGGAAAAUUGCGCUCUCGUUUGAUUGGACCCUUUGUUGUUUCUAAUGUUUUUCCUUAUGGUGCAGUUGAAAUUACAAAUUUAGAAACCAACAAAGUACUCAAGGUCAAUGGGCAUCGUUUAAAACCUUUUUAUGAAGGUUGGACGGCAGAACUCACCGCUUCUGUAGAGUUAGCUGAACCAAUCUAUGAAGAAUGAACAUGCCACAUGUCAAGCCAAUGACAUAAAACAAAAGCGCUUACUGGGAGGCAACCCAGCACAAAAAAAAAUCAGAUUUGCUUUCUUUUUCCUUAUCUUUUAUUUUUUCGCAUUUUAAUUUAUUUUCUGUCAUUCUCUUCUGUUCCUUUGCUUUUAUUUCAACAUUGAGGACAAUGUUGUGUUUUAAGUGUGGGGGUAUUGGGAGAAUGUUGGUUUUCUAAUUUUGGUUUUCUUUGUUAUUUUUCAAAAAAAAUAAUUAUGUUUGAUCUUUUGAACUCCCAUUGGUUUUUGAGAAUAUGAGUAUUAUGUAUGAGAAUUAGUUGAGAUAGAUGAAGAUAUAAAUCAAAUGAAGGAGUAUGCAUGUAAAUUUUAAGGUUUAAUUGGUUUAGGGAUUGACUUUGAGAAUAUGCCAUGUUGACUUUAUAGUGUUAUACCAAUGCAAGCUUUUGAGCCUUCAACAUUAUAUUCUUUGAUUGUGCAUUCUUUCAAUGAUAUGUAUCUCUAGAACUUGCUUCAUAUCUUGUUGAGAUUACAUUCGCAUUACAUAUAUACAUGAAGAUGAUAAAGGCAUUAGAAAUUUUAACCACUUGAGCCAAAAAGCCAACCUAAAACAUAUUAUCCUUAGUGAACCCCUUUUGAGCUUGUUUAUCUUUUCUUUGCUUUAUCCAUGUAUAAGCCUUAACUUUUUAUAUGUUUUCCUUUUCCCUUGGCCAAGGAUUAGUAGAGCAUAUACUUAUGAUAUCUCAUGGAAUUAUGGUUGGAAAUUAUGUGAAAAGAAAGAAGAAGUGAUGCUUGAUGAAAAGAUGGGCAAAGUUGCCAAAGGUAAAAAAAAAAAAAAAAAAAAAAAGAACAAAGAAAAAGAAAAAAGUGUUCCUUUAUGUUCUUAAGAUUUUAUGUUGAAAAAGCUUGAAAUCAAAAGAAGAUAAACAUUGGUGAUUAAAGAUGGAAAAUUUAUGUGCUUUGAUGAAAUAUCUUGUUUGAAAUAUCAUUUUUUAGAAUGCUCUACUUUCUUUGGUUUGAACCUUUUCUUUUACUCUCUUUUACCUCACCUAAACCUUAGCCUUAAACACGAUAUUGCAUGUUUUAAAAUGUAUGUUGAUUCAUGCAUUGUUUGUAAUAUGUUAGUAAUGGAGAUGAGAUUGAAAAGCAAGCUUAUGGUAGAACAUAUUCAUUGAUUGAAUUUGAGAGAUUUAAACAUAUAAGCCUUAAACACGUGAGUGUUGGAGCGUAUAUCAAUGAGAGGGCCUAUCACUUUGGCAUGGCAUAGAUUUCAUUUAAAUCCCGACGAUAAAUUGAGUUUUGAAGUUUGCAUGUAAAUGAAUUCAUGAGAAUUAUACUAUUUAUCAUUCUUGAUUGUAUUCUUGUUUAUAAUGCAUAUAUUCUUGGACAUUGAUGGGAGAUUAAGAGAUUGAUCAUAGUUAUUUUCAAUUUAAUUUUAUUUAUCCUUUCUCGAGGACGAGCAAGAGCUAAGUGUGGGGGUAUUUGAUGUAACUAUAUUAUUCGAUAGUUUCACCCACAUCUACCUAAUGUUUUGUCCAUGUUUUAUAUAUAAAAUGCCUUGAUAUUCUUUGUUUUAUGUUUUGAAGGCACUUUUGGAUGAAAGAUGAAAAAGGGAGUAAAUUGGAGGUAAUUGGCAGAUUUGAUGUUCAGUCAAUGUUUUGUGCAGAGCGUGAGUUCUAGAGAUCGAAAUGAAGUGAUUCCAGUGGCACUAAAAAGCUAACAUUCAUACCUUUCUGGAAAUGUAAUGCAAGAAAAAUAAAAAGAGAAAGAUCAUGGAAAUCACAUCCUGCAAAGUCAAAUCUCGCAUUCUGCCAGUGUUGACCUUUGGCCAUUCAAAAUUUAAUAUCUGGAGCUACAGAAGUCCAAUUAAUUCAAACUCAAUUUUCGUGGAUUUAUGACUUAAAGACCUAUCAACGAUCCAAAUUUCAGCCAAAAAAGAUGUCAUAUGAGGGAGAUAUGAUUUUUCAAAGAUGACAACUGAAUUCUGCCAGCAAACAGGUUUCGUGAAGAAACAAGUCCAAAUUACAUUCCGAAGCAUCUAAACCGACAUCCAAGUUUUUAUAUCAGUAAUUUAGCUCCUCUAAGUCAGAGCUUGAAGAUUUCAUGCAAGGCUAUUUCUCCUUUUAGGAAAAAAUAGUUAUUGAAGUACUUAAAUGUAAACUGCCAACUCAAGGAAGGACUAUUUUGUAAAAUAGAGACUAGGGUUUCUUAGCAUAUAAAAAGAAAGAGAGAAGGAGGCAGCAGCCAGCAGAAAAGAGGGAGAGCAGAAGGAGGCAGCAGCCAGCAGAGAAUAAACACAAAUUCUCUCCUCUACAAACCCAAAAAAUCAUGCUCUUUUCAUUCUUUAGAAGUAGUUGUUCAAUAGUUAUGCAAGGCUAAGCUCUUUUCUUGGUUGCAAGGACACAACAAACCUUCGGAUUUGAAGAACCGUGAGAUUUAUUCUUCCUUUUAUUUUCAGUUUAUGUUAUGAAUGAGUAUGAUUGUUUUCCUAUGCAUAUUUCCUAUGAUUGUUUUUGAUGAUUGCUAGAGCGGACUCUAAGUUAUUGUUGUGAACAAUCUAUUGCUAAGUUUAAUAUCAUAACCGGAGUUGUGAUAUAUGAACUUGUGAAGCAACUAAGCUUGAUAAUUGUGGCGGAACUACGUUAUUGAACUUAGGGAGAACAUUUGAACAAAGUGACACAAGCUGCGGACAGCUUGUAUGUUAAUCUUGAUGAAAUUAUCUAGUUCUUAAAGCUACCAUUAAAUUGAAUCAUUAGUGCGGACACUUUGAUUGUUUGUUGGUUAGGAUUAGUUAUACAGUGGAUCCGUUAAUUAAUCAACGUUAAGAAAAGAUAAAUUUCAGAACAUAAACUGCAAUUUUCGUUUCAAGGAUCGGUUCUAAUUUCCGUUGGUGGAUGUGUGCUUGCGACCAAGGUUGGUUUUCUUGAUAAGUUUCGGUUUUAAUUGAUUUUGUUUGCUAGUUUAAUUGCUGCCAUAGUUUAGAUAAUCACAAACCAAAUCCCCCCAAUUACAUAACGUACAACAUAAAAAUUUGACUUGAAACUUCCUCGUGGGAUCGACCCCUUGCUUGCUCUAUACUAUCUUGUGUGCUUUAAGCUAGGGUAAUUAAUUUGUGCGACCGUGACAUCGCAACAAAAUGAAUUUGGGAAUAACCUAAAAAUGGAUUAUGACAAAUACCAAUAGUUUGAAAGAAAUUGUUUAACUUACAAUAUUCACCACACCAAUCAUUUUGAACAGAUUUAAUUUUGUGGGAAAACUGACGCUCAACAAACACUUAAAAACGUUGAAAUAUAGAAAACACAUCGGAUUGGGCAACAAGAGGAUAAUACCAUAAAUAUUUUGUAUGCGCAUCGAUAAAGAUAACAAAGUAACGAAAACCAUCAGAGGAAAACAUAGAAGCAGAGCCCCAAACAUCAAUGAAUAUUAAAUCAAGUGGAGCAGUAGUUUUAUUACCCGUAGGUCACAAUGAUAAACACAAAGAUUUGUCAAGCGGACAAGCUUCACAUUUAACAAGAGAGCGUCUAGAAGUACACGUUAUUUUAUUUUUGAAAACUAACAAAUUAAAAAUACAGGAAGUAGGAUGACCCAAUCGAUGAUGUCAGAGAUCAGCAGUCACAAAGAUGCAAGGAGACCAAUAAGCUUGAGGAAUAGUGGUGGCAGAAGACUUAGAGAGAGCAUAUAGACCAUCAUUGCUUUGACUAGAAAGGAGCACUGCUUUGGUGGUGAGAUCCUUUACAUAAAACACAGAGGCGUGAAAUUCAAAAUAAACAUUAUUAUCACGAUAAAUUUUUUGAACAAAUAGCAAUAGUUUGGUAAUACGAGGAACAUGGAGAAUGUAAAGGUGUGUUUAGGGGAAUGUAACAUGGUAUGCCUAAUAUGGGAUAUGGAAUGACCCUUACCAUCACCAACAUGCAAGUGAUCAUUACCAAGAUAGGUUGCAAAAUCAGUUAGAGUUGCAAAAUCAAGUGUAACAUGUUGGUUCACACCAGUAUCCGGGAACCAAAUAGGGGCAGGAACAGAGCCAACAGCAAGAGGAGUAGAGGGCUGGUGGCCACUGCUGUGAAACUAAGCACAUUGUGGGGCGGUAUGUCUAAAAGAGAAGCACAUUAUGGGGCGGUAUGUCCAAAGGAGAAGCACAUCUGACACUUGAUGUUCUGCUCAAAAGGUCGGUGAGGAGGCCACUGCCCAAAACUAGCAGAGGAGUGAAAACCAUGAAAAUCAGACCUGUGCUGGCUGCUAUAUCGGCUGCUCUUGGGGUGCUAGUUGCCGCGAGAACGACCUCUGUUGCGAUUGAAAUUAGGGCUGUGCUAAUGCUGGGCAAGAUGAACAGAGGGCAGAGGAGAUGGUGUGGGCAACAGAGGUGGAUUUGCAGCCAUGGAUGGAAGGGAAGUCUUAUGCAGAAACUCAUGAGUAAAAAGAUGACUAUGAAGGUCAAGUAUGAUAGCAGUUCUGCCUUGGUCACAAUACUAGUUACCAAGUCUUUAAACUUACCACGAAGACCAUGAAAUAUGUAGAGGUUGAAGUCUUCAAGAGAAAGGGGUCAACUAAAAGCAACCAGUUCAUCAAAUAAUGACUUCGCGUGCUGCAUAUAUUGAGCAACUAAGGCAUCGCCUUGCCAAAGAUCUUGAAAAGACCCAUGGAGUUGUAUGAUACAAGAAUUCGACGAAGAAGCGAGCACUUUCUCAAGAGUGCACCAAACACAAAAAGAAGUCUAACAUUUUACCAUAAGGUGCAGUACAUCCAUGGAGAGAGAGGGGGUAACACACUUAAAAUAAGCUAAUCCUAUUGCUUCCAACAAAGAAAGGAGGGGUUGAUUGCCAAAGAGGAACCAUCAAAACUAUCAAAAACAUAAGAGGGAGGACACAACAUUGAGCCAUCGACAAAGUGGAAAACACCUUGACCAAAGAUAUGGCUUUAUCUGCAUUCGCCAAUAGAGAUAAUUGGUGUUUGUAAGCUUCAAUGAAACCACUUGCUGAGUGUUGGAUAAUGCAAUGAUAGAAGGAGUUGAUGUCCCCAUGAUGUGAAGAGGGAAAACAGAAACAUGGGAGAAGGAACCAUGGUGCUGCUCUGCAAGUGAGGGCUGCUACUGGUGUGAGAAAGAACCAUCAGCAACAACUUUUGAUUGGCUAGCUGGCUUGGCUGCACCGCUAGUAUGGUGGGGGGAGAGGGUGGCAGCAGGAGUAGAGUCUAUAAGGAGAGGGAAGAAAUAGUUGUGAUUGUAGAAGGCUCUGAUACCAAGUUGAGAAUAAUUAGGAGGCUUAACCUAUUGGUUAGCUAGCCUUUUCUAUAUAUAUGUGUACGACAAUAUACAAUAGUAAUGGUGGAGAUUACAAUUUAAGAGUAUACCAAUAAUAUUUCCUAUAUAGGUACAUUCUAUAAUACACAACUAGACCAUUAUCCCUUAAACCCUACUCCUCUUAACCCAUCUCAACCACCACCACCCAUUAAAUAAAAAAAACAACCAACCAUCAUUUUCUCUUUACCAAAUUAAAGAAAUAGACCCAUUUCCUCAUCUCUCUCGGUCUCCACGCUAUCAGCCAUCACGAACACUAACAGCUCCAACCAAUAACAACCACUUCCAAGACUCCCCGUCCACCAUAACACCACCGUCAAAAUCCAACACUAGCAGCCUUUAACCUCUUAUUCAUUUUAUUUUUCUCUAACACAAGUACAGCCAAAACCACCAAAAAAGGUAUUAACUCCUUAUGGCAACACCUAACGUCUUUCAUCUAUGAUAGCAGCAGCAACCACCUGAAGAAGUAAAGAAAAGGCAAACUGAGAUGAAGAAAGAAUGAGAGAAUGAGAUCUAAAAAAAGAAAUAAAAGUAAAAGUUAUUGUUUGUGUGUUUUUUUUCUUUGUCUUGCAGGUCAGGUGACACUCACUGUUGGCACAAGAUGAAAGAGAAGAAGAUUAUGCUUCAGAUCCACCUUGUUUUCCAUCUCUCCAGCAGCAGCAGCGCGUGGUUCCAUGCGUUGUUAGUGGAAAUGGCACCUUGAUACAAGUGUCGCCACUAUUCCUCCAACCCUAAAAUCUUCUAGCACUAUUCCCGAACUCCAACUUCUCCAAAUUAGUUUUGACCUUUGGAAGGCCUACUUUGCAAUUUUUUUAAAUUAUUGUUAGAAAUUUAAAUUUUUUGUGUUUUGUAAACAUGUGUAAUUUUUAGAUGUGCAAGUAAGAUAUAGUAAAAAAGAGAAUGUAUGUGUGUGUUGCAUUUGUUUUAUUAGUUAUUUUCAUUUUGUCAUAGAAAAGAUAAAAAGAUAAAAAAGAAUUCAUUUUUCCAAAUGUUUUAAUUGCAUACGAACAAGUCCCUCAAAAAUACAAAAAUCAUGUUUUUGCUUAAAAAGUAUAUACAUGUGUGUGUGUGUGUGUGUUUUAACAAGUUUUUACAAAAUAUAUAUUUCCGAGCAUUUUGAAUUUAAUAACUAGUUUACUAAAUUCAUGAGAAUUUGGCCAAUAUUUCAAUAACCUUUAAAAUUUUAAUUCAUGAGAAUUAAUGGUCAAUAUUGUGGUAUAAAUGUUGGACCUGCAAGUAGACUAAUAAUUAAAUAUCAAGAAUUGACUAGAAAAUUCUCAGAAUUAUUCUAAAUAUUCAUCAAUUUUAAUUGGAAGUAUUUUUCACCACAACGCACGAAUUAUGGAAAACCCUUCCGCUUUUUAGGAUAGAUGAACCCUGUUAGGGCACUUACACGAAUCAUUUCUAUAAGAAUUCAUUUGGGCACACGAGCCCAUAAUAAAUUCGAAACGCCAGAUUUAUUCACAUGAAUAAACCCUAUCCUAAAACAUAGACAAGAUAACGGUUAGGAACCCAUCAAAACCUUUAAACCAUAUUUAAACCACACAAUGCAACUUACCUCAGGUAGGGUGCCCGAGGGGUGCUAAUGUCUUCCUUAGCCACUACCAAUCCCUUACACUUAGAAUCUCUUAUAAGGCCAGUAUACUCAGGUUUUCUAGCAACCCUAAACCAAACUACUAGGUUGCAAUUCCUUGACCCCGACACAAUCAUAGCAUAGAGACUUAGUUGUGGCUUUCCCUUUAGUUAAUAACAAUAGGAAAAUAGGUUUUGAUCCCACUUCAUGGCUACACUUGAUGAGAUUAAGAUUUAUCGUUUUUAUGAUCUUGGGACGAUAUAUAUCUCAUAUUAUAUGCCUCAGAUUCCUCAGGACUUUCUAUGAAAGACCAUUUUCUUUCAGGGGUACCCUAAAGAGGACUUAAAGAUUUCAGUUGUAUAUAUCCGAUAGCAGAGCAGAAAAACAAAAGUCUCUCGGAUAGCACCCAAUUUGUGGCAGUUUCAUGUCAUCAAAAGUUCACCGAAAGGCGAUGCUUGCAAUCGUUAUGUUUCAGAAGCAAUAAUAUUCUUGUCUAUCCUUCUAGGCUAAGAUGAAAUAUGGUGGAGGUUAAAGCACAUCUUAUGUUUGAUGGGUCCCAUUUAUAAUGAAGGUUUGGGAAAGAUCAAGAAAAGGUAUAUACUCAGAGCAUUUCCCAUUGUUUCCCUUUUUCUGUAAAAGAUAUGUGUAAAUCAAUGCUUCAAAGGGAGGCGUCCCCUUCUCAUUUUCAUAGGAGAUAAGAUAUUUAUACUAGAUACACUUGUUCACAUAUGUAGCUCGGAUUGGGAAUCAUGCUUUUCCUUAACUCUUCAUCGACUAUCAGCUUAGUUAAAGAUUUGUGAAGGAAAUUUUGGUUAUAGAAUUCACAAAUGAUCCAAUCAUGGUCAUGAUCGCUGAUGUUCUUAGAUAUAUUGUAAAUUUCUACUUUUUUUCCUAAGCUAUUGUUUUACCUUGAACUCCGUUUAUUCUUUCUUAAUCCAAGACGCUCCCCAUGGCUCAUCAUUUUAUCCCUGUGCUCAGGACAAUUCCAAAAUGAGGUGAUAAUUCUAAACUCGAAAUUAUUCAGUGAAAUCACACCUUGAAGAGCUUAAAAGCAUUUGAACAGCAAAUUAAUUAUGUAUUUUUCGUAAACAGACUAUAUAUAUGGCCUACCACAUAUUUUCAUGUACUAGUAAGACAUGUUUUGGCCCAAGAAAAAGCAUGAUCACGCAAGACCAGAGUAGUAAUUCUACAUGUUGUUUUCCAAUUAAAAACCACUCAGUAGUUAUUGGAGCAUUGGAUCUCCAAAAAUUAGGCUCAUGAGUUAUUAUUUGGGUUAAUUUUGUUAUUUUUUCUUAAUUUUGCAGAUUUUAUGUUAUUUCCCGUUAUGUUUUGGGAUUUUGAUUUUGUUUCCAAUCUUGGUCCAUUUUUCUAGCCUAUAAUAGGGAUUGUAAACCUCUCUAGGAGGUAGACUUGAUCACAUAAUAUUUUAGAAAUAAAAUAAGGUUUUGGGAUUCUUUUGUGUUUUAACAUAUUUCAGUUUAUCUUCUGUCUUUGCAUGCUUGCAGCUAGUUGAAGUUAAGGGAGAAGGAGUAUUGGAAAAUAUUAUGGAGGCUGUGAUAUGUGAUUAGCAGCACUCCCCUUCUGUAAUAUAUAUAUAGAUGUAGGGUUGUACAUGAUACUAACCAUGUAGUCUAAUACACAUGAUCAGAAACCUAUAUAAGGUAAAUACAAGAUAAAUAUAUAUACAUAAUAACAUUCCAUAAUAUGCCCCCUCAAGCUGAAGGAGGAGAAUCCACAUGAAGCUUGGACCGAAAAUAAGUGAAGGACGCAUGAGGAAGAGGUUUGGUAAGCACAUCAGCAAGUUGAUCCUGGGAGGAGAUGAACCGAACUGCAAUUUCCUUUUUAGCAACGCGAUCACGAACAAAAUGAUAAUCGACCUCAACAUGCUUAGUGCGAGCAUGAAAGAUAGGAUUAACAGACAAGUAGGUAGCACCCAAAUUAUCACACCAAAGGAUAGUCAUAGGAUCAGAGGAAAAAUGAAGAUCUGACAGCAGAGCCCGAAUCCACAAAAUCUCAGCGGUACCAUCCGCAAGAGCCUUAUAUUCCGCUUCAGUCGAUGAACGAGCCACUGUGCGUUGUUUUCCAGAUUUCCAAGAAAUAGGGGUGCUGCCGAGAUAUACCACGUAGCCACCGGUGGAUUUUCUGUCAUCAAGACUACCAGCCCAAUCAGCAUCUGUAAAACCAUGUAAGGAAAGAGAGGACCCCCGAGUGAUGUGUAGACCAUAAGAUGCCGUUCCUUGAAGGUACCGGACAAUUCUUUUAACAAGAGACCAAUGACCAUCGGUAGGCGAGUGCAUAAACUGACAGACUUUAUUUACAGCAUAACAUAUAUCCGGGCGAGUAAAAGUGAGAUACUGCAAAGCACCAACAAUCUGUCGAUAACGGGUAGGAUCAGAGUAUAGAGUAUCUGAGGUUUGCAAUAGCUUAGAUGAGGAUGAAGCAGGCGUGUCAGCAGCUUUACACAAAGACAUACCGGCUCGCCUAAUGAUAUCGAGAGUAUAUUUAUGCUGUGAGAGCAUAAGUCCCAUGGCAGUUUUGGUGACUUCAAUCCCCAAGAAAUAAUGCACAGAGCCUAAAUCCCUGAUUUUGAAUUCGGAAUUCAGUAAGAUAAUCAAGUGGCAUAACAGAGUUGAAUUGUUCCCAGUAAGCAGAAUGUCAUCCACAUACACAAGCAAGUAAAUGAGAUCAUGGCCAUCAGAGUAAAUAAACAUAGAGGUGUCAGCAGUAGAGGCACGAAAACCAAGAGAAAUGAGAUAAUCACUGAGUCUGGUAUACCAUGCCCGGGGAGCCUGUUUUAAACCAUAGAUAGAUUUAUGCAGGUGACAAACAUGAGAUGACAGAGUAGGGUGAGAAAAACUAGGUGGUUGCUCCAUAUACACCUCUUCUUGAAGAAUCCCAUUCAAGAACGCAUUGUGAACAUCAAGCUGAUGAAUAAACCACCCACGGGUCACAGCAAUAGUAAGUACUAACCUCACAGUCGCAGGCUUAACAACUGGACUGAAAGUCUCAAGGUAGUCUAUUCCUUCUUGUUGAGUGAACCCUCUAGCCACAAGACGGGCUUUAUACCUGUCAAUACUACCAUCCGCUCGCCGCUUGAUUUUAUAAACCCAGCGACUGCCAACAACAUUCAUAGAGGAACAAUAAGGAACUAGAGUCCACGUACCAUUUGAUUGCAAAGCCCGAAGCUCAUCUUGCAUAGCUUGCUGCCAUGCCGAAUGUUGAGAGGCGUCUUUGAACGUGAGAGGUUCAUGUUCAGGAGAAGAAGAACUCACGGUAGCAGGGGACUGAACAGGACAUAUAUUAGCAGAUGACGGAGAUACACUAAGAUGCGCCUGUUUGGGCCGGCGAGGACGAAGUGUCAUGUGGUGGCUGCGAGAGGAGUCAGCUGGCAAAGUUGAGGAACUAUGAGAAACCUGCUGAAGAUCAAAAUUAGAUAAAUCAACUACCAGAGGCAGGGCAGGAGGAGAGCCAGAGGAAGAGCUCGAUGUGGGACUGCCAGGAGGCCGAGAGGAAACCACAAUAGGAGAGGAGGCCGCUGACAAUGGGAUCACCGUACCUGGAGAAACAGACACCAUACUUGGAGAGUGAUCAGUAGUAGAGUAAGGUGGAGAUGAAGUAGAGGGACUGUUACUCAUGGGACAAGGUGGAGGAGAGGAGGCAACAGCCCUGUGAGCAAGCGUUGGAGAAGGUGGCAGAAAUAGGGUAGAUGGAGAAGGCAUGGGAGUAGGAAAAACGGUGAAGGCGGGGAGGGCUGUUUGUAGAGAUGGAGAAGGCAAGGCAGUUGUCUGUUCAGAACAUGCAAAAGGAAAUGUAUUUUCAUGAAAUUUAACAUGUCGUGCAAUAUACAUACGAGAUGAUGACAAAUCAAAACAACGAUAACCCAAAUGAGAGGAACUAUAGCCAAGAAAAACACAUGGUGAAGAGCGAAAAUCUAGUUUAUGUCGGUUAUAAGGACGAAGUAAAGGAAAACAUAGACACCCAAAAAUACGAAGAAAAUUGUAAUCAGGGGAAGAUUUAAACAAACGUUCAAAAGGUGUACAACCAUUUAGAACAGCAGUAGGCAUACGAUUUAUGAGAUAGACAGCUGUUUCAAAAGCAUAACUCCAAAAUUUUAACGGAGCCUUACACUGACCAAGAAGCGUAAGACCAGUUUCAACAAUAUGACGAUGACGACGCUCAACAGUACCAUUUUGUUCAUGCAUGUGAGGACAUAUUAGACGGUGAUGAAUGCCAAUGGUUUUAAAAUAUGUGUUUAACUUCCUAUAUUCACCACCCCAAUCUGUUUGGACGGAUUUAAUUUUGGUGGUGAAUUGUCGUUCAACAAGAGCUUGAAAUUGAAGAAAAAUUUUAAACACAUCAGACUUAGCGGCUAAAGGAAAAAACCAGAUAUACUUAGUAUAAGCAUCCACAAAAAUCACAAAAUACCGAUAACCAUCAGUAGAUAACAUAGGAGAAGGUCCCCAAACAUCACUGAAAACAAGCUCAAGAGGAGCACAAGUUUUAUGACCAGUAAGGCCUAACGACAGACGCGAUGCUUUUCCUAAAGGACAAGAUGAACAAUUAAAAUUAAAAACUCUUGAAGUACAUGCAACUUUAUUAUUUGAUACUAGAGACCCUAAAAUACGAGAGCUAGGAUGCCCAAGGCGACGAUGCCAAACAUCAGCAGUGGAGGACACAGACGUUGAUAGGAAAGCUUGAGGUACGGACGUUGCAGAAGACUUGGAUAAGACAUAUAGACCAUCGCUACUCUGACCGGAAAGGAGCACCUCCUUGGUUAUUAGAUCCUUAACAUAAAACACAGAUGAAUGAAAUUCAAAAAAUACAUUAUUCUCAAUGCAAAAUUUCUGAACAGACAAUAGCGGUUUUUUAAUAUGUGGUACAUGCAGAACAUUUGAUAGGAUAAAAGUGCGUUUAGGAGUAUAGAGUUUAGAUUGAGCAAUAUGUGAUAUAACCAGUCCCUUACCAUCACCGACAUGUAAUUGAUCACUGCCAAGAUAUGGCUUUGAACUCGUCAUACUAGCGAGGUCCGGUGUCACAUGCUGAUUAGCACCCGUAUCAGGAAACCAACCUGCAGAGGAGAGCUGAGGAUUCUGAAAUGCCAAGUUAGCAGUAGCCUGCAAAUGCUGUGAGGUAAAUUGAGAACAGUAUUUGGCUGAAUGCCCAAAACCAUAACACAAUUGACAUUUAACAUUUCGAAAAAUUUGGUUGGAGUUAGAAACUCCACGGGAAUACUGCUGCCAACCAGUCCCAGACUCACGGGAACCAUGAUGAAAACUAGACCCAGACAUCUGCUGCCAACCAGAUCCAGAGGUGCCAUGGUUACCACCACGGUAGCCUCUCCAUCCACCUCGAUGGCGCCCACGCCCACGAUAGGAAUGGCCAGAAGGACCACCAAAACUACCACGCUGAACUGAGAAUACUGAAGCUGUGGAAUGUGAAGGUGUGGGCAGCAGAGGUGCUGUCAUAGGAGAGCCAAGAGUGGAUUGAAGGGAGCUCUUAUUCAGGUAUUCGUGAGUGAGCAGGUAACUGUGAAGAUCAGAGUAUGAUAAGGGUUCUGCUCGUGUAGACAAACUGGUCACUAAGUCUUUGAAAUCACUGCGCAAACCCCGAAAUACAUAAAGAUUAAAAUCCUCUAAGGAGAGAGGCCGACCAGCAGCAGCCAACUCAUCAAAGAGAACCUUAGCUCGCUGCAGAUAAGUGCUAACUGAAUCAUCUCCCUGACGCAAAUCCUGAAAGGAACCAUGUAACUGCAUAAUCCUUGAAUGUGACGGUGAAGCAAAGGAUUUUUCAAGUGUCUGCCAUAUGCUAUGAGAUGUGUCACAGUCAACCACAAGAUGUAGAAUUUCAGUAGAUAAAGAAGAGAGGAGUGCACUCAUAAUUAACUGGUCUUGUUGCUUCCAUGAGAGAAAGAAUGGGUUUAUACCAGGAGCUGCUGUAUCGGUGGCAGUAACAUAGGGUGCAGGACAAGGAUAAGAUCCAUCAACAAAAGCAUACACACCCUGACCCAACAAAUAUGGUUUUAUUUGCAUUCUCCAGUACAAAUAGUUAUUGGUGGUCAGUUUCAAGGAGAUAACCUGAUGAGUAUUUGAGAGAGGGACUACAGCAGCACCAUGAAGAUGUGUGUUGGGAACAAUUGAUGCUGCAGAGGGGAGUCCUGGCAGUACCGAAACAAUUGGUGUAGAGGAAGGUAUUGCUGCCAUUGUUAGAGGAAAGCUGCAACCAAUAGAAGGAAUAGAUGCAGACGCAAAAAAUCCAGGAGGAGCCAUUGAAAAACCUGACGCAGGUUGCAUAAGUGAAGAAUUGGCAGGGAGAACAGGGAAUGCUGCAGCUGGCAUGUUUGUUGUAAGAAGAGAGGAAGAUUGAGCUGUAGUAGAAUCCAUGAGAAGAAGAGGGAGGCGCCGAUGGAAGCUCUUUUGAAUAUAAUGCUCUGAUACCAAGUUGAAGUUAAGGGAGAAGGAGUAUUGGAAAAUAUUAUGGAGGCUGUGAUAUGUGAUUAGCAGCACUCCCCUUCUGUAAUAUAUAUAUAGAUGUAGGGUUGUACAUGAUACUAACCAUGUAGUCUAAUACACAUGAUCAGAAACCUAUAUAAGGUAAAUACAAGAUAAAUAUAUAUACAUAAUAACAUUCCAUAAUACAGCUAUAUUGUUGUGCUUCCCACUGCAUUAAUCUUUCAAUAUUUCAUGCUAAGUAAUAGGUGAAUAAAGUGAUAAUCAGGGAAGCAGAGAGAUAUUUAUGACAAUGCAUGCUUGACCAGCCAAAUAGAAAAUUAUGAUAUAUAAAUCACAGAAAUUUUAUUUGAAGUAAGAAAAAGCUCCUGACUCGAGUUCUAGCAACCUCUCCUCGUCUACGUUUAGCAGAGGGAGAAUAUCGUACAGGACUAAAGGUAACACAACUGGAGGAGGUUAUGCAUACAAGAAAGCUAACUGAUUAAUCGCUAGGUCUUUAAAACGGAACUGGUUUCCCCUUAGGAUAAUCGACAUAAACCCUCCCCUUGUAGCGUUGAGCUGCCUCGUUGCUGUCGAUAACUUCUGUUGCAUAGUAAUAUGUGGGAUGAGUAUAGGGAACCUUCAUAACUGGUGGCCGCCUCUUGGCCCGGCCGAAGUGCUCAUCAAUGGCUGCAAAACCCUCCUGUCCAAUCUUAACAAGACGAUCUGCCUGACGUGCCAUGUUAACUACAAUUAAUCAACACACAAAGACAAGUAGAUGUAUAUAGGUUUUCUUGGUUUUCUUGCUUUGACUAAUAUGUAGGAGGCCAAGCCAACCUUUAUAUAGAAAGGAAAGGUUUGGUUGACAACAGCUGUGAAAUGAAUAAUGUUAGACAGUACUCCUUUUUGUAAUAAAAGCACCCAACAUUUGUGUACGAUAAUACUAACCAUUGCAGAGAGAAAAAUCAAUAGAUUUUCUUCAUCUUAUCACUACUGACGAUAAAACCACAAUAAAAUGAAAAAAAAAAUCAUCAAAAGUUUAUCAAUAUCUUAAAAUACAAAAAAAAAUAAAACUAUUAUAUUUGGAUGUUUUCAAUACUUAAUAAAUUUUAUAUAUAAGAAAAUUUUACUGGUUUUUUUUGUCGUCCGAUGACCAUCGAGGACAAAACCAUCACCAAGAGUUUAUUAUUAUCGACUUUGGAUUAGAAUUGAAUGUUCUAAAUACUUUGUAAAUUGAAAAAUAAGGAACGCAAACAUUGCUUAUGAACAACUGUUGUCAGCCAAUCAUUAGAGCCACUUUUAUGAAUUUGUGCUGGGCAUGUGAUUAAAGAAAACAAAAGCUUCCCUUCUUUUUUUUUUUUUUGAAAGAUGUGUAUAUUAUUUAAACGCCAAAGCCUGGCGGGAGUAGUACAGAAACUACACAAUAUCUUACUAUGGCAAAAAAUCAUAAAUAGGAUAAAGCGCAGAAUAAGAAAAACAAAAGCAAAGAAAAACAAAAGCUUCCCUUCUUUUGGACUAAUGCUGUUUCUACCGGUCAGGAAUCAAGUCAGGUCCAAAAGUAGGAGCAGCAAAAACACUAAAUCUUCGCAAAAGCCAAUUAUGAAAGAAGAUUCCUUCUGCUCUCUAAUCAGAAUAAUCUCAUUUUAAUUAUGUUACGAUAUUGCAGUUUCUAAUUAAUGGCAAUAAGCACAAUCGUACGCUAGUAUUAUCUGACCUUGAUCUCGGCAUUGGAUAACCUCCAAGCAAUGUUUGUUCAAGAACAGCAAGCAACUGUUGUCUCGGAACCUCAUAUGUAAACAAAAGGGAAACUUAAACCAAAUGAAAGUCCUUAACAGAAUUACCGAAUCCCAGUCCAAUUACAGGUGAAACAAAUUAAAAGGCAAUUUGUAGGAAAAACUCAAUGAUCUCUGAGCCAAGCCCCCGCACGGUAUUCCAAGCUUAUUUUACAGAAUAUUAACUCACCCUAGUUUUUUAUUUCUUCCAAAAAACUAUAAAAGAAUAGAAUUAUGGUCUUAAUGAGCACAAAUGGCAAACAAAUGGCCUUCAGUACAUUUCAAUAACGAUUCAGUACUUAGUGGCACAGAGGUUCUCUCUAGUGCCAAGUUCAAUUAUUGUAAAAUUGAUUCCUUCCAACUUGUUUCCUAGAAUCGAUGAGACUUAAAUUUCUUUGUGAAUCUGAUUCCUUAUAACUAAACUUUUCCUUUCCAAUUUAUUUUCAUAAUCUUUUUUUUUUUCCUUUAACUGAUCUUGAUUCUCUCCGAAACUUUAUAUCUUUAUUUCUUACUCUAGUUAACUUCAUGACAUAAUCAAUGUGACGCAACCUGACCACCUCAUCCCAACAAAAAAUCUAUUGACAUCUCAAAUCCGAGUAACCAAGUUGCUUGCAUUAAACAUUUUGGUUUAAUAGAGAGUGGAAUUUUGGUCAAAAAGUUGCCUCAGAUUCUAUUCUUUGACAUAGACAAAUUGACCAUAUAAUAAUCAUAAAUAUAACUGUGUAUGAAAAAUAAUAAUAAUAAUAAUAGCAAAAACAAUAACAAUAAUAAUAAUUUUAGGAAGUAUUUUUUCAACCAACAAAACUUAAACAAAAAAGAAUCUAGUGCACUAAGUCCACACAAGUCUAAGCCUAGGAAGGAUAUGAGAGAAGUAGUUUAUAUACUGAAAAUAAAAAUCUAGAGGGAUAGAUCUAGAAAGUUGCUUUAAUUGUCUCAAUCUACGUAUAUAGAAAAAAUAUUGAAACAAUUUAGCAGUUUUAUCUUUUUGUGGGUUGUUGUUACUAUCUUGCUCGGGGUUUUAGCUAGAACUAGGUGUUGUUGUUGAUGAUUUCAAGAUUGUUAUGUGGUGGUUUUGUUUUUAGGUGUUGAAGAUUGAUUUCUAAGGAGCCUAUGGCUAGUUCUAGCCAAUGGUAAAGACCAGUCUAGGUCUCCAUCAUAUCAUUCAUUCUCUUCCAUUUUUUUGGCAAAUCAAAGUAGGACUAAGAAGUGGGUGAUGUUUCAAGAUUGAGAUUUUAGAUUAACCGAGUUUAAGGCAAUAUUUUGGUUCUUUUGGUAAAUGGGAUCGCCAGAUUGGGAUCUCAAGUUGACCAAGCUAAAGACAAAGACCAAGGUUCUGGUUAAAUGGGGUCUCUAAAUUGAGAUUUUAGGUUAACCGAGGUGAAGGCAACAUUUUGAUUUUGGUUAAAGGGAAUUGCUUGAUUAAAAGGAGUCACUAGAUUGAGAUUUCAGGUUAACCAAACUGAAGGAAACAUUUUGGUUCUCGUUAAAUAGGAUUGUCGGAUUGGGAUCUCAGGUUGAUUGAGCUAAAGACAAAGACCAAGGUUUUAGUUAAAAGGGAUCUCUAGAUUGAGAUUUUAGGUUAACCGAGCUUAAGGCAAUAUUUUGGUUAUGAUUAACAAGAAUUGUCAGAUUAGGAUUUCAAGUUGGUUGAGCUGAAGAAAAAGACCAAGGUUCCAGGUUAACCAAGUUGAAGAUGAUAUUUUGAUUCUAGUUAAAGGGAAUCGCCACAUUGGGAUUUUAGGUUAGUCGAGCUAAAGAAAAAGACUAAGGUUGUGGUUAAAAGGGGUCUUUUGAUUGAGAUUUCAGGUUAACCAAGUUGAAGGUGACAUUUUGGUUCUAGUUAAAGGGAAUAAUGGCCAGAUUGGGAUCUCAAGUUGACCGAGCUAAAGACAGAGACCACAGAUCCAAGUUUUAUCCACACCGUCAGCCACAGCAGCCAGCACACGGCAGCCCACAAAUCCACGCCAUUUCCUUCAGCCACCAAUUGCAGCGGCCAAAGCAACAACUUGAAUCCAGCGUCGCCGCCGCCUAACUGUCGGCCACCUGAAGCAAAGGAGAAGAAGAUGUAAACCAAAGAAAGAUCUGCGGUGAAGCAGAUCUGAAAAGGAGAAGACCGAAACAAAUCCGAAAAAGAAAGAAAAAUUAAAAUCAACUGGUUUGGGUGUUUUAUUAUUUUGCAGGUGAUGAAGACCCUAACCUCCGGCAGGGAAGUGAAGAGGGGAGGAAGACGCAGCAGCGCCCCCUGCUGCCUAGAAUUUCUCGCGGCGGCGCACUGUUCAACUGUUCAGGAACCUUCUUCAGCACUACAUGCAGUUCCAGAAAGCUUCCCAGCACUGUUAUGGACUUGUUUUGUGGCUAUUUUUGUAAUUUCAAAUUAUUUAAUGUAAUUUUUGUUUAGUUUUGAAUUUUUGUAAUAUAGAUGUGAAAAAGAACAAAAAGAAAAAGAAAAGAAAAAAUAUAGUGAAAGUGAAUGUGUUUGUUUGUAAUUUUGUUUUUUAUGAAUGUAUUUUUUUUAUGAUAAAAUUGCAAAGAAUAAAGAAGAAUUUAAUAUUUUGAUUUGAUCACGGUCAAGAAUUAUGAACUUACAUGUAAGUCGUAUUUCUAAUACCCGAUGAAAGAACAAAAUUUUUAAAACUUCUUUAUCACAUCAAAGCCACGAAGCAGCUUACCUAAGGUAGGGUGCGUUAGGGGUGCUAAUACCUUCCCUAACCACAACCAGUCCCUUACCCGUGAAUCUCUGACAAGACUAGUACACCCGGGUUUCCUAGUUACCCUCAAUUAAAUACUAGGUGGCGACUCCCAAUGAACCAAUCAAGCAAACGCAUAACAAAAAAAUCACCAUCGGACGCCGCGCGGGUCACGUGCGACAGAAUGGUGACUCCACUGGGGAAGGUAUUGUUUCUAACAAUAUUGGACUAUGCUUUGUGUAUUUGAUGUGUUUAAGUUUUUGUAGUUUUGUCAUGUUUUAUUUUUGUUUUAUCCAUGCAUUUUUAGAAUUGUUUCAUGCAUCACUUGUAUUUAUUUUUGAAAGCACACACAAGCUUUUAUGUUAGGUGGUGAAUUAGCGGUCUGCCCUAUGACUAUUGGUCAGGGUUCAGAUCCGUGAAAAACCAACUCAUAUCUGAAUGCCUGCUUGGUAAUGGUGGGUAUACGUGCCUUAACUAUUUCUUGCAACGCCCCUAUACUGUCUUUACGAAGAUCGUCAUUGGGCAGAUAUGAGACCCUUUUGAGACCAGGUAGAAAACCUACCCAUGUUCACAUAAUGAAUAGAAUUUGUUCUUAGGUUGUAUGUGCUAUUUUUAUUUGCAUCAGGGCAAACCCUUCUUGAAGCAUCUUGAAUCAAGACUUGUGGGUGACACAAGAACCGUCACUCAGAAAAUUUUCAUUGUAGAGUUUGGGCAAGAAUCAAGAUUCUUGUUUCAUCAUACAAGAGUUACGACCAUAUGUCACCCCUCGAAGGGCGAGUUCAUCAUAUAGUUUACAUGUUCAUACAUUUAUCAUGCAUGUACCGGGUUGAAAGAUAGGUUCCCCCACACAAGCUGUGCUACACGUGAUUGAAAAAAGAUGAUGGAAAUGAAGAAAGAUGUCAGAUAGAGGCUCAUUAUCAAAAUAAAGUUGAGAGCAUCAAAGGUGAAGUAGCUAGACUCAGAUCUGCUUGAACAAGUGUUGAGCAUCAAAUGGAAAUGGAAUGUCUGUACAGUCUUCUGUGGGAACACUGCUUGUCCAGUCCAAUUAAAGCUGCACCUCUCCUUUUCAGUAAUGAACAACAGCAGCAAUGCCUUCAGUCAUCAGCUAAUGACAACCUUUGUUCUUGUUUAGUUGCACUAUUAAUUGUUCAUCGCCUUCACAUCUUCUAAUGGCACCAAAUAAUUGUUAGCCUUCGGUGCAUGGUGCAUUAGUCUUCUUUGAAGUUACCCACUUUGAUCUCAAUUCCAGUUCAGCGGCACAAGAUGCUGGUCUUAAAAAAAAAAACAUGAUUAUACACUGAACUUCUAUGUGGCAGAGCUCUCUCUGUAGAGAUUUGUUUUUUUUAAUCUGCCAGUAGGGAAUGCAAGAGAGGAUGUAGUAGUUUCAUAUGCAUUGAAACUUUCUCCCACUAAUGGCACCAGCAAAACAUUGUAGUAGGCAGAAGAGCCGGACCCGGUCUGAAAAACAUGAGCAGACAUCAAAUUUCCACGUGGCAGAGCUUUUGUACAGAAAUUUGUUUGUGGAUCUGUAAGUGGAGAAUCCAAGAAGGGAUGCAAUAGUUUCAAAUCAUCUACAAUUUUCUCCUACCAGUGUUAGAAUCAAAACACAAAAGUAGGGAGAAGAGACAAACCUAAACUGAAAGACAAGAAGAAGACUGAAACUGCAAUAGAGGAGAACUCCCUCUACAGGUGUCUGUUUGUUGCACUGUCUGUGAGCAAUCGAAGAUGAGACAGAAGAGUUUUAGAUUCAUCAAGUUCUCUUCCAGUUGAGACAACGCGUGAUUUCGCACGUCGACAGUGGUGGUACUGCAAGUUUUUGUGCGCUGCCAAGAUUACCUAGCUAUUGAAAGGUUUUCAACAAUCCUAAAACAACAACAACAACAUUGGAAGAAUGACAUGAAGUUGUGUGGAUUGCAAAAAAAUUGAACAAGCUAUCAAAAUGGGAAAGAUUGAAGGUUCUGCCAAGGAUUCCAAAACAAUGAUAAGAGAUGAAUGAAAAGAAGACUUUGACAGUGGGAAACCUUAAUUAUAUGGUCUAGCCAAGUCUCGUUGUAUCAUCGACUACUCCAAUGUCUUUGCAAAAGAUAGACAUUCCUUUGCAAUGUGGUGUAAUCCAGACAAGAGAUGUGAUGUCAUGGUGGGGUCCUCAGCCAUUUCAAUUGAACAGUUGCAAGAAUUUCAAGAAGCGAGUCCGGAAGUUGGUGAGCAAGAGACGAGUAGAUUAUGUGAAGGAGGGCAUUAUUGGCUAUAUUGUCCCCCGAACAUCUUCAAAAUGACAUGUGAUCGAAAAUGCUUGGCAAAAAACAGAUAUUACAAAGCUGAUUCAAGAAUGGCGAUGAAUUGUCAAUCAUAUUGUUAUGGAAUUUUGCAUUUUGUUUUGGGAUCACAUCUCAUCCUUGAACGAAACAUGUCUUUUCUUUGGCUUCCUGUUGUUUUGAAAUCAAGAGAUGCUUCUUUCAAAGGGUAUUUUGACAAAAUAUUUUGAUCAAACUCCAACAUGCAAAAUUAAGGCUAGUCAAUCCUAAAAGAUUAAAAGUAUUUGGAUUGCAGAAAUGACUCGAUAUUUGUUAAAAUGGCAAGAUAAACAACAUGAGGUGACCAAACAAAUUUUGAGCUCACACAUGAAAUUGAACCACCCACAAUGUAGCUAAAUUUUAGCAGUAUGCAUAAUGACAUGUAGUGGAUUCGGUAGUUAUGAACUCGCGAAUCAUGAUUCUUACAAGUCCAAAUCAUUACACUGGAUGAGGUCAAAAUUUAUCAGUUCUAACAGACCUUGCUUGAAAUGAGAAAAGGCCAUCUUUGUUCAUCCCUUCGCUUUCUAAAAAUAUUUAUCCCUUGCAAUCCCCAUUUGAGCAUGAUAGAAUAUUUCUUUUCAAAAAAACCCCUGACUAGGAUCACACCCCACAGUGGGGGCAGAUGAGAGAUAUUUUAGAGACAUUGAUAUAAUUAAUGGAUAAAGGGGAAGGCUUAGAACAAAAGUCCAAUGAUUGAGAGAGGGCUAAGAGAAAACACAUAGACUGGGGGCAUAUAAGAAAAUUUUAAGGAAGGCUAUGAGAAAGCAAAGAAAAAAAAAGAGAUUAAAAAAAAAGUUGAAUUUGCCUUCACUUAAAGACAAGUCAAAGAUAAAGGAAGGAGAAUGCCUAUCAAGUUUAUGAAGAGCAAAAAAAAAGAAAUAUCAAUCGAGGAAAGGCACAACAAAAGUCAAUAGCAGAAAAAAGACUAAACUAUAAACGUGACUUUUGGUAUCCAUUAUCAAGCCUCUAAUGUUAUCAGAUGAUUGAGGUUGGUUAUUCAUCAAAGAAAGGUGGAUUUGCAUUAUGACUUAUGUUAAGAGAAAUCUGAUCUUUGAGGUUAACAAAGUUAUAUGCCAUUUCCUCUACAGAGACAACAAUAGAAAAAGAGUUGAUGAAUAGUUGAUGUUGAUCCUAGGUCUUUGAAACCCUUAAACACCUUUUGAGCCUGUGAAAUUCCUUUCUUUCAUAGCCAUGAACCAUAGCCUGCAUUACGUGUUUUUUUAAAAGCUAUUUUUAAUUAAGCAAACAAUUUGAAUUGAUAAAUGGCUCUCUCACAACUUGAAGAGCCUUUCCAUAAGGGUCGUGACAUCAUGAAUUAAGCUAUUGGUUAUUAUGCAUGCUGAUAAAAUAAGUGCGAAGCAGAGAAACAACCUUUCUUGAUAAAGCCUGAGUUUUGACUUUAACAUCUUGUUUUUUUUUAAUUCACAAAAAAGGUCACCUCAUCACAGACCCUCAAAAGAUAUACCCAAAAUCAGAGUCUAAAAUGGAUACAAAGAACCAUGAAAAAAAGAAGAAGAAGAAGAAGAAAAAAGCCAUUUUAGUCUUACAACGGGUCAAUUUCUAUUUUCAAAAUACAUGACAAUCAAAAGACUGUAUAUAUCGAAUAACGUGUGUUAGGUCUUUGAUAAAAAAGCUUGAUUUUCAAAAGGUCUUUUCAAAAAAAGACAUCUCUGAUUUCAUUUCAACAAACUAUACUUUGAAUAGACAUGAUCUUCGAAAUAUGAGAGUUGAUUCCAAAACAAGGAAGAUUAUCGGACACAAAAGAACAUCGAUUGAGUCUGCGAAAUCCUUGAUAGAAAUGACAUUGAAGUCCUCGACACUGCUUGAAAAGUUGAGCAGCUGGGGGGCAAUACAGUGGACCCGGAGAAGGAAGAACAAGCAGUAUUCAAACCAGCUAUGAGGCAAUGAAAGAUGAUUAAAUGAUGAAUCAGUAAACUGAAGAAAAUGGUAUUCAAAAUCAAUGAACAAGCACAUUUAGAUCAUACUUGGGGCAACGUUGUUCAAAGAUAGUCCAUGAUCUAGUGGCCCCCGACAACAAUCGAGAAAACAAAGAUGUACUUGAAGGACAUCUUCAUAUUGUCAUCUUUUGAAACAUGGCUAUCGACCGAUGUGGGCAUACAGUUGCAUUUGAAUGAAUAUCGAAAAGAUGCACACCACCAAGACUGACUGUGGAACAAUGUUGUACUUGAAGGACAAUCUCAUAUUGUCAUCCUUUGAAACAUGGUUAUCGACAGAUGUUAUCACACAACUGUAUUGAAUGAAUGUCGGAAAGACACGCACCCCGAAGACUGAUUGUGGGACAAUUUGUUUUGAAGCCAAAUAAGCACUUCACCGCAUGAGUAUGGGUGAUAAAAGCAACAUCAUUGAUGAGGCCUAGACAUUUCUUUUCACAAUUUAAUUAGAAGAACUGAGAUGAAUCUAUUGAGAAGAACACUAAGCAUACAACCAUGAGCCUUUGUACUGCAAGCUAUGAGAUGCAUGUUUGGAUGAUUGUAUAGUUUCCAAGAAGACUGAUGAUAACAUAUACUUGAAGAGUAUUGUUUCAACUGGGAGCAAGUCCAUGACUGAUUGACAAUCUAAAAUGAGGUUAAACACUAGAAAACCUCUUGAGAGGUGUUGGCAAAACACACACACCAAAUCAAAUGACAAUUCUUGAGAGAAUCUAGGAGAUGGAUGAUUUGUUCAACUCCUUCAGGAUGAAUCGAGCAACACCACACUUGGAAGCAUGGUCAAGCUUGAGAACAACCGAGAGCAAUAAUAGUCGUGGACAGCCCAAGAUGGGCACGGCACUUACAUCUGAGUGGAAGGCUAGCACACAAAUGAGCAAGUACAUGGGAAGAGCAAAGAAGGCUUCGGUUAGCAAACAAAGGCACCUUAUGACGACGGAACAUCAAAGAGGGGGGACCUAUAUUUCAAAUCAGGUAAGGAUGCAUGCAUUGCACACAUAUGUUUAUUUGUUACAAUAAAAUCCAAAAAAAAAAGUCCAGCAAGAUUAGAAAAUAAAAAGGAAAAAAGAGAGAGAGAAAAAAAAGAAUCAUUGAGUUGAUAAUAAAAGAGAAUCAUUGUUGUGACCCUGGAACGGAAAGAAAAGUGAGAAGAACCCUACCAUUAGGAAAUUUUCAAAAAAAAAAAGAGAAAAAAAAGAAGAAAAAAAAACCAAUGUGAGUGUGAGGGUAGGUCGCUCAUGAAAAUAGACCAUGUGAGUGUGUGGGCCGGUCGCCCAUGAAAAUAGACCAGGAUGAACAUGUGUGGGCAGGUCGCCCUUGAAAAUAGACCAAUGUGAGUGUGUGGGCCGGUCGCCCCUGAAAAUAGACCACGAUGAACAUGUGUGGGCAGGUCGCCCCUGAAAAUAGACCACGAUGAACAUGUGUGGGCAGGUCGCCCAUGAAAAUAGACCAGUGUGAGUGUGUGGGCUGGUCACCCCUGAAAAUAGACCACGAUGAACAUGUGUGGGCAGGUCACCCUGAAAAUAGACCACGAUGAACAUGUGUGGGCAGGUCGCCCCUGAAAAUAGACCAGGAUGAAGUGUGGGCCGGUCGCCCCUGAAAAUAGACCAGGAUGAGCAUGUGCGGGCAGGUCGCCCCUGAAAAUAGACCAGUGUAUGGGUCGAUCGCCCCUGAAAAUAGACCACAAUGAGCAUGUGUGGGCAGGUUGCCCCUGAAAAUAGACCAGUGUGUGGGCCGGUCGCCCCUGAAAAUAGACUAGGAUGAGCAUGUGUGGGCAGGUCGCCCUUGAGAAUAAACCAGCGUGAGUAUGUGGGCCGGUCGCCCCUGAAAAUAGACCACGAUGAACAUGUGUGGGCAGGUCACCCAUGAAAAUAGACUUGUGUGAGUGUGUGGGCCGGUCGCCCCUGAAAAUAGACCAGGAUGAUCAUGUGGGGGCAGGUCGCCCGUGAAAAUAGACCACUGUGAGUUUGAGGGCAGGUCGCCCAUGAAAAUAGACCGUGCGAGUGUGUGGGCCGGUCGCCCAUGAAAAUAGACCAAUGUGACUGUGUGGGCAGGUCGCCCGUAAAAAUAGACCAGUGAGUGUGUGGGUAGGUCGCCCGUGAAAGGAGACCAAUUUUCUUUAAAAGGGGUAGGUCACCGAAGAUAAUAACAUCAUUUUUCUUUUUCUUUUUCUUUACAAGCUUACUAUGCAAGACAUUGAUGAUGUUUUUGCUUCGUAAGCAUUGUAAAGAGGGGGCAUCUGUUGCUACCCAAUUUUUGACCCAUGUUUUGAUAAAUUUUCAGAAAAAUCCAAAAAAAUAUGUUUUUUUAAUAUAUUUGCAUCGUUUUAUUUUUAAAAUCACUGAUUUUCCUCAUUCGAGGCGAUGUUGAUAACAAAAUCCAAAAAAAACAAGAAAAAUCAAAUUUACAAAAAAAAAGAAAGUUGAGGGAUCAAUUUUGAGGCCCAAGCAAUAUUUUUACCUAUAAAUACUGGUCUCCACAACACACAAAAGGAGGAGGGGGGUAAUUUUACACAUUGAGAGAAACAAGAAACCCUAACCCUAAACCUAAACCUAUCUUUACCCAAACGGCAGCGGUCCCCACUUGGCAAAACAAAAGAGCAGCCGCCGCCCCCUGCUGGUUUUUGAUUUUUUCUUCUUCCUUGGCCGCUCCCCUCCUGGUCAUCUUCAUCUUCCCCGCACAAGCCUUCCUUUCCCCUUCUCAACACAAGCCACCGCUCACGCCCCUCACCCAAAAGCAAAUCAGAAUCGGCCGAAAGAGACCAGCCCCCCAGCCAGCCGAUCUCCCCCAUUUCCUUCCACUAUUGCUGCAGACCUGCAACCCCAGAACAAAUUUGCCUCCCUUUCCCCCCGACCUUUUCCUUCAUUUCCUCCUCCCAUCAGUGCCGCCCACACCGGCAGCCACAGCAGCCAGCACACGGCAGCCCACAGAUCCACGCCAUUUCCUUCAGCCACCAAUUGCAACAACCUGAAUCCAGCGCCGUCGCCGCCCAACUGUCGGCCACCUGAAGCGAAGGAGAAGAAGAUGUAAACCAAAGAAAGAUCUGCGGUGAAGCAGAUCUGAAAAGGAGAAAACCGAAAUAGAUCUGAAAAAGAAAGAAAAAUUAAAAUCAACUGGUUUGGGUGUUUUAUUCUUUUGCAGUUGAUGAAGACCCUAACCGCCGGUAGGGAAGUGAAGAGGGGAGGAAGCCGCAGCAGCGCCCCCUACUGCCUGGAAUUUCUCGCGGCGGCGCGUGAGCCCACGCACCGCCAGUGGCGGUUGCGCACUGUUCAACUGUUCAGGAACCUUCUUCAGCACUGCAUGUAGUUCUAGAAAGCUUCCCAGCACUGUUAUGGACUUGUUUUGGGGCUAUUUUUGUAAUUUCAAAUUAUUUAAUGUAAUUUUUGUUUAGUUUUGAAUUUUUGUAAUAUAGAUGUGAAAAAGAAAAAAAAGAAAAAGAAAAGAAAAAAUAUAGUGAAAGUGAAUGUGUUUGUUUGUAUUUUUUUUUUAUAAAUGUAUUUUUUUUAUGAUAAAAUUGCAAAGAAUAAAGAAGAAUUUAAUAUUUUGAUUUGAUCACGGUCAAGAAUUAUGAACUUACAUGUAAGUCGUAUUUCUAACACCCGAUGAAAGAACAAAAUUUUUAAAACUUCUUUAUCACAUCAAAGCCACGAAGCAGCUUACCUCAGGUAGGGUGCGUUAGGGGUGCUAAUACCUUCCCUAACCACAACCAGUCCCUUACCCGUGAAUCUCUGACAAGACCAGUACACCCGGGUUUCCUAGUUGCCAUCAAUUAAAUACUAGGUGGCGACUCCCAACGAACCAAUCAAGCAAACGCAUAACGAAAAAAUCGCCAUCGGACGCCGCGCGGGUCACGUGCGACACUCUUUUUGGCCAUAUGGUCCCGGGAACGAUCAGCCUCCUCCAACGCCGCCAUUUUUCUAGUUUAAUUUUAUUUGAACAUAUAAAUUUGUAAUGAAUAUUUGGCUUUUAUACUAAGGUAAUUUAUUUUUACAUACUUGAAUUUUAUACAAUUUUAUAUUUUUUAUUAUUUUCUUUUUUUGUUCAAUAAAUAAUUUUUAAAAAUAUAUAUAUAUUUUUUAAUUAUUACGCACGAAGUUACCGACAAACUUUGUUGGUCGUUAUAUUCCAGAUAGUUGAAAAAUAAUUACUGCAUAUACCAUUUCAACUGUUACAUCACCGAUGGAAUAAUUCCUUCGGUAUUUUAUAGAGGGUUUGGAAUAAAAUUACUCCAUAUGCCACUGUCAAUCACCGAAGAAAUAAUUCCGUCUGUAUAUUCCAGUGGAAAAAAAAUUGGCUUGCAUUUUCUAUCUGUAAAACCAUCGGGUUUUUUUGUACCGACAUUAAUGAAAUUACUGACAAGAGGAAUUUACCAAUGGACUGUUUCCGUCCGUAAAUCAGUCGGUAAAAUUCAUGUUGACGGAAUGGUAGAGUAAAUACCGACAAAAUAUUUUGUUGGUAAAACUGUUAAAUGCAGCAGUGUUAAGAAGCUUGUCAUCACUUGUGGUUUGCGGAUCUGCUGGUUAUAUUCAUACGUACACUCAUGCUUACAGUGCAACAAUCAGAGACGCCUCCCACGGCUCAUCAUUGAGCUCUGUACAGUUCCAAACUUAGUCGGUGAAAUCACACCUUGAAGAGCUUCAAAGCAUUUCAAGAGCAUAUUGUAUCUUUCAAUUCCAUGCUAAGUAAGAGGUGAUAAUGAGGAAGUAAGAAAGAUAAUUAUGACAAUACAUACAAAUAGAAAAUGAUAUAUAAAUCACAGAAAGUUUAUUUGAAGAAGUAACAAGAAGCUCCUGACUCGAGUUCUAGCAACCUCUCCUCGUCUACGUUUAGCAGAGGGAGAAUAUCGUACAGGACUAAAGGUAACACAACUGGAGGAGGUUAUGCAUACAAGAAAGCUAAGUGAUUAAUCAAUAGGUCUUUAAAACGGAACUGGUUUACCCUUAGGGUAAUCGACAUAAACCCUCCCCUUGUAGCGUUGAGCUGCCUCGUUGCUGUCGAUAACUUCUGUUGCAUAGUAAUAUGUGGGAUGAGCAUAGGGAACCUUCAUAACUGGUGGCCGCCUCUUGGCCCGGCCGAAGUGCUCAUCAAUGGCUGUAAAACCCUCCUGCCCAAUCUUAACAAGACGAUCUGCCUGACGUGCCAUGUUAACUACAAUUAAUCAACACACAAAGACAAGUAGCUGUUUAUAGGUUUUGUUGGUUUUCUUGCUUUGGCUAAUAUGUAGGAGGCCAAGCCAACCUUUAUAGAAAGGAAAGGUUUGGUUGACAACAGCUGUGAAAUGAAUAAUGGUAGACAGUACUCCUUUUUGUAAAUAAAAGCACCCAACAUUUGUGUACGAUAAAACUAACCAUUGCCGAGAGAAAAAUCAAUAGCUUUUCUUCAUCUUAUCACUACUGACGAUAAAAUCAUCACAAAAUGAAAAAAAAAAUAUCAUCAAAAGUUUAUUAAACACAAAAAAGUAAAACAUGUUACAUUUGGAUGUUUUCAAUACUUAAUAAACUUUUUAUAUAAAACAAUUUUACUGGUUUUUUUGUCGUCCGAUCACCAUCGAUGACAAAACCAUCACCAAGAGUUUAUUAUUAUCGACUUUGGAUUGGAAUUGAAUGUUCUAAAUACUUAGUAAACUGAAAAAUAAGGGAUGCAAACACUGCGCAUUAACAACUGUUGUCAGCCAAUCUUAGAGCCACUUUUAUGAAUUUGUGUUGGGCAUAAAUUAUAAUAUCUGAUCAUGUGAUUAAAGAAAACAAAAGCUUCCCUGCUUUUGGACUAAUGCUUUUUCUACCGGUCAGGAAUCAAGUCAGGUCCAAAAGCAGUAGCAGCAAACACACUAAACCUUCGCAAAAGCCAAUUAUGAAAGAAGAUUCCUUCUGUUCUCUAAUCAGAAUAAUCUCAGUUUAAUUAUGUGACGAUAUUUCAGUUUCUAAUUAAUGGCAAUAAGCAUAAUCAGGAUAUUAUCUGACCUUGGUCUCGGCAUUAAUUGGAUAACCUCAAGCAAUGUUUGUUCUUCAUAUGUAAAGAAAAGGGAAACUUACCGAAUCCAAUUACAGGUGGAAAAAAAUUAAAAGGCAAUUUGUAGUAAAAACUCAAUGAUCUCUGAGCCAAGCCCCCGCAAGCUAUUCCAAGCUUAUUUUACAGAAUAUUAACUCACAAAAGAAUAGAAUUAUGUUCUUAAUUAGCACAUAUGGCAAACAAAUGGCCUUCAGUACAUUUGAAGUGGCUCGAAGGUUCUCUCUAGUGCGAAGGUCAAUUUUUGUAAAAUUGAUUCCUUCCAACUUGUUUCCUAGAAUUGAUGAGACUUAAAUUUGUUUGUGAAUCUAAUUCCUUAUAACUAAACUUUUCGUUUCCAAUUUAUUUUCAUAAUCUGUUUUUUUUUUUUUGCUUUAACUGAUCUUGAUUCUCUCCGAAACUUGAUAUCUUUAUUUCUUACUCUAGUUAACUUCAUGACAUAAUCAAUGUGACGCAACCUGACCACCUCAUCCUAACAAAAUUAAAAUCUAUUUACAUCUCAAAUCCGAAUAAACAAGUUGCUUGCAUUAAACCCCAAUAUUGAAGGAAUAAUAGAGAAUGGAAUUUUGGUCAAAAAGUUGCCUCAGAUUCUAUUCUUUGACAUAGACUAGGUAGCUAGAACUAGAUGUUGUUGUUGAUAAUUGCAGGCUUGUUAUGUGGUGGUUUGUUUUUAGGUGUUGAAGGUUGCUUUCUAAGCAGCCUAUGGUUGGUUCUAGCCAAUGGUAAAGACCGGUCUAGUUCUCCACCAUAUCAUUCAUUCUUUUCCAUUUUUUUGGCAAAUCAAAGUAGGACUAAGAAGGGGAUGAUGUUUCAAGAUUCGUAGGAUUGGAAUCUCAAGUUGACCGAGCUAAAGAAAAAGACUAAGGUUCUAGUUAAAGAGAGUUCCCUAAAUUGAGAUUUUAGGUUAACCGAGUUGAAGGCAAUAUUUUGGUUCUUGUUAAAUGGGAUCGUAGGAUUGGGAUCUCAAGUUGACCGAGCUAAAAAAAAAGACUAAGGUUCUAGUUAAAGAGAGUUCCCUAAAUUGAGAUUUUAGGUUAACCGAGUUGAAGGCAAUAUUUUGGUUCUUGUUAAAUGGGAUCGUAGGAUUGGGAUCUCAAGUUGACCGAGCUAAAAAAAAAGACUAAGGUUCUAGUUAAAGAGAGUUCCCUAAAUUGAGAUUUUAGGUUAACCGAGUUGAAGGCAAUAUUUUGGUUCUUGUUAAAUGGGAUCGUAGGAUUGGGAUCUCAAGUUGACCGAGCUAAAAAAAAGACUAAGGUUCUAGUUAAAGAGGGGUCUCUAAAUUGAGAUUUUAGGUUAACCGAGUUGAAGGCAACAUUUUGGUUUUGGUUAAAGGGAAUCGCUUGAUUAAAGGGAGUCACUCGAUUGAGAUUUCAGGUUAAUCAAACUGAAAGAAACAUUUUGGUUCUAGUUAAAUAGGAUUGUCGGAUUGGGAUCUCAGGUUGAAUGAGCUAAAGACAAAGACCAAGGUUUUAGUUAAAGGGGGUCUCUAUAUUGAGAUUUUAGGUUAACCAAGCUUAAGGCAACAUUUUGGUUCUGGUUAAAACGAAUCAUCAGAUUGGGAUUUUAGGUUUGCCGAACUGAAGACAAAGACCAAGGUUCUGGUUAAAGGGGGUCUCUAGAUUGAGAUUUCAGGUUAACCAAGCUGAAGGUGACAUUUUGGUUCUAAUUAAAGGGAAUAGCUAGAUUAGGAUCUCAAGUUGACUGAGCUAAAGACAAAGAUCAAGGUUCUGAUUAAAGGGGAUCUAUAGAUUGAUAUUUCAGGUUAACCAAGCUUAAGGUGACAUUUUGGUUUUGGUUAAAGGAAAUCACUAGAUUGGGAUCUCAGGUUGACCGAGCUAAGGAUAAAGACCAAGGUUUUGGUUAAAGGGGGUCUCUAGAUUGAGAUUUCAGAUUAACUAAGCUAAAGGCGACAUUUUGGUUCUUAUUAAAGAGAAUCGUCGUAUUGGGAUUUUAGGUUGACCAACUUAACGACAAAGACCAAGGUUCUGGUUAAAGUGAAUCGCCAGAUUGGGAUUUCAGGUUACCGAGCUACUUUUCAUAUUUUAGUUCUAGUUAAAGCGGAUCGCCAAAUUGGGAUCUCAGGUUGACCGAACUUUGGCAUUGAUUUUGGUUUUGGAUUAAGCAAAUCACUAGAUUGCGAUUUCAAGAUAACCAAAUUGUACACAGUUUGAUCGUAGUUUCCGUUGAUGGGGAUUGCUACGAAAACAAAGUUUCAGGUCAACCAAACUAAAAGCUUUGAGAAAAACAGUCCGUUAGUCAAGCACUUAACAAGUCUUUGUUCCAUAAGUAUUGUGAAGAAGGAGCAACUGUUGCCAUAAGAGUGGUAAGUUGUAAACCGUGAGUAUAAUCGGCCAACAAGAAUAAGGAUCAACAAAUGACCUGAAUGGGUUGAAUUCAUCUGUACAUAACCCAAGAUGCACGUUCCUUGAUUCAGCUGAAAAAUGAGAAUGCACACUGUUAAAGUGUUUCCAUGCUUCACCGUCAGAAGGAUGCACUAUCACUCCAUCCACUGCAUCAAGUGAUUGGUGCUAUAUCAUGUGCUCAGUAGUCUUUGGUGACAUGAAUAACCUCUACAGUCUAGGCGUGAUUGGGAAGUAUCUAAGUUUUUUAUAUGCCAUAAGAGUCUUUCCCAUGCCAGUUCUGGAUUUGUAACGGGAAUGCUCUCAUGCCAUGCACUCGGUUAGCUCAGCAUUUUCAAGGUAGUACAUCAUGCAAAAGUUUGGACACAUGUCAAUUUUCUAGUAUCCUAAACCGAGGGGUUUCAUCAUGGACUUAGUAGCAUAGAAGUUCUCUUUCAGCUUGUUCCCUUCAAGUAGAAUGCUUCUCGCCCAUUCGAUAAUUUUGUCAUAACCGGCCUCACUCAACCCAUAAUCUGACUUGAUAGUGAACACAUAUGCAACAACUGAUUAUUUACAGUGAUUUGUGCAGCCAUCCCAUAAUGGUUCAUCAGAAUCUUUCAACAAAUCAAAAAACCUGGCCGCGUCUGCAUUAGGUUCUUCUUCUACAAUUGGACAUUGACUAGCAUCUUCUUCUACAAUUGGACAUUGACUAGCAUUAUCUUGAUUCAUUCUCAUUGAAUCCAUAACCAUAUUCCUGUAAGGAUUACUAUUGUCAUUUACAACUCCAUGCACAUUGCUAGCACUAGAAGUUGACCCAACCAUCCUUUCUACCAUGCUCUUGUUACGAACAAAUAAUUCUUUGUGUGCAUACCAACACAAGUAAUCCUCCAUGAACCCUUUGUGUAGAAGAUACAUCGUUACAACAUCUGGAUGCAAAAACUUUUUAUUUUUACACCUCCUGUAUGGACACUUAAUACCGUCUCCACUAAAAUUUCUCGAAAUAGAUGUUGCGAAAUUAAUAAAACUCUGAACCCUAUUAUAAUAAUCCAUCCUCCGCAAUUCUUAAGGUGAAUCUCGAUACAUCCAUGAAUGAUCAUCCAUGACUUCUAUCAAACCUCUAUAAAAUAAUGAUGACAACAUGUAUUAAUUAACUACGUCAAGCAAAUAAAUUUGCAAAAAUAUUGGUUUAGCUCAAGAUUUCCAACUUACUUUCAAACUUCUCUUAAAUAUUCAUUAUCAAUUAUCUACGUCCAUACAAAUUUAGACACAUUAAUUUACAGAAAUUACAACUCGGCAAUAAAAUUGACAAAAAUUAAAACGGACCCAUCAAACAAGUCAUUAUUUAUUUCAUCACAACACACCUAAGUCGGUAAUUCGACAUAAAUUUCAACAAUUUACAAACAAAUAUAAUUUUACAAAAUCUAAAACAAACCAUACCAAGUACAAAAUUAUAAAUCCAUACUACAUGUUUGUUUGAGAAAAGUAAUAAAACAAGUAAACACUAAAAAAACAUUCAAUAUAUUAACUAUUAUCGAUGGAAUUACCGACAUAAUAUUUUUGUUUGUAAAUCCAUCGGCCAUUCUGUCGGUGAAGUAAACACGUCACUGUACGAACAUCCCAGUUUGAAUCACUCUGUAAUUCCAUCAGUAACAUCAUCCACCAAAACUUCCACGUCAUUGCACUGCUUUGUUUUUUAAAAUUCUUUAUAUUCUAUCUGGGAUUCACUCGAUAUAUACCGACGGUUUUAGCAAGGGAAGUAAUUCGGUCGGUAAAUAUCACCGCAAAAUACCGAAAGAAACAGUUUGUCGGCAAUUCCGUUGGUUGAAUUUCAUGUAGUGAUGCCUCAGAUUCCUCAGGACUUUCCAUGCAUGAUAGAUCAUUUUCUUUCAGGCAUGAUAGAUCAUUUUCUUUCAGGGAUACCCUAAAGAGGACUUAAAGAUUUCAGUUGUAUAUGUGUGAUAACAGAGCAGAAAAAGAAAACUCUCUCGGAUAGGACCCAAUUUGUGGCAGUUUCAUGUCAUCUAAAGUUCACCGAAAGGCGAUGCUUGCAAUCGUUAUGUUUCAGAAGCAAUAAUAUUCUUGUUUAUCCUUCUAGGCUAAGAUGAAAUAUGGAGGAAGUUAAAGCACAUCUCAUGUUUUUGAUGGGUCCCAUUUAUAAUGAAGGAUUGGGAAAGAUCAAGAAAAGGUAUAACUCGGAGCAUUUCCCAUUUUUCCCUUUUUUCUGUAAAAGAUAUGUGUAAAGCAAUGCUUCAGAGGGAGGCUUACUAAUAUCAUUUUCAUGGGAGAUAAGAUAUUUUUACUAGAUACACUUGCUCACAUGGCUCGGAUUGGGAAUCAUGUUUUUCCUUAAAUCUUCAUCGACUAUCAGCUUAGUUAAAGAGAUGUGAAGGAAAUUUUGGUUGUAGAACUCAGAAAUGAUCCAAUCAUGGUCAUGAUCGCUGAUAUUCUUAGAUAUCGUGUAAAUUUCUACUUUUUUUUUUCUAAGCUAUUGUUUUACCUUGAACUCCGUUUAUUAUUUCUUUAUCGGAGACGCUUCCCAUGGCUCAUCAUUUUAUCCUUGUGCUCGGGACAAUUCUAAAAUGAGGUGAUAAUUCUAAACUCGAAAUUAUUCAGUGAAAUCACACCUUGAAGAGCUUCAAAGCAUUUGAACAGCAAAUUAAUUAUUUGUUUGCCCUAAACGGACUACUAACAGAUAUGUUCAUGUACUAGUGAAAGAUGUUUAGGCCAAGAGAAAGCAUCAUCACGCAAGACCAGAAUAAUAGCCUAAAAUAAUGAUAACAGGAGAUAUUCUAACCGUUAAAUCAGGUUUAAAUUUUUAUAGAAGAUUCUACAAACCGUUUUCCCAUUAAAAACAACUCAAUAGUUAUCAGAGCAUUGUAUCUCCAUAAAGUAGGCUAAUUAGUUAUUAUUUGGGAUAAUUUUGUUAUUUUUCCUUAAUUUUCGCAGAUUUAUUGUUUAUUUUUAAAUUUUAUGUUAUUUUCCGUUAUGUUUUACAAUAGAGGAGAAGGAAUCAUCCCCUCUUUGGCAACUCUCAACCUCACUCUAUUUCUCUCUUUUCAGUGCUGUAAUGGCAGCUACUGCUGGCUGCCUUGGCAGCCCACUCUCUCCUACAUUUCUCACAUCUUUGGCUCUACACACUCUCUCUUGCUAUCUCAUUUUGCUCUCAACCGUAUGCCUCUAUUUAUAGGCAUCCAUGGUGCUGCUCCAUUUGUUCUUUGGUCAAUAAUGGUGGCUGUCAGCUCCAGCUCUUCUUCAACAAAGGUGGCUGCACCUAGCAGCCCUCUUUGACAAUGGCAAUGGCAGCCAUCCUCUUCUAGAAGAUAGGCUGUAAAUGCUCUAUGAUUGCUGCACAUAAUGGCAACAAUCAUAACAAUCACCCCCUUUGCCAUUCAUGUGGNNNNNNNNNNNNNNNNNNNNNNNNNNNNNNNNNNNNNNNNNNNNNNNNNNNNNNNNNNNNNNNNNNNNNNNNNNNNNNNNNNNNNNNNNNNNNNNNNNNNGUCUUUGGCCAAGUUUCCAGGUACUUGCCAAACCUUUCAAUCACCAGAGUCAUCCAAGCACCCCUUUGCUCACUCCAAAGGAUCACUUCAACCAGAUGGUUUGUCAUAUCUCAUCUGAAGAGUGUUUAACGCUUGUCUCUAGAACAUCAUCCCCCUUCAAGCAUAUCAACCAUGCUUGGCCCGGAAUGAUUUAUCAAGCCUUACACCAAGGCUUACAACACCCCCUCAAACGGAUAUUCCCAAGUGCGACAGUCAUUGAGUAUUUUAAUGUGAUCACGAGCUCACCACUCUUCCAAGAGUCUACUCAUCCCGGAGUUGUGUCUGCCCUCUGUUCCUCCCUAGGAACCACGCCUUACUUCUCCGUGAGUCUCCCGCUCUUAGUCUCAAGAGUCCAGGUAGCUCUCCACCUUUAACCAUGGGGGCAGCCCAUUAAAGGUUGAUCCAUAUUUGUCUUCAUACUCUGAGUAUUACAAUGCCAUUACCAAGCGCACCACCUUGACAAGAGUUAACUUGUUCCCGGAACCUGCGCAUGCCCUCUGCUCCUACAUAGCAGUCGCGUCUUAAUGCUCCACAAGUCAGCCACUUAUUGUCCAAGGCAAAUGUCUUCUAGCUCAUUGAUCAUUAGCAUGGGGCAAUAUCCAUGAAAGUCAAUCCUGCAUUUGUCUCCAUACUCAUCAUAGCCUCUUCAUUGGCUAUACACUUGUCCACUUAAAUCCAGCCAUCACAUUGGCUUUAGGGCGUUCUGAAAUUGGGCUCCUAUCAUGGCCCUCACACCUUCUUCUGAGGUGUCUCUGCCUGUCGUCAUGAGACGGUCUGAACUUGGACUCAUAUCAUGGUCCUCACACCUUCCAUUCGAGGUGUCUCCGCCUGUCGUCAUGAGACGGUCUGAUCUUGGACUCAUGUCAUGGUCCUCACACCUUCUCCUGAGGUGUCUCCGUCUGUCGUCAUGAGACGGUCUGAACUUGGACUCAUAUCAUGGUCCGCACACCUUCUCCGGAGGUGUCUCUGCCUGUCGUCAUGAGACGGUCUGAAUUUGGACUCAUAUCAUGAUCCUCACACCUUCUAUCUGAGGUGUCUCUGCUUGUCAUCAUGUGACAGUCUGAACUUGGACUCAUAUCAUGGUCCUCACACCUUCUCCUGAGGUGUCUCCGCCUGUCGUCAUGAGACGGUCUGAACAUGGACUCAUAUCAUGGUCCUCACACCUUCUACCCGAGGUGUCUUCGCCUGUCUUCAUGAGACGGUCUGAACAUGGACUCAUAUCAUGGUCCUCACACCUUCCAUCUGAGGUGUCUCCGCCUGUCGUCAUGAGACGGUCUGAAUUUGGACUUAUAUCAUGGUCCUCACACCUUCUGUCUAAGGUCUCUUCGCCCGUCGUCAUGCGACGAUUUCUACUUGGGCUAGUUUCAUGGCCCACACACCUUCUGCCUGAGGUGUCUCCUCUCAUCGUCAUGUGGCGGUUUGUACUUGGGCUCGUUUUAUGGCCCACACACCUUCUGCCUGAGGUGUCUCCGCUCAUCGUCAUGUAGCGGUCUUGUAUUUGGGCUCGUUUCAUGGCCCACACACCUUCUGCCUGAGGUGUCUCCGCUCAUCGUUAUGUGGCGAUCUGUAUUUGGGCUCGUUUCAUGGCCCACACACCUUCUGCCUGAGGUGUCUCCGUCCGUCAUGAAGCGGUCACAUCCUCCUUCAUCGGGGAUGUCUCUAGUGGCUCCAAGAUUCUCUACCACCAUGUGGACUUGGGAGAGAUCACUUCCACUGAUCACAUAGAAAGAGAGAGUUGCGGUGCACUCUUCGCAAUCCUCCAUCUCAUUUUCUAUGUUUAGAGCUUCUAUGCCUUUCUGCUUGAUAGCUCCACCCACACCAACUCUCUUUGGUGUCUUCGCCUUUCAUCGGCGAUCGCACCCCCUUAAUUAGGUGCUUCUGCAACAGCUCAUCUUUCCAUCCUUGCAUGCAUUGGAAAGGUCCUCGCUUGUUGCCUUUAUCAAGAGCACAAGAGAUUUUCCUGUUGUACAACUUUUCACACNNNNNNNNNNNNNNNNNNNNNNNNNNNNNNNNNNNNNNNNNNNNNNNNNNNNNNNNNNNNNNNNNNNNNNNNNNNNNNNNNNNNNNNNNNNNNNNNNNNNCAUCCGGGAACUCUUCUUCUCCUUGCAUCUGUUGUCUCAUUACAGUACCUCGUUGGAUCCUUCGGGUACUCCUGCACAAUCUCCGUGUGCUCUCGUGCAAUUUCGGUUCUCCAGAUUUCUCCCUAUUCUUUGCUUUUAUGUUUGACAGCAGCUCAUCCUGUCACAACAUUUAUCCAAGUCAAAAUAGGGUGCCAAUCUUUAUCCCCUUGUGUAUUUCUCUUCCAUUAUCAGGGUCUUCAUCAAUUCUCCCUUCGAGAAAUUACAAUCACCGAAUCUAACUUCUUUAGAGAAAUCACCACUCCAUCAGAUCCUUGAACAUACGGAACCCAACUGUUCUUGUGUGCCGUCAUCUUACUAGUCAUCAACAGUUUCAUUACAAACUGUUACAUAUACAAAAAUAGUACUGUGUGGAUGAUCCUUCAACUAAGCAAGUUCCCAGGAAAGAUUUGGAGUGGUCACACUGGUCCCGCUUAAAACCCAAUCUCCUAGACAUAACUUCUUAGAACGUAUCUAUCCACCGUACUGCCUUUUCGUAUAUACAACCAUUUGCUAGCUUUGUUGCGGCUUUCCUUUACAAGUGAUCUGGGGUAUCCCGGUUUUAUACCUGAUUUCUCAACAUCUGGCGAGACUACCAGUUCUUAGAUUCGUCAAGAUUGGUCUUCAUCAAUUUCCACUCUCCACCUCAAAUUGUCCACAUGAUCGGGUGUCCAGAGUAUCCCAAUUUUGCCUUCCCUCAAGGCAAUUAAAAUUUCUCCCCACUUAGCAGUUCAGCACAUGUAAUUGGGCAAACAUGUGCACUUUCUCCUUCUUCAUCUCCAUCGACCACCAUGAUGACCUUCAAAUGCCUCUUCAUCGGGCAAUCUCUUUCAAUAAUUCACCACCACCAUUUUCGGUCUCAAUCUCAAUGAUAGGACCGUACCAUUGCAUCCGGAAUGAUCAAAUUAGCUGGAAACAAGUCUGAAAUCAUCCAAAUCGCAUUUCAGACGGCUAAGAUUUGAUCAAAACAAUUCUGGCCUGAUUACGGCCCAGAUUCAAUCUCAGAUCCGGUUGCAUGUAGACUCUGCUGCAUAGAAUCUUCUCCCUCGGCUCGCGGCUCGGCUCCAAAACGGCUCGGCUCAACUCGGCUCGGCUCGGCUCGCGGUUGAUGACGUGGCAGGUGGGUCCCAUUGUGCUGACGUGUCUGCCGACUGGACGCUGACAUGGCAUGCUGAUGUCAUCAUGGGCCAUGCUACUGUACAAGAUGAUGUCACAAUUACAUCAUGCUAAUGUCAUCCUUGGCAUGUCUACUGUUCAUGAUGAUGUCACUUUUACGUCAUGCUGACGUCAUCCUUAUCCGAGUCAGUCACAUGGGUCGGGUCAGCUGAUAUUCAGGUCGGGUCAAUCCAUCCGGGUGAAGAAGACGCGUGUCACGCGUGGGGCGCGUCUGCGCGCGUGGGCAAACGCCUUGCUGGAGAGUGAUGGAGAGUGCGGCCAUGUCCGAUGUCCGAUGUUGACGCCGUUUUCACCAGUGGCUUCGUCUCUUCCUCCUCGACACGGUGGUAUGGUCAAAACACAAUUUUGACAACUUUCAUUUUUGAGCAAAAAUCAAACACCACUUUAAACCAUAUGCUCUGAUACCAAUUGUAGGGAAUUCCGACCGGUGAUGUUCUGAUAUUUGCCCAUUGGAGGCUAAGCACACUGACACAAUAUUUAACGUGGUUCGGCAAACCGCCUACAUCCACCGGAGAAGCCAUUGCAUUAUAUAGGGAGAGUACAAGAUUUACAACAAUAGAGGAGAAGGAAUCAUCCCCUCUUUGGCAACUCUCAACCUCACUCUAUUUCUCUCUUUUCAGUGCUGCAAUGGCAGCUACUGCUGGCUGCCUUGGCAGCCCACUCUCUCCUACAUUUCUCACAUCUUUGGCUCUACACACUCUCUCUUGCUAUCUCAUUUUGCUCUCAACCGUUGCCUCUAUUUAUAGGCAUCCAUGGUGCUGCUCCAUUUGUUCUUUGGUCAAUAAUGGUGGCUGCCAGCUCCAGCUCUUCUUCAACAAAGGUGGCUGCACCUAGCAGCCCUCUUUGACAAUGGCAAUGGCAGCCAUCCUCUUCUAGAAGAUAGGCUGUAAAUGCUCUAUGAUUGCUGCACAUAAUGGCAACAAUCAUAACAUUAAAAACCACUCAAUAGUUAUCAGAGCAUUGUAUCUCCAUAAAGUAGGCUAAUUAGUUAUUAUUUGGGAUAAUUUUGUUAUUUUUCCUUAAUUUUCGCAGAUUUAUUGUUUAUUUUUAAAUUUUAUGUUAUUUUCCGUUAUGUUUUGGGAUUCUGAUAUUGUUUCGAAUCUUGGCCGAUUUUUCUAGUCUAUGAAAGAGAUUGUAAACCUCUUUAGAAGGUAAACUUAAUCAAAUUAAUAUUUUAGAAAUAAGGUUUUAGGAUUCUCAGUGUUUUAACAUUAUUUCAGUUUAUCUUUUGUCUUUCUAUGCUUGCAGCUAUAUUGUUGUGCUUCCGCUUGCAUUAAACUUUCAAAACCACUAAGUCAGUUAUCGAAGCAUUGGAUCUCCUAUAAAAGGGAUUGUAAAUUAACCUCUUUAGGAGGUAGACUUGAUCUUAGGAUUCUUCGUGUUUUCACCUUAUUUCAGUCCAUCUUUUUAUUUCCAUGCUUGCAGCUAUAUUGUUGUGCUUCCGACUGCAUUAAUCUUUCAAUAUUUCAUGCUAAGUAAUAGGUGAAUAAGGUAAUAAUCAGGGAAGCAGAGUGAUAUUUAUGACAAUGCAUACUUGACCAGCCAAAUAGAAAAUUAUGAUAUAUAAAUCACAGAAAUUUUAUUUGAUGAAGGAAGAAGAAGCUCCUGACUCGAGUUCUAGCAACCUCUCCUCGUCUACGUUUAGCAGAGGGAGAAUAUCGUACAGGACUAAAGGUAACACAACUAGAGGAGGUUAUGCAUACAAGAAAGCUAAGUGAUUAAUCACUAGGUCUUUAAAACGGAACUGGUUUCCCCUUGGGAUAAUCGAGAUAAACCCUCCCCUUGUAGCGUUGAGCUGCCUCGAUGCUGUCGAUAACUUCUGUUGCAGGAAUUUGGUUUGCAUAGUAAUAUGUCGGAUGAGCAUUGGGAACCUUCAGCACUGGUGGCCGCCUCUUGGCCCGGCCGAAGUGCUCAUCUAUGGCUGCAAAGCCCUCCAGCCCAAUCUUAGCAAGACGGUCUGCCUGACGUGUCAUGUUAACUACAAUUUGUCAGUCAAUACACAAGACAAGUAGCUGUAUAUAGUUCGAGCUGGUUUGCUUGCUUGGCUAAUAUGUGUGAGGCCAAGCCAACCUUUAUAUAGAUCGGGAAGGUUUGGUUGACAACAGCUGUGAAAUGAAUAUUGUUAGACAGUA
This 106696-nucleotide long non-coding RNA is filed under the name Populus trichocarpa (black cottonwood). RNAcentral describes it as "long non-coding RNA (PTRI_LNC004365)". Lineage: Eukaryota; Viridiplantae; Streptophyta; Magnoliopsida; Malpighiales; Salicaceae. The record is from RNAcentral.